Molecule: long non-coding RNA, 137434 nt
Filed under: Sorghum bicolor (sorghum)
Lineage: Eukaryota; Viridiplantae; Streptophyta; Magnoliopsida; Poales; Poaceae
Description: long non-coding RNA (SBIC_LNC015789)
Rfam family: Plant small nucleolar RNA R71 (bases 5010-5116)
Source: RNAcentral
GCAGAUAAAUACGGUAUAAGCACCACGCCUACACAAUAUCUAUCAUUUACCCAUGGAUCCGAUGGAUAAACGCUAUACGAUCCUAAGCAUGUAUAUAGAUCCAAUCUAACUAAGCCAAGUACAUAACUAUGAUAAACUAAGAACAAUAUAAUCUUGAAUAUAAGCAAGUAGAGCAAAGUCAUAAGCAAUAUAUUGAAGUAGAACAAAGUCAUAUUCAUAAUAUUGAAGAACAAAGAUAAUUAGAAAGCAAUUAGAAGCACAAUUAGAGAAUUACCAAGAAUCCUCCUGACAGAUCCGGAAACCAAUCAAAGAUUGACUCCUUCUAGUUCUAAUCCUAUGUAGCUAUGCUAAUCUAGAUGUCUAAUUGAUGUGGUGGCUCUAAUCUUGAUCAGAGGCUUCUUCUCCCUUGAUGGAACAAUGAAUUAGGGUUGAGAGGCUCCCUCCUCCAGGGGCCAGGGGGUCUGGUUUUAUAGUCCCUCCAAGUGAAUAUGGGUCAUUGGAUCAAACCGACAUAGAUUGUAUGGUUUAGAUUCAUCCUUUAGGUCGGUGGAGAUCUCCCGCAAAGCAGAGUCCUGAUUGGACUUGGGGGCAGGGCGGGCGCCCAGUAGGACAGGGCGGGCGCCCUGUCUCUAGCCCCGUUUCGCCUCUGCUUCGGUCUCGUGGCUUCUGGAGUCUUCUAGAUAUAAGAUAAUUGCGCAGCACGUUAAUAUCUUUACGUAAUCCCGACAUGUGGGACUUUCUUCCAUAUUUCCUGAUAACCCCCUGCAGAAAUAGACAAAUACCAAAACUCGUGGAAUUCUGUCAGAUAAAACCCUAAGUCUGGAUGUUGAUUUCAUUUGGAUCCUUUUCUUUAUUUAUUUGAUAAUUAAAUUUGAUACUUAAGGACCGUCAACAAACUCCCCCAAGCUUACCUCUUGCUCGUCCCUGAGCAAGGAUAGACUCAGCUAUGGAUCAUAAGUUGUUGCAAUAUUUAAAAAUUGACGGUACACAUGCUUUUUAAAUAAGAUCUCGUCUCUGAGUUAGAGUAAACUGUCAAGACUUAAAACUUACUUACUUUACCUUCACCAUGGGACUUGUAACCGUCACUUCUGUCUUGAGUAGUUAAAAGAUAGAACAGUCUAGCCAAGUGCCGUGUCUCUUAUUCUUGAUCAGCUAUAGCUCUAGAGUUUUUGUAGAUUUUCAAAUAAAACUCAAAGAUUCCUUGUAUGAUUCUCUCAGAUCUCUCUUUCGUGGUAUUUCUGGAUCCUUACCAAGGCAGUGAUGGUAUAUGCCUUCUCUCAAUAUAUGUAGUAUUUGUGGUAUGAGGCAUAGUGACAUUGCCUUCUCUCUCACCCUACUCUAAUAAGGCUUUAAUAUCUGGAGCUCAUAGGUGGGAGAUAAAGUAUACAUACUUACAAGACAUUUAUUGCAUAGUCAAACCAUGGAUCCAAAGAAACAUAUCAAUAAGCCAAAUCAAGAUGUGCAUGUGUGGCGAAUGAAUGGUGUAUGGUGAUAACGGUGAUAACAAUGGUGGAAACAAUGGUGGUGGAAGUCUAAUUCUACUUUCCUCUUUGAGGGGAUACAUACCUUCCUUGCUUUUGAAACUUUAUGAGGAGAAUGAGAUGCUCAUCUUUUUCUUUUCUUUCGAGGUUCCGAGCACUUGCUCCUUUUUAUUUCCUCGUAUCUUUUUUCUUUUUCUCUCUUUUUUCUUUUUUUUAAAGCAUUCAUCUCUUGAGAUAAUAUAGCAAGUGGUAGUAACAAGAUAACUUGAGCAUUUAUUUCACAAGGGGAAAACAGAAAUAUUUUUGGUUAUUCUCUCCCGGAUUAGGAGUAGAAUAUUUUUGGUUGGUUCUGGAGAUGGAAUGGGUGGAUAUAUGUGGAUGGUACUUCCGGAGUAGAAGUAGCAUAUAUGAGUGAACGUACAAGUCAAUCUUGAUUUAACCACAUGACAAGUUCCUAAGGGUCUACACAGCUUGACCACACUCAAUGCUCAUAAGCAGUAAAUAAUAAAUGUGUGGCUCAAAGUCUAGCAAGCAUGUAUAUAUGGCUGUGGUAGGAAUUUAAACUCUCAUCAUAUAGGAACUUAUCAUGCAACAUUUUAAAGAUUUUCAAAGAUAAAAUUCUCCAGAAUUCUAGCAUCUCUAGGAAUAGAUAAACAGCAGCUCAACCUUCCCAUAUCAUAUCCGUUAACAACUUAGACUUCAGAUCAAGUUUUCAUCCCACAAGUUUAGGUCUAGAGCAAGCUUUAAAUUAUAACAGUUAUAUCUAAACUUGAGAGAGAACUUAAAAUUUGCAAAUUAGGCAGAGCAACUAUUUAUCAUAUCCAUGCUUAAGUUUUAUUUAGAUACAGAUUAGCAUAGCCACUUUAUUUAUUAAACACACUAAGCAAAAGAUAUAUAAGCAUAAAAUCUUUAUUUGGUUUUCCAUAGUUUAUGUGUAUUUAUAUUCUAAAAUAAUAUAAGUAUAAAGAUAGAUAGAAAUACUUAUCGAGAUAAAUGGGGGUGCUCUCCCCCAAGCUGAAUUUUGACGUAAUUUCUCUUGAUGUAGCUAGCAGAUGACAGAGGUGUGUUUGAAAGUCAGCAGCAUUCUGACAGCGAUUAGAAUGUCCUCCGUCUGCUAGUCUUCUUGAUUCUUAAAUUCUGUGGAGCUCAAAUAGACAACAUAGCUUGUGGAACUGAUUAAGUGUUAGCAUAAAUAUCUAGCCUUUAUCAUGUUGAGACUCCUUAAUAAUUGUUACUCCCUGUUUUUAUAUUUUUGUUUUUAUAGAGCAGAAAAAAUAUUUAUUUUAUUUUUAUGCCACCACAGUGAAUGUACUUAUGGGUUUUAUGCCACUCAUCUACUCACAUGGGGCUUACAGUUUUUUCACAUUUUUAUUUUCUUUUUAAGAUAGUAUGAAUAUGAUUAACUCAGUAAACUAUUUGAAAUAAAUAAAAGGGAAAAGAUAACUACCAAGUUUACCUCUUGGCAAGGCGUUCGGUGUUUUUAAGUCCUCCGAAAGGGACUCUCCAUUUUCUUAAUCGUCCUGAGGUUCGUUGGGUGGCGUAGUCGGUACUUCCGGCAGCGCCUCCUCUUCUUGUAUAGUUAUCUUCAUUUUCCAUACCUGACUUGGUGCUUUAAUCUCCUUUGGAUAAUUCUGUUUAAACUCUACGUCUUCUGACCUUAUAACUUCUCCUUCAUAGUCUGCCCAUCCGUCCUUGAUGAUCUGCCUCCUCUGGAUGCGUCGCUUUCUUACCUGCUUAGAUUCUUCAACGAUAUAGUUAGGGUUAGUAAAAUAACGGCGUACCUUCUCUAAGGGGAAGUGCAUAUGGACUUCUCCGGUUCCAAUGUAGAUAAUUGCUUUAACGGUGCUGAGGAACGGUCUUCCAAGGAUGAUGGGUGGAUCAUACUCAUCUUCUCCCUUGUCAAUAACUUGAAAGUCUGUGUAGACAAAGUGAUCGUCUAUUUUGACCGGGACAUCAGAUACUAUUCCUUUAACUUCUCGAAAUGUCUGAUCUGCCAUCUGGAGCUGAAUGUAUGUUGGUCUUAGGGGCAUGGUUCCGAAUAAGAGCCGAUAGGUGACUGCGGCCAUUAUGUUGACGCCCGAUCCGGUGUCGCAAAUCGUCUUGUAGAAGUUGUAUCCAUUUAUGGAGCAGUAGAUGCUUGGCAUUCCUGGGUCGUCCUUCUUGGUCAAAAGUGGUGACUUAAGUUGGUGAUCUUGGCCUCCAUGAACUACAGUGACCAUCUUAGCUGACUCGGUCCACACUUGCUUGUUCCUGUUUCUCCUAUUGGUCCUCUUCCUUGAUUUACGUCUGGAUUGAUCUUGAAUUUGUGUAGUCUUGUUCUUGAAGAAAAAUGUCUCCUUCUUCCCUUUGACGUAGAAACUGAUCUUGGCAGCACUGGCGUUGAUGAUAACUCCCGUGGUGUUCAAGAAUGGCCUCCCUAGGAUGAUAGGUGCUCUCUCAUCAUUCCCGGUCUCUACCACUACGAAGUCUGCUGGGGCAUACAAGGUACCAACUCGGACACAAAGGUUCUUCACUAUUCCUUUUGGAAAACUUAUCGUCUGAUCUGCAAACUGCAAACACAUGGUUGUUUCUAAUAAAGGAUACGUAAAGAAUUUCUCAUAGAGUACCCUGGGUAUAAUGUUGACACUGGAGCCAAAGUCACAGAGUGCUUCUGGAACGUCCACCAUGCCGAUGGAGAUCGGGAUGACGGGGCGUCCUGGAUCGCCUCUCUUGACCGGCAGAAGGUCAGUAGAGAAUUCAUUGACGGGGUUACUCCAAUUACCUGCAUCAAACAUGUCUACAAGAUUUGCAGAUUCUAAUCCUUCCAGUUGUGAUGGUAUACCGGGGUUAGUAGUAGGAACAGCAGCAGCUAUUUGAUUUAACUGAGAUUCAAUCAUUUUAUUAAAGCUAAUUUGAUUCUUGAUGGCAGUAGAAAAAUUAUCCAUUCUAUUAUUUAUAUUUUCUAGCAUUUUAUCAUUAGAUGCCAAUUUCUUAGAUAGAUUAUCCAUUAGCUUGCCUUGAUUAGACACUAACUCUCUCAAAGGUGGAAAAUUAUUAUUAUUGUUGUAAGAAUUGUUACCUUGAUAAUUACCUCAGUAGUUAGGCCUCUGUUGAUUCCAACCUUGAUUUUGUUGAGGACGGUUGUAGUAGUAGUUGUUGUUGUUGAUGAUGUUGUUCACAUCCUCAAGCAUCUCAGGGCAGUGGUUGCCUGAGUGUCCAGUGUCUCCACACUCCUCACAAGUCAUGUGAGAGUCGUAGAUGUUCAUAACUUCUUUCUUAUCUCCAGCUCUAUCAUCGAGCUUCUUCAUGAGCAGGUCUAGCUUUGCAGACAGCAUGUCUACCUCCUUCAGCUGAUGUAUACCUCCACCUCUCUUGCCUGUCUGGGUCCUCUCUUCAUUCCAGCUUUGGUUGGACGCCAUCUUCUCCACAAGAGUUGUGGCUUGUGGUAUAGUAAGUGAUAAGAAUGCUCCUCCAGCUGCAGCAUCCAUGGUCUCUCGGGCACUGUUGCUGAGCCCAUGAUAGAAUGUCUGCAUCAAUAGCCAGCUCUCCAUUCCAUGAUGGGGACAUUCUAGGAUGUAGUCUUGAAAGCGCUCCCAUGCUUCUGGAACAGAUUCAUCAUUUUGUUGCUGAAAACUUGUAAUCUUCCCACGGAGAGCAUUGGUCUUGCCCAUGGGAAAGAACUUAGCCAGGAAGUUUGUUGAGCAGAGUGCCCACAUAGUAUUCUUCUCCUUGGUAGCGUAGAACCACUGCUUCGCUCUUCCUAACAGUGAGAAUGGGAAGAGGCGAAGUAGUAUAGCGUCUUUGGAAACUCCUGCUAUGGUGAAUGUGUUGCAAAUCUCCAGGAAGUGUUGUAAAUGAGCACUAGCAUCUUCGUGUGCCUUCCCACAGAAUUGGUUGGAUUGCACCAUGUUGAUAAGUCCAGGCUUGAGCUCAAAGUUGCCGUCGAUCUCUGUAGCAGGUCCAGUGCGGAUGUUGUCCGUAGUGGGAGCUGAGAACUCGCGGAUUGAUUUGUUCGCCAUGGCUUCGAACUCUGAAGACAAGUUCCGGUGAUCUUCUUGAUUGGAAGCUUCUUCGUGAAGUGUUGAUGAUCUCUUCUUGAGUUUGGCCCUCGUCUUCUUGAAUAAUGCUUCGGGAUUGUCAACAAAAUUUCCUGGAAGAUGUCUUCUAUUCAUACAUUCCCCUGCAUAAGAUGAAAUACAAAAAUAUCGGGGUAAAACUGUAUGAGAGAAUAGAUAAGCUCAAUCAUAUUAGUGAUGCGAAUGAUAACUCAAAAUCUUUUAUUCCAUUCCUGAUUGGUAAUCAACCUUCCCCGGCAAUGGCGCCAAAAAUGCUUGUUGGGUAUUCUUAACAUCAUUACCAAAAGUAGACUAAGUUCUCUAAAUCUAGCAACGGUGCCAAAAAUGCCAAACCUAUCCCUCACACCACUUAUGCCAAGUUGUCAUCCCCAGCAUGAUAUAAGAGACGCGGUAUUGAAAUAUGCAAUUGCUCUUCUAAAUGAAUAAUGAAUGGGAUCUGCAAGCGCACAGAUUAAUACCGAUGCAGCAUUUUAACCGGGAAGUAUUCCAGGUAUCGUUAUUUAUAUUUUUACCACUAGGAAGGGAUUAGAAAUCAUCACUAAUGAUUACAGAAUAGAAUAUGAGAUUGGGCAUCUAUCAUUGCAUGUAUAAUUGAGAACAUUAUAUCUAACUCUUCAUACAGGGAUAAGUGUCACAUAAAAGAUAUAUGAAGUAAUAAUAGUGACAAGGAUAAUUAAUCUGAUCUAGCCACAUAAUAAAUAUGAUAAGCACCUCAAUUAGAUACUCUAGAAAGUCAUUAGCAUGGUAUUAGAACGAACUACAAGAAUAUUCCCUAAGUUAUUCUUAACUAUAUAGUCUAGCAUUAUCAUAAUUAGUGCAAGCAUACUUAGCAAUCAUUGUGAGACAAGACUACGCCCAUGCAUAGUGAUAUUAGCAAGGAAUAUGAGAAACAUAGCAAUCACUCCCCUGUAAUAAUGUUGCUCUGCCAGCCCAAUACACGAGAGGGGGACUAUAUAAGAAUCAAUGAAGCUGUCACUAUCACGAACUACCCCACGAUCUGGCAUAUUGGGUACAAUCGCAGAUAAAUACGGUAUAAGCACCACGCCUACACAAUAUCUAUCAUUUACCCAUGGAUCCGAUGGAUAAACGCUAUACGAUCCUAAGCAUGUAUAUAGAUCCAAUCUAACUAAGCCAAGUACAUAACUAUGAUAAACUAAGAACAAUAUAAUCUUGAAUAUAAGCAAGUAGAGCAAAGUCAUAAGCAAUAUAUUGAAGUAGAACAAAGUCAUAUUCAUAAUAUUGAAGAACAAAGAUAAUUAGAAAGCAAUUAGAAGCACAAUUAGAGAAUUACCAAGAAUCCUCCUGACAGAUCCGGAAACCAAUCGAAGAUUGACUCCUUCUAGUUCUAAUCCUAUGUAGCUAUGCUAAUCUAGAUGUCUAAUUGAUGUGGUGGCUCUAAUCUUGAUUAGAGGCUUCUUCUCCCUUGAUGGAACAAUGAAUUAGGGUUGAGAGGCUCCCUCCUCCAGGGGCCGGGGGGUCUGGUUUUAUAGUCCCUCCAAGUGAAUAUGGGCCAAUGGAUCAAACUGACAUAGAUUGUAUGGUUUAGAUUCAUCCUUUAGGUCGGUGGAGAUCUCCCGCAAAGCAGAGUCCUGAUUGGACUUGGGGGCAGGGCGGGCGCCCAAUAGGACAGGGCGGGCGCCCUGUCUCUGGCCCCGUUUCGCCUCCGCUUCGGUCUCGUGGCUUCUGGAGUCUUCUAGAUGUAAGAUAAUUGCGCAGCACGUUAAUAUCUUUAUGUAAUCCCGACAUGUGGGCCUUUCUUCCAUAUUUCCUGAUAACCCCCUGCAGAAAUAGACAAAUACCAAAACUCGUGGAAUUCUGUCAGAUAAAACCCUAAGUCUGGAUGUUGAUUUCAUUUGGAUCCUUUUCUUUAUUUAUUUGAUAAUUAAAUUUGAUACUUAAGGACCGUCAAGAAUAACUUCCAUGCUCACUAUUGUUUCUCUCAUUCUCAAACUCCAAGGAUGAUUCUUCCUGAAUGCUUAAAAUUCCUCUAGGAUUGUCUCUCAAGUUUGUUUUAUCUAUCCAUUCAAUGGUGAUAGCACAUGGAUUUUUAAUGCCUUCUAGCCAUCGAUGUUGCUCUUCUCGAUCCUCCUUGUGGUCUUGGUGACUCUUAUGCAUGGGAUGUCUAGAGAGAUUCAUAGGAUUAUCGGGAGGUUCAAGAGAAAGAGCGUAGUAGAAAUUAUUAAGCUCAAGGAUGGGUUGGAUAGCCGAAUCAUGGGAUUGGAAUGUUUGGAAAUCGGCUAUUGAAAUUUCCUUUCCUUGUCUGGGAGAUGAUUCCUUCUCUAUCUCUAAGAUUUUUCUAUGAAGACUAGUACAAGAAGGAUGUCCACGAAUGAAGACAUACCUUCCUUUACUAAUAGAUAAAGAAAGAAGGACUCUACCAAAGGUUAUAUGAUUAAGACCAAUGUGAAAAUAUCUAGGAAAAACAUGGUCUUGUAGGGCUAGGUCUAAACCAGAAUUUAUAGAAUGAUUAACAGAUUCCCUAGGUGUAGCCAAAAGUGCAUUAUCUUCUUGAUUAAAAGAUAGGACCUUGGCUAUAGAAAAGGGUUGGCUUUGACCUAUUGCAAUCAACUCCGAACACAGAUCAUAAUUAGGGGCAGGACUUGUUGACUCCCAUGGUCUAUGGCUGUGGGGGUAUAAACCCCUAUACCCUUACGGCUAGACUUCGGCCAGGAGGCUUGGCCCAUUACGAGACGAGUUCAAGGCUUGAUCCGACAACCUGGAGUUUCGCGCAAGGAAACAAGAUGUGGAGAUCAAGCAGGAUUCUAGUCGGUUAGAAUAGGAAUUGAUAUCGAAUUAUCCAUGGCAAUUGUAACCGACUAGGAUUAGUUUCCAGAUCUGUAACCCUGCCCUCUAGACUAUAUAAGGAGGGGCAAGGGACCCCCCUAGGACAUCAUAUUCUCUCAACACAAAUCAAUACAACCAGACGCAGGACGUAGGUAUUACGCCAACUCGGCGGCCGAACCUGGAUAAAAAGCUUGCCCGUGUCUUGCGUCACCAUCGAGUUCGUAGUUUGCGCACCGUCUACCGAUAAACUACUACCGUGGGUAUACCCCAAGGUAGACUGCCGACUAGCUUUCGUCGACAAUGGCUGGUCUCUGAAGGUGCAAAGAAUUCAAUAAUAGGUAUGGAAUUUAACUUAUCCAUAAAAAAAGAUAAAAGAAUAAAAGUAUAAAAGUAUAAUACAAGAUAAUAGCAAGAUUCAAAGUUAUCUCAGCAAACCGUCUUUCUCCCCGGCAAUGGCGCCAGAAAUGCUUGUUGAUAUUUGGUAACGCAAUAAGAAAAUGAUCCGCAAGCGCACGGAUAUCGGUGAGCAUUUCACCCAGGAGGUUAUCCAGAGUAUCGUAUUUAUAUUUUUACCACUAGGAGAAAGGGUGCAUCUAACUAACCAAAUCUAUUGCUACUAUCCCUUUAGGCUACAAAGAAUGUUUCUCGAUGUGAGUGACGUAUAGAGAAGACUCCAACCGUAGUCUCGUUCUAACCUUGGUAAGGAUGAUCUACUGUUCUAUUGGGGAAGCUUACGGAAUCUAGACAUCACAAAGGAUGUUCGACCCGCACCUAUAAACCUACCCGUCUUGCUAACAAGAUAUGGGAUACAAAGGUUACUCGGAAAUGUCACGUUCCUCGCUACUACCACGGUCCAGCUAGUUAGGGGAUAUCUAUGAGUACCCUAGCCUAAACACCACGUUUACGCUAGCAAUGAUUACUCUAAUACUCAACCGGAAGAGGAUUAAAGUAAACUCAUAAACCAAAGAACAAUAAAACAAGAACUUACUAGAAUUAGAAGUCAAAAUACUGAAGAAUCUUAGAAGCAAGCCUCGGGUUAGGAGACUUGAUCCCGCAGGUACAACUCGGAGUAGACACCGACAGGCCGGCCUUCCUCCGAUCUACACCUCCACUCUAUCUCUCUCAAUCUAGUAGAAACUAGAAGAUCUAUUUCUACUCACAUUGGUUGCUAAGCCUAAAAAGAAAUAUUAUUGAGAGAAGAGGUUUUCCUUCGAGGGCAGCCCUCAACUCUAUGAUAACUUCUUGUCUUCUCCAGGGGCUAGGGGGGUCUCCUUAUAUAGUCCUCCUCCUCUAUGCAUUUUUGAGUCGGUAGGCGAUGUGGUACUACGUUAUCCUUGAUCCUUUAGGUCGGUGGAACAUCGUGUGCGAAGAGAGUCCCGAACGGAGUCCAGGUCAGGGCGGGCGCCCAGGGAAGGAGGGCGGACGCCCUGGGCCUGGCCCCUUUCGGCCUCUGCUUUCUUCCCGUGGCUUCUGGAGUCUUCUAGAUGGUAGAAAAUUGCGCGGUGCGUUGAUAUCUCUAUGCAAUCCCGACAUGUGGGCCUUUCUCCCAUAUUUCCUGAUAACCCCCUGCAGAAAUAGACAAACACCAAAACUCGUGGAAUUCUGUCAGAUAAAACCCUAAAUCUGGGUGUUGGUUGCAUUUGGAUCCUUUUCUUUACUUAUUUGAUGAUUAUAUUUGGUACUUAAGGACCGUCAACAACCGUGUUCACCUCGUGGUCGUGGUCGCGAGGGCGCUUGCCCCUGAAAUCAUCGCGAUUGUCACGCCGCCUAUCCCAACCUUCUCUGUGGUCGCGGUUGUCAGGGCGACGAUGGUUCCUGUUGUCAAAACGACCACGACUGUCGUCCCGUCGAGGAAGCUGGUCGGGACCUCUCGCAUCCUCUCGGAUGAGCUUUUCUACGUCAUCGGCGUCAGCGUAGUUUUUUGCCGUGGCAAGGAGCUCGGCCAUCAUGGUCGGCCUUUUACGCAGUAGCUUGUUCCUCAAUGCUUCGUGGAAGCGUAGACCUUUGAUGAAAGCCGAUAUGGCCUCAUCGUGAGAAAUUUUCAGAAUUUUAAGACGCAUAUGCGAGAUUCGUCGGAUGUAAUCAUGCAGAGGUUUGUUUUUCCUGUCCCUUAUUCGCUCGAGGUCGUACUUGUUCUCAGGCUGCUCGCAGGUAGCGAUGAAAUUGUCGAUAAACGCCUGGCGCAGUUCUUCCCAAGAGUCGAAAGAGUCCUCGGGCAGGCCAAGGAGCCACUGAUGACUAGCCUGGUCGAGGACAACUGGGAAGUAGUUAGCCAUGACGUGCUCAUCUCCUGCUGCUGACCGGACUGCAAUCUCGUAGAGAGUGAUCCAGUUUUCUGGGUUUUCCUUGUCGUCGUAUUUUUUAAGCUUCUCGAGUUUAAAGUUGUGGGGCCAGACGACUUGGCGAAGGUGUGAAGAGAACUGUCUUAGGCUGGGGGGGCCGUGCGCGACAUCGUACUCAAUGCGCCGCAGGUUUUCGUGCACGGCCCUUUCUGUGGCGCGCCUGUUGAUGCGGUCGCGGGCGUCUUUCGGAGGGAUGUUGUAUCGUAGAUCUCUGUCCUGGUUUACUUCCUAACCACGCCCACGCCUUUGCUCGCGGUAGCCGCCGGCGUCCCGACCACAGUUGUCGCGCCCCACAUCCUUCCUACAAUGGUUGGGGGAGCGGCUACGGUGGCGCUCGCUUGGUUGUGGUGAAGUCCGGCUACGAUGAGUCUGGUCGGAAGAGACCUCUGUGUAGGAGAUAGCUUGGACCCUUUUGAGUAAGGUGGCUGUCUGUCCCAUCGCGGCGAUCAGGUGUGCGCGUACGCUGGAUCGGACACCCUGGCACUCAGGAGUAUCAGGGAGUCGGUCCAGGUUUGCCAUAGCAACAGCCACGUUAGCACUUGGCGUUUUGUAGACUUGCUGAUCUCCGACCAUGUCGAAAGCAUCACUGAGGUUAUGCGGUGCAAAUUGCCGUUCCUCAUCCGCGCGUCGCCGAGCACGGACGGCAUUGCGCUGUUCACGGAGCUGCUUCUGCUCGUCUGUUUCUCCAUCGACGACCGGUUCGUCGUUGCUGACAUUGAAGAUAAGAUCUCCCCGCCGGGGCGGAAAGACUGGGAAGCGAGAGAAACCCGGAGGAUACGGUGGUAAAUCCAGGUCGUAAUCUUCAUCCUCAGAAUUUAUAACCUCGGUGGGAGCGGACCCUGUGCUGGAGUUCGUGCUGGAAGCCUGGUCGUUCGGUAGCACUUGGAUUGUCACCAUGUUGACGUAAUGGUGAGCUGGUCGACUGCUCUGUUUCGACGACCAACCCGCCAUGUUGAAAAGGGAUUGGACGUGCCGUGAGUAGUGAACGGCCGAGUUAUUUAAUCCAUAGGGAGGACUCUGGUCUGGAUCUGCCUUGAGCUCGACGGACCGCCCCGUGGGGGUGGACGUUAUUGUCAGAGACGUCCCCAGCUGUUCGUGCAUGACGACACGAGUUGGCCGGCAGGAGUCGAAAGAGUCUGUCGGUGCGACUUGAUCAGAUCGGCGCGAGAUCCCAUCUAUCAGUCGGGAAGCUUCAAGAAGCCUGAGAUCGGUGCGAUCAAGGGCUCGAAAAAGAUCCGAGUCGUCAACCUUUUUUCCCUUGUAACGAGGGAGCGGAGGUCGAGUGCUCGGUGCCGGCGUGAUCGGAAUCGACGCCGCUGUCGCCCCAGAUCGGAUCUGGGUUUCUUCCGAAGUCGUGGUCGUGAGGCCGCCGCCAUGAGUCGUCCACGUGAUCUGGCCGACGGUGAACACGAGGCCUUUAGGCACGGCCGCGGAAGCUGGAAUGAUGACCAUCUUGUUCGUUGAGAGAGCUGUACGCACACCCCCUACCUGGCGCGCCACUGUCGACGAAAGCUGGUCGGCAGUCUACCUUGGGGUAUACCCACGGUAGUAGUUUAUCGGUAGACGGUGUGCAAGCUACGAACUUGAUGGUGACGCUAGACACGGACAAGCUUUUUAUCCAGGUUCGGCCGACGUGUGGGCGUAAUACCUACGUCCUGCGUCUGGUUGUAUUAGAUUGUGUUGAGAGAUAAUGUGUCCAAGGGGGGUCCCUUGCCCCUCCUUAUAUAGUCCGGAGGGCAGGGUUACAGAUCUGGAAACUAAUCCUAGUCGGUUACAAUUGCCAUAGAUAGUACGAUAUCAAUUCCUAUUCAUCAAGUGGAAACGUCAUGAUUACAAAGUUUGUUACACUCAUCAAGUUCUACAUUUAGUCUAAUGGUCAACUUUUCAUUUGGAAAAGUUUGAACCACUCAAUUUUGAAUUUUGAAAUAAUUCAUAGCCACGCAUCGGUUUUGAAACCCUAGAUGGUCUCGAAUGGAAAAGUCAUGAAUACCAAUAUUGUUCCACUCAUCAAAAUCUACAUUUAAUAUAUAGACCAUUUUUGCAUUUGACAAAGUUUUGGAAAGGUGUAGUUGAAACUCCACAAUUGAAACAUAUAGUCUCAUAUAGUUUGUGUGAGAUUCAAGAUUUGGUGGGUAUUGUUAACUUAAACUUUCUCAAAUGGAAAAAUUGUGUAUAUAAAAGUUUAGAUCUUGAUGAUAUCUGACAACUUGGUAUUCAAAAUUUUUUCAUUUUAAGUAAUUUAGUUUGUCAUUUGACCAAGUUUGACCAAAACCCAUCUUGGAUUUUAAAGAAAUGUGCCUAGGAUUGGCUCAAAUUUAUCCAAAUGGAAAAAUGGACAAUAUAUCAAAUGUAGAUCUUAAUGAUCUCUAACAACUUUGUAUUCCAAUUGUUUUCAUUUGAAGUCAUCAAAUGGGUCAUUUGACCAAGUUUGACCAAAGUCAAAGUAUUGGUUUUUACAAAAACACCCUUUGACCGAACCCUAGAAGGUCCCAAAUGGAAACGAAAUGAUUACAUAGUUUGUUACACUCAUCAAGUUAUACAUUAAGUCUAAUGGUCAACUUUUCAUUUGGAAAAGUUUGAACCAAUCAAUUUUGAAUUUUGAAAUAAUUCAUUGCCACGCAUCGGUUUCAGAACCCUAGAUGGUCUCGAAUGGAAAAGUCAUGAAUACCAAUAUUGUUCCACUCAUCAAAAUCUACAUUUAAUAUAUAGACCAUUUUUGCAUUUGACAAAGUUUUGGGAAGGUGUAGUUGAAAAUCCACAAUUGACACAUAUAGUUUCAUAUAGUUUGUGUGAGAUUCAAGAUUUGGUGGGUAUUGUUAACUUUAACAUUCUCAAAUGGAAAAAUUGUGUAUAUAAAAGUUUAGAUCUUGAUGAUAUCUAACAACUUGGUAUUCAAAUUUCUUUCAUUUUAAGUAAUUUAGUUUGUCAUUUGACCAAGUUUGACCAAAACAUGUCUUGGAUUUUAAAGAAAUGUGCUUAGGAUUGGCUCAAAUUUACCCAAAUGGAAAAAAGGACAAUAUAUCAAAUGUAGAUCUUAAUGAUCUCUAACAACUUUGUAUUCAAAUUAUUUUCAUUUGAAGUCAUCAAAUGGGUCAUUUGACCAAGUUUGACCAAAAUCAAAGCAUUGGUUUUUACAAAAACACCCUUUGACCGAACCCUAGAUUGUCCCAAAUAGAAAAGUCAUGAAUAAAAAGUUUGAUACACUCAUCAAGUUCUACAUUUAGUCUAAUGGUCAACUUUUCAUUUAGAAAAGUUUAAACCACUCAAUUUUGAAUUUUGACAUAAUUCAUAGCCACACAUCGGUUUCGGAACCAUAGAUGGUCUUGAAUGGAAAAGUCAUAAAUACCAAUAUUGUGCCACUCAUCAAAAUCUACAUUUAAUAUAUAGACCAUUUUUGCAUUUGACAAAGUUUUGGGAAGGUGUAGUUGAAAAUCCACAAUUGACACAUAUAGUCUCAUAUAGUUUGUGUGAGAUUCAAGAUUUGGUGGGUAUUGUUAACUUAAACAUUCUCAAAUGGAAAAAUUGUGUAUAUAAAAGUUUAGAUCUUGAUGAUAUCUAACAACUUGGUAUUCAAAAUUUUUUCAUUUUAAGUAAUUUAGUUUGUCAUUUGACCAAGUUUGACCAAAACCCGUCAUGGAUUUUAAAGAAAUGUGCUAGGAUUGGCCCAAAUUUAUCCAAAUGGAAAAAUGGACAAUAUAUCAAAUGUAGAUCUUAGUGAUCUCUAACAACUUUGUAUUCCAAUUGUUUUCAUUUGAAGUCAUCAAAUGGGUCAUUUGACCAAGUUUGACCAAAGUCAAAGCAUUGGUUUUUACAAAAACACCCUUUGACCAAACCCUAGAUGGUCCCAAAUGGAAACAUCAUGAUUACAUAGUUUGUUACACUCAUCAAGUUCUACAUUAAGUCUAAUGGUCAACUUUUCAUUUGGAAAAGUUUGAACCACUCAAUUUUGAAUUUUGAAAUAAUUCAUAGCCACACAUCGGUUUCGGAACCCUAGAUGGUCUCGAAUGGAAAAGUCAUGAAUACCAAUAUUGUUCCACUCAUCAAAAUCUACAUUUAAUAUAUAGACCAUUUUUGCAUUUGACAAAGUUUUGGGAAGGUGUAGUUGAAACUCCACAAUUGAAACAUAUAGUCUCAUAUAGUUUGUGUGAGAUUCAAGAUUUGGUGGGUAUUGUUAACUUAAACUUUCUCAAAUGGAAAAAUUGUGUAUAUAAAAGUUUAGAUCUUGAUGAUAUCUAACAACUUGGUAUUCAAAAUUUUUUCAUUUUAAGUAAUUUAGUUUGUCAUUUGACCAAGUUUGACCAAAACCCGUCAUGGAUUUUAAAGAAAUGUGCUAGGAUUGGCCCAAAUUUAUCCAAAUGGAAAAAUGGACAAUAUAUCAAAUGUAGAUCUUAGUGAUCUCUAACAACUUUGUAUUCCAAUUGUUUUCAUUUGAAGUCAUCAAAUGGGUCAUUUGACCAAGUUUGACCAAAGUCAAAGCAUUGGUUUUUACAAAAACACCCUUUGACCAAACCCUAGAUGGUCCCAAAUGGAAACAUCAUGAUUACAACGUUUGUUACACUCAUCAAGUUCUACAUUUAGUCUAAUGGUCAACUUUUUAUUUGGAAAAGUUUGAACCACUCAAUUUUGAAUUUUGAAAUAAUUCAUAGCCACACAUCGGUUUCGGAACCCUAUAUGGUCUCGAAUGGAAAAGUCAUGAAUACCAAUAUUGUUCCACUCAUCAAAAUCUACAUUUAAUAUAUAGACCAUUUUUGCAUUUGACAAAGUUUUCUGAAGGUGUAGUUGAAACUCCACAAUUGAAACAUAUAGUCUCAUAUAGUUUGUGUGAGAUUCAAGAUUUGGUGGGUAUUGUUAACUUAAACUUUCUCAAAUGGAAAAAUUGUGUAUAUAAAAGUUUAGAUCUUGAUGAUAUCUGACAACUUGGUAUUCAAAAUUUUUUCAUUUUAAGUAAUUUAGUUUGUCAUUUGACCAAGUUUGACCAAAACCCAUCUUGGAUUUUAAAGAAAUGUGCCUAGGAUUGGCUCAAAUUUAUCCAAAUGGAAAAAUGGACAAUAUAUCAAAUGUAGAUCUUAAUGAUCUCUAACAACUUUGUAUUCCAAUUGUUUUCAUUUGAAGUCAUCAAAUGGGUCAUUUGACCAAGUUUGACCAAAGUCAAAGUAUUGGUUUUUACAAAAACACCCUUUGACCGAACCCUAGAAGGUCCCAAAUGGAAACGAAAUGAUUACAUAGUUUGUUACACUCAUCAAGUUCUACAUUAAGUCUAAUGGUCAACUUUUCAUUUGGAAAAGUUUGAACCAAUCAAUUUUGAAUUUUGAAAUAAUUCAUUGCCACGCAUCGGUUUCAGAACCCUAGAUGGUCUCGAAUGGAAAAGUCAUGAAUACCAAUAUUGUUCCACUCAUCAAAAUCUACAUUUAAUAUAUAGACCAUUUUUGCAAUUGACAAAGUUUUGGGAAGGUGUAGUUGAAAAUCCACAAUUGACACAUACAGUUUCAUAUAGUUUGUGUGAGAUUCAAGAUUUGGUGGGUAUUGUUAACUUAAACAUUCUCAAAUGGAAAAAUUGUGUAUAUAAAAGUUUAGAUCUUGAUGAUAUCUAACAACUUGGUAUUCAAAUUUCUUUCAUUUUAAGUAAUUUAGUUUGUCAUUUGACCAAGUUUGACCAAAACCCGUCUUGGAUUUUAAAGAAAUGUGCUUAGGAUUGGCCCAAAUUUAUCCAAAUGGAAAAAUGGACAAUAUAUCAAAUGUAGAUCUUAGUGAUCUCUAACAACUUUGUAUUCAAAUUAUUUUCAUUUGAAGUCAUCAAAUGGGUCAUUUGACCAAGUUUGACCAAAGUCAAAGCAUUGGUUUUUACAAAAACACCCUUUGACCGAACCCUAGAUUGUCCCAAAUAGAAAAGUCAUGAAUAAAAAGUUUGAUACACUCAUCAAGUUCUACAUUUAGUCUAAUGGUCAACUUUUCAUUUGGAAAAGUUUGAACCACUCAAUUUUGAAUUUUUAAAUAAUUCAUAGCCACACAUCGGUUUCGGAACCCUAGAUGGUCUCGAAUGGAAAAGUCAUGAAUACCAAUAUUGUUCCACUCAUCAAAAUCUACAUUUAAUAUAUAGACCAUUUUUGGAUUUGACAAAGUUUUGGGAAGGUGUAGUUGAAACUCCACAAUUGAAACAUAUAGUCUCAUAUAGUUUGUGUGAGAUUCAAGAUUUGGUGGGUAUUGUUAACUUAAACAUUCUCAAAUGGAAAAAUUGUGUAGAUAAAAGUUUAGAUCUUGAUGAUAUCUAACAACUUGGUAUUCAAAUUUCCUUCAUUUUAAGUAAUUUAGUUUGUCAUUUGACCAAGUUUGACCAAAACCCGUCUUGGAUUUUAAAGAAAUGUGCUUAGGAUUGGCUCAAAUUUAUCCAAAUGGAAAAAAGGACAAUAUAUUAAAUGUAGAUCUUAAUGAUCUCUAACAACUUUGUAUUCAAAUUGUUUUCAUUUGAAGUCAUCAAAUGGGUCAUGUGACCAAGUUUGACCAAAGUCAAAGCAUUGGUUUUUACAAAAGCACCCUUUGACCGAACCCUAGAUUGUCUCAAAUGGAAAAGUCAUGAAUACAAAGUUUGUUACACUCAUCAAGUUCUACAUUUAGUCUAAUGGUCAACUUUCCAUUUGGAAAAGUUGGAACCACUCAAUUUUGAAUUUUGAAAGAAUUCAUAGCCACGCAUAGGUUUCGGAACCCUAGAUGGUCUCGAAUGGAAAAGUCAUGAAUACCAAUAUUGUGCCACUCAUCAAAAUCUACAUUUAAUAUAUAGACCAUUUUUGCAUUUGACAAAGUUUUGGGAAGGUGUAGUUGAAAAUCCACAAUUGACACAUAUAGUUUCAUAUUGUUUGUGUGAGAUUCAAGAUUUGGUGGGUAUUGUUAACUUAAACUUUCUCAAAUGGAAAAAUUGUGUAUAUAAAAGUUUAGAUCUUGAUGAUAUCUAACAACUUGGUAUUCAAAUUUGUUUCAUUUUAUGUAAUUUAUUUUGUCAUUUGACCAAGUUUGUCCAAAACCCGACUUGGAUUUUAAAGAAAUGUGCUUAGGAUUGGCUCAAAUUUAUCCAAAUGGAAAAAUGGACAAUAUAUCAAAUGUAGAUCUUAAUAAUCUCUAACAACUUUGUAUUCAAAAUGUUUUCAUUUGAAGUCAUCAAAUGGGUCAUUUGACCAAGUUUGACCAAAGUCAAAGCAUUGGUUUUUAGAAAAACACCCUUUGACCGAACCCUAGAUGGUCCCAAAUGGAAAAGUCAUGAAUACUAAGUUUGUUACAAUCAUCAAGUUCUACAUUUAGUCUAAUGGUCAACUUUUCAUUUGGAAAAGUUUGAACCACUCAAUUUUGAAUUUUGAAAGAAUCCAUAGCCACGCAUCGGUUUCGGAACCCUAGAUGGUCCCAAAUGGAAAACUUAUGAAUACAAAGUUUGUUACACUUAUCAAAAUUCACAAUUCUCAAAUAUAGUUUCAUACAAUUCUCAGAAUUCGUACAUUUUACGACACAUACUAUUAAACAUUACUUUAUAUUAAGCCGACACAACAGUAAACUUCUUCUUGACGUAUGACCCUUGGUUAUGAUCCUGCCGUAACCAUAGAGUAUCCUCAUUGUUUAAUAGAAUGCUUGGGUCUUUGUUGACUAUUGUUGAUGGUCCUUAAGUAUCUAAUAUAAUCAUCAAAUAAAUAAAGAAAAGGAUUGCAUAGAGGGUUUUGGUGUUUGUCUAUUUAUACAGGGGGUUAUCAGAGAAUAUGGAGGAAAGGUCCACACGUCGGGUUUACAUAGAGAUAUUAACAUGCACCGCAAUUAUCCAACAUCUAGAAGAGUCCAGAAGCCACGGGAACGAGCGGGAGGCCGAGUGGGCCUGGGGUCUGGGUGCCCGCCCUCCCCCCUUGGGCGCCUGCCCAAGGCUCUCAGCCAAUCAGGCUCCGUCUCACGGAUAAUGCUCCACCGACCUAAAGGAUUAAGGAAAACUGUGCGAUUAAGGUUGGUUUGAUCCAACGGCCCAUAUUCAUUUGGAGAGGCUAUAUAAGUAGGCCCCCUGACCCCUGGAGGAGGCACUCAUUCUCAUUCCUCAAACCCUAAUUCAUUCAUCAGGAAGAGAGUCUCUGAUCAAUCCCUAGAGCCACCACAUCAACUAGAUCUCUAGUUUAGCAUAGCUACAUAGGACUAGAACUAGAAGGAGUCAAUCUUUGAUUGGUUUCCAGAUCUGUAAAGAGGAUUCUUGGUAAUUCCCCUACUGUUCUUUAUUUGUUCAUCAUUGUUCUUCAAUAUUAUGAAUACAAAUUUGUUCUAUUUCAAUAUAUUGAUUAUGAGUUUGCUCUACUUGUUUAUAGUUGAUCAUAGUUAUAUGCUUGGCUUAGUUAGAUUGGAAUUAUAUACAUGUUUAGGAUCGUAUAGCGUUUAUCCAUCGGAUCCAUGGGUAAAUGAUAGAUAUUGUGUAGGCGUGGUGCCUAUACCGUAUUUAUCUGCUAUUGUACCCUAUAUGCCGGAUCAUGGGGUAGUUCGUGGUGGUAACAGCUCCAUUGAUUCUUAUACAGUCCCCCUCCCGUGUAUAGGGCAGGCAGAGCAACAUUAUUUCAGGGGAGUGAUUGCUAUGUUUCUCAUCUUCCUUGAUAAUAUCACUAUGCAUGGGCGUAGUCCUUUCUCGCAAUGAUUGCCAAGUAUAAUUGCACUAACUAUGGUAUGCUAGACUUUAUAGUUAAGAAUAACUUAGUAAAUAUUCUUGUAGUUCAUCCUAAUCCCAUGCUAAUGACUUGCUAGAAUAUUUGUUGAGGUGAUUAUCAUUAUUAUAUGUGGCUAGUUAUGCUGAUCAGAUUAGUUAUCUUUGUCACCAUUCAUACUUUAUCUAUAUUUUAUGUGACAUUUAUCCCUGUAUGCAAGAGAUAGAUGAAUGCUCUCUAUUACACAUGCAAUGAUAGAUACUCAGUUCUAUAUUUCAUUCCAUAAUCAACACUGAUGUUAGUAAUCCCUUCCCAGUGGUAAAAAUAUAAAUAACGAUACCUGUAAUACUUCCCGGUUAAAAUGCUACAUCGGUAUUAAUCUGUGCGCUUGUAGAUCUCAUUUAUUAUUUAUUCAGAAGAGCAAUUGCAUAUUUCAAUACCGCGUCUCUCAUGUCAUGCUGGGGAUGACAACUUGGCUUAAGUGGCAUGAGGGAUAGGUUUGGCAUUUUUUGGCGCCGUUAUCAGAAAUAGAAAACUAAGUCUACUUUUGGUAAUGACGUUAAGAAUGCCCAACAAGCAUUUUUGGCACCGUUGCCGGGGAAGGUUGAUUUACUAAGAAGGAAUGAAUAUGGAAUUAUGGGUCAUCAUUUGCAUCACUAAUACGAUUGAGAUCAUCAAUUCUCUCAUACAGCUUUACCCCUGUACUUUUCUAUUUUUAUUAUUUUAUGCAGGGUGAUGUAUGAAUAGAAGACAUCUUCAAGAAAAUUUUGUUGACGACCCAGAAGCGUUAAUCAGAAAAACCAGAGCCAAGCUCAGAUCGUCAACACUUCAGCGUAAAGCUUCAUCCAAACCAGAAGACCGUCGAAGUUUCAUCCGGAACUUGUCGACGGAGUUCGAAGCCAUGGCGAACAAGUCGAUCCGCGAGUUCUCAGCUCCCACUACGGACAACGUCCGCACUGGACCUGCUGUAGAGAUCGACCGCAACUUUGAGCUCAAGCCUGGGCUCAUCAACAUGGUACAAGCCAACCAGUUCUGUGGGAAGGCACACGAAGAUGCUAGUGCUCAUCUCUAACACUUCCUGGAGAUUUGCAGCACAUUCACUAUAUCAGAAGUCCCCAGAGACGCCAUACUACUUCACCUCUUCCCAUUCUCACUGUUAAGGAGAGCGAAGCAGUGGUUCUACGCAACAAAGGAGAAGAAUACUACGUGGGCACUCUGCUCUACGAACUUUCUGGCCAAGUUCUUUCCCAUGGGCAAGACCAAUGCUCUCCGUGGGAAGAUUAUAAGUUUUCAGCAACAACAUGAUGAAUCCGUUCUAGGGGCAUGGGAGCGCUUCCAAGACUACAUUCUAGAAUGUCCCCAUCAUGGAAUGGAGAGCUGGCUGCUGAUGUAGACGUUCUAUCAUGGGCUUGGUAAUAGCGCCCGUGAGACCAUGGAUGCUGCAGCUGGAGGAGCAUUCCUAUCACUCACCAUACCACAAGCCAUAGCUCUUGUGGAAAAGAUGGUGUCCAACCAAGGUUGGAAUGAAGAGAGGACCUAGACACGCAAGAAAGGUGGAGGUAUGCACCAGCUCAAGGAGGUAGACAUGCUGUCUGCAAAGCUGGACCUGCUCAUGAAGAAGCUCGAUGACAAAGCUCAAGACAAGAAAGAAGUCAUGCACAUCUACGACUCUCACAUGACUUGUGUAGAGUGUGGAGAUACUGGACACGCAGGCAAUCACUACCCUGAGUUGCUUGAGGACAUGAACUACAUCAUCAUCAACAACAACAACUACUACAACCGUCCUCAACAAAAUCAAGGUUGGAAUCAACAGGGGCCUAACUACUCAGGUAACUACUUAGGUAAUUAUCAAGGUAACAGUUCUUACAAUAAUAAUAAUAAUUAUCCACCUUUGAGAGAGUUAGUGUCUAAUCAAGGAAAGCUAAUGGAUAACCUGUCUAAGAAAUUGGCAUCAAAUGAUAAAAUGCUAGAAAAUAUAAAUAAUAGAAUGGAUAAUUUUUCUACUGCCAUCAAGAACCAGAUUAGCUUUAAUAAAAUGAUUGAAUCUCAGUUGAAUCAAAUAGCUGCUGCUGUUCCUGCUACUAACCUCGGUAUACCAUCACAACCGAAAGGAUUAGAAUCUACAAAUCUUAUAGACAUGUUUGAUGCAGGUAACUACUGGAGUAACCCUAUUGUGGAAGUACAUAGUGACCUUCUGCCAGUCAAGAGAGGUGAUCUAGGAUGCCCUGUCAUCCCAAUCUCCAUCAGCAUGGUGGACUUCCCAGAGGCACUCUGCAACUUUGGCUCCAGCGUCAACAUUAUGCCCAGGGUACUCUAUGAAAAAUUCUUUACACAUCCUUUAUUAGAAACAACCAUGUGUUUGCAGCUUGCAGAUCGGACACUAAGCUUUCCAAAAGGAAUACUGAAGAACAUCUGUGUCUAAGUUGGUACCUUGUACGCCCUAGCAGACUUCAUGGUGAUGGAGACCGGUACUGAUGAGAGGGCACCCGUCAUCCUGGGGAGGCCAUUCCUGAACACCUCGGGAGCUGUCAUCUACGCUAGUGCUGCCAAGAUCAGUUUCUACAUCAAGGGGAGGAAGGAGACGUUUUCCUUCAAGAACAAGACUGCACAAAUCCCAGAACAACCCCAAUAUGAACCAAGGAAAAGGACCAACAGGAGGAAUAAGAGCAAGAAGCAAGUGUGGACCGAGUCAGCCAAAAUGGUCACUGCAGUUCACAGAGGCCAAGAUCGUCAACUCAAGCUACCCAUUCUGAUAAAAAAGGACAACCCAGGUGUGCCAAGCAUCCAGUGCUAAAUCAAUGGAUACUAUUUCUAGAAGACACUCUGCGACACCGGAUCAGGCGUCAACAUAAUGGGCACAUUCACCUAUCAGCUUCUGUUCAGAACCAUGCCCCUAAAACCGACAUACAUUCAGCUCCAGAUGGCAGAUCAGGCAUUCUGAAAGGUUGAAGGUAUAGUAACUGAUGUCCCUGUUAAAAUAGACAACCAUUUUGUCUAUAUAGAUUUUUAGGUCAUUGACAUGGGAGAAGACGAGUACGAUCCACCCAUCAUCCUCGGAAGACCGUUCCUCAGCACCGUCAAUGUGAUCAUCUACAUUGGAACUGGAGAAGUCCACAUGCACUUCCCCUCUGAGAAGGUACGCCACUACUUUAAUGACCCUAACUAUAUAGUUGAAGAUUCUAAGCAGGUCAGGACAACAAGAAGGCGAUGCAACCACAAUCAGUGGAGGCAAAACAUCAAGGACGGAUGAGCAGACUACGAAGGAGAGGUAGUAAGGUCUGAGGACAUAUAGCUUGAACAAGAGACCGUAGCACCAAGUCAGGUGUGGAGAGAAAAGAUAGUUCUACACGAAGAGGAGGCGCCGCCGGGAGCACCGUCUACGCCAUCCAGCGAAUCCCAGGACGACUGAGAACACAAGGAGUCUCGUUCGGAGGACUUAAAAACACCGAACACCGUGCCAAGAGGUAAACUUGGUAGUUAUCACUUUCCCUUCUGUUAUUUACUUUUUCUUAAAAAGCUUGUUUAGUUAAUUAGGUUCAUACUAUCUUAAAAAGAAAAUAAAAAUGUUAAAAACAGUAAGCCCCAUGUGAGUAUGCUCGUGGCAUAAAACCCAUAAGUACAUUCACUAUGGUGGCACAAAAAAAAUAAAUAUUUUUCCCUACUCCAUAAAAUGAAAAUAUAAAAAUAGAGAGUAACACUUAUUGAGGAAGCUCAACAUGAUAAAGGCUAGGUAUUUAUGCUAACACUUAACCAGUUCCACAAAGCUUUGUUGUCUAUUUGAGCUCCACAGAAUUCAAAGAAGACUAGCAAACGGAGGACAUCCUAAUUGCUCUCAGGGUGCUACCGACAUUCAAAUAUACCUCUGCUACCUGCUAGCUACAUCAGAAGAAAUUACGUCUAGAUCUAGCUUGGUGGAGAGCACCCCAAUUUAUCCCGCUAAGUAUUUCUAUCUAUAUUUAUACUUAAACUAUAUUAAAAUAAAAAGAUACAUAAUCAUGAAAACCCAAAUAAAUAUUUUGUGCUUGUUGGUGUUUUGCCCUUGGGGGGUCACACCAACGAGUAAAUUUGUAUGCGUGUUCCCUCUCCCAGAUGGUGAUGCAAGAAAGACACAGAGAUUUAUCCUGGUUCGGGCAAGAGAAGGCCCUACGUCCAGCGGGGGGAUGUUUUCUAUUGUCUUGCACCUAAGUGCUUGUACAGGGGUGAAUACAAGUGGAUGUCACGGUGGAUUCUAAGUCCUAGAUGGAAGCGAUGUAUGGGGUGAUGUAUGGUUGUUGUUCUACAUGAAGUGUUCUUUCUAUUCCUUCCUCAGCCUCGCCUUUUAUAGUUCCAAGGGGAGACCUAGGUUACAUGUCGUAGGCAAUAAAAUAAGGUUCGAUAGGAGCGUGGUGCGCUGACCUACUCGAGGCCUCCGUACCGACGUGGCCUCGAGCCGUCUUGUUACUCAGUACUUUGGUGAUGAUUGUGCACGCUUCUGAAUUCGGCUCCUGUGCGUCGCCUUGGAUUGGCUUAACCGUGGGCACGCCUGUACGUCGCGGCAGCAGUCGUGUCCAGAGUGGUUGAGGUGCUGUCUUUCUCCGCCUGACUCUUCUCUGGGAAGGAACGUAUUCGCUCGAGGGUCCGGCACUGCGCAAGGCUUUGUUGAUCGGUGCGCUGACUUUGGGUGCCUCGAGGGGGGUCGUGAUGUGACAUCCCGACUGUCUCACUGUGCUCGGCCAUACUCUUGUUCAUCUGGGGGACAAAGCUAUGAAAAGUGGGAUUGGAUGGGUGCUUGCUCCCUAUCACGUUUCCCGUGACUGUCGGGUUAGGUGAGAACAUGGCAGGCGCAUUAAAUGCUCUGGCUCCCGUACCCGCGACAGGCGGUGGACGACAUCCUUGCGCUCGAGGCCUAUUGAUUCGCAUGACCCCUUUUCCGUGUUCGAGGCUAUGGUCGACAUCAUGCCUUGGCGAUUACGCGUGUUAAGCGGGGGCGUCAAGUCAGGGGCCUUGACUUUGUGGUAGGGUCGUCUCAUUAUGGGCGUUGGUUGGGGUACCCCUUAUUGACACCCUCGACAGUAGCCCCCGAGUCUCUACUCGAGCGCUUGCGCUCGGGUGGAGGCUCUUUCGUCGGUCGAGUUUCCAUGGGGUCGCACGAGUGACCCCCGCGGGGCUCCCCCGAGCCCUUGGAGGAGUCUUUGACUCCUUCGAGGGUUAUGUUGCUUUUUCUAAUGGAAUUUCUCUCGAUCUCCCCUUUCUCCGAAAGUCAUACGUCAUGGAAGAGGGGCUUUGAGCCUCAACCAGUCGGUUUCGCAUUUUCGAGGUUGGAGUCGUGACGUACUCCCGGUGGAGCGAGCGUCACCUACCCAGGUUGAGUCCCUAUCGGGUAAUCCAAGUGAGAACUCGUGCCCCGUUCGAGGGGGUCAGCUGUAGCCCAGAGGCGUUCUCAUAAAAGCAGGGUCAGUGUGGUCGGGGUUACUGGUCUCGUUCGAUAGAGUCCAGCGGCUCGCUGCCUCCCUCCGUGGGGAUUCCUCUCGACCCUCUUGCCCCUGCCUUGGACAUCUCCAGCGAGUUUUCGAGGCAGGCCUCGUUUUCGACCUCUCGCCGGGCAUCGCUUACUCUGGUACUCGAGGGCGACCAUUGAACCCAUCCAGCGGGUCGGUCUGCGAUCCCUCAAGAUUUCUAUCGCGACACGCACAUACCUUAUCUUACAGGAGAAGGAAGGGCUACGGCGGUUCGCUUUCUUGCCCGUUGGGCGCACCUUUUUAGGCGGGAGCCGUUGCAACACUGUGCCGUUUGCGGAAUUCGUAGCGUCAUGUCAGUGAGAGCAACAGGACCGUUAGUCGGCGCAUUUACUAGGGAGGUUACCGUAUUUGCCGGAUCUGCCCGUUGGAGGUUGGACAUCUAUAAAUAUCGUCGGGUCUCUCGGCUGUUACUCCUUCCACCUUCUGCCAUCGUUCUUGCCCUUGCUCUCCUUGCCAUCUCCACGCGCGCGCGCGCACCCUCGAGCACAUAGCAGCGGAGCCGCCUUUCUUCAUCCGUCAAGAUGCCGGUGAGGCUCGUCGCUGCCGAUGACUGGUGCCCGUCGUCGAUGACGCAGUGCCUGCUGCUAGACCUCGAGAAAGAGGGGCUCCUGCGCCCCCGCGUUUCCUCGUUGCGGCCGGAGUGGAUCACGCCGGCGGCGGACCACAGGGAGCCGAGACCGCCCAAGGGGUACGUGGUCUCCUUCGCCAAGUUCCAUCGUCACGGCCUCAGUUCUCCUUCAAGCCGCUUCAUGCGGGCGCUCUGCCACCAUUAUGGUGUGGAGCUCUAGCAUUUCUCACCAAACGGUAUUACCGCCGUGGCGAUUUUAGCCGCGGUGCGCGAAGGCUACCUGGGGAUGAUGCCGCACUGGGACCUGUGGCUUCAUCUGUACCGGGGCGAGCUCUUCCAUGCCCCUGGUGGAGCCACAGGGGUGAGGAAAUCGGUGCGGGCCGGCUGCCUUAACCUGGUGCAGAAGACUAGGAAGGCGGAGGAGCCUCGAGAGUACAUCCCGGUGGGGCUGACGUCGAACCACGCCCAAUGGGUCUCCCAAUGGUUCUAUCUUCUAAACUGUUGAUAUUUGGGAACGCAAUAAGGAAUUGAUCCACAAGCGCACGGAUAUCAUUAAGCACUUCACCCGGGAUGUUAUCCAAAGUAUUGUAUUUAUAUUUUUACCACUAGGAGAAAGAGUGCAUCUGACUAACCCGGUCUAUUACUACUAACCUUUAGGCUACAAAGAAUGUUUCUCGAUGUGAGCGAUGUAUAGAGAAGACUACAAUCGUAAUGUCUUUCUAACCUUGGUAAGGAUAAUCUACUAUUCUAUUGGGGAGGCUCACGGAAUCUGGACACCACAAAGGAUGUUCAACCCACACCUAUAAACCCUAUCGAUCCUACUAACGGGAUAUGGGCUGCAAAGGUAACUCAGAAAUGUCACGUUCCUCGCUACUACCACGGUCCAACUAGUCAGGGGAUAUCUAUGAGUAUUCUAGCCCAAACACCAUGUUUACACUAGAGAUGAUUACUCUAAACUCUACGCGAAGAGAUUAAAGUAAACUCAUAAACCAAAGAACAAUAAAACAAGAUCUUACUAGUAUUUAGAAGUUGAAAUUCUGAAGAAUCCUAGGAGCAAGCUUUGGGUUAGGAGAACUUGAUCCCGCAGGUACAACCUUGGAGUAGACACCGACAGGCCGAGCUUCCUCCGAUCUACACCUCCACUCUAUCUCUCUCAAUCUAGUAGAACUAGUCUACUCUCACAUUAGAUGCUAAGCCCUAAGUCUAUUUAGAGGAAAGGUUAUCCUUCGAGGGCACCUCUCAACUCUAUGAUGAACUUGUUCUCCUCCAGGGGCCAGGGGGUCUGCUUAUAUAGUCCCCUCAGGUGAACGUGGACCGUCGGAUCAAACCGACAUUGAUUGAACGGUUAUCCUUGAUCCUUUAGGUCGGUGGAGCAUGAUCCACGAAGUUGGACGUGAUUGGGCACAACACCUGGGCGGGCGCCCUGCCCCCAGGCCCGAUUGCCUUCCCGUUCGUUCCCGUGGCUUCUGGAGUCAUCUAGAUGGUAGAAAAUUGCGCGGCGCAUUAAUAUCUCUAUGUAAUUCCGACAUGUGGGCCUUUAUUCCCUAUUUCCUGAUAACCCCAUGCAGAAACAGAUAAACAACAAAACUUGUGGAAUUCUGUUAGAUCAAACCCUAAUUCUAGGUGUUGUUUGUAUAUUGGUCCUUUCCCUUGUUUAUUUGAUAAUUAAAAUUGCUACUUAAGAACCAUCAACAAACACCCCCAUACUUAGGCUUUUACUCAUCCUCGAGAAAAGGAUGGUUAAGAAAAAUAUCUAGGGUUAAAACAUUGUAAAGCAUUUUCUGCAUACCUGCAGGGUGUUGUAAAAAUUCACUGUGUACCGUAGUCAGGGAAAUAUAUGGUCUUUUCUUCUUAAUCUUGCCACUUGGAGUUUUUGUAUAUUUUUGAAAAGAAAUUUAGUAUACUUUUAUCCUCAUAGGUUCUCUCAGAUCACUCAUUUAUCUUUUAUGUAUCUCACUAAGGCUGUUUUAAUUUGCAGAAAUUCUCAACCAUACUUACCUUGUAUUUAUUGCCCGAUCAAAAUAGGAUCUGAGGAGAGGAAUGUCAUACUCUUAGAUCAAAGACUUUGGAAAUUAAAAACUUGUCAACUCUUACUCGCAUAUUGCUUAUUAGAGGGACCAUGGGCUAUCAUUUUCUUUCUUUUCUCUCUUUUUAAAGUGGAUACCGAGGUACCCCUAAUUCUACUGCCGGACACUUGUCCAUUUUUCUGCGAGGUUGUCGAGCACUUGCUCCUUUUUAUUUCCUCGAAUUAUUCAUAUUUUUACGUGGCCCAUGCCUCUAACGCAAUAAUACUUUGGAAGAGUGAAUCUUUCUGAAAUAAUGUCUUGAUCUUAGGAGCAUGAUAAAUCUCUCAACAAGGGUCUAACUCAUUUUGAACAAACUCAAUACAGAGCAGAUAGCUUUUAUAAUUAUCAAUAUUUUCAGGUUUAGUAGGCAUAUAAAACGCUGAGGAUGGUAGCUAGAAUUUUUGAAUAAAUUCUCCAAGCAACAAUGAUAUCAAGAAUAAGGUACUCAUACUCUACCAUCUCACAUUCCACAAUGACUUAAGUAACACAGGGUUUUAAAAUGAUUUUUCAAUAAUUGCAAGUUUUCAGGAAAUAUCACAGAGUGAGAUUAAUCAUGAUUAGAAACAUUUUAAUCUUUUUAAUUUAUCAUGUCGGAGACAAUAUUCUGCAUAAUCCAAGAUAUAUGUGUAUGUGUAAAGUGUGCAGAGUAUGUACCUGAAUCGUGGAGUGGUGUAGUCGAAGUGCGUUUGGCAUGUCGAGGGAUCUCCCCCAUACUUGUUUUCUGCUUUCUUGCAUAAAAAUAAAGUAGAGACACACAGGACAUAAUAAUAAUAAUCUUUAUUAACCUUGAGGCAUUUAUUACAAAUGACUAGUAAUGAACUGAAGCUAAUAGUAAAUCUAAACCGAAUUUAAAGAUAAAUAACUAAGAUGCAUUGCCUCAAGAUCUAAUCUAGAUAACUUAGCGGCGCUCUAACUCCCUAAUCUUCUUAUUGGCACUAGCAAGAUCAUGACUAAGACCUAGUAUAAUGGUGUUCUGGUUAGAGAGCUGCCUAGUGAUAGAGUUAACCGAGGACUGGAGUUCUAUGAUGAUCCUGUCUAGCCUACGAACGUCCUCAUCAAUAUCUACUAUAGUCUUGCGACACUUAGGAGGUGUCUCGAGAGCAUUGAGAGCGUGUUUUGGGGCUGCCUUUGGAGGGAUGAAACGGAAUUUGGCUGUGUUGGGUAUUCUUAACAUCAUUACCAAAAGUAGACUAAGUUCUCUAAAUCUAGUAACGGUGCCAAAAAUGCCAAACCUAUCCCUCACACCACUUAAGCCAAGUUGUCAUCCCCAGCAUGAUAUAAGAGACGCGGUAUUGAAAUAUGCAAUUGCUCUUCUAAAUAAAUAAUGAAUGGGAUCUGCAAGCGCACAGAUUAAUACCGAUGCAGCAUUUUAACCGGGAAGUAUUCCAGGUAUCGUUAUUUAUAUUUUUACCACUGGGAAGGGAUUAGCAAUCAUCAAUAUUGAUUACAGAAUAGAAUAUGAGAUUGAGCAUCUAUCAUUGCAUGUAUAAUUGAGAACAUUAUAUCUAACUCAUCAUACAGGGAUAAGUGUCACAUAAAAGAUAUAUGAAAUAAUGAAUAGUGAGAAGGAUAAUUAAUCUCAUCUAGCCACAUAAUAAAUAUGAUAAGCACCUCAAUUAAAUACUCUAGAAAGUCAUUAGCAUGGUAUUAGAACGAACUACAAGAAUAUUCCCUAAGUUAUUCUUAACUAUAUAGUCUAGCAUUAUCAUAAUUAGUGCAAGCAUACUUAGCAAUCAUUGUGAGACAAGACUACGCCCAUGCAUAGUGAUAUUAGCAAGGAAUAUGAGAAACAUAGCAAUCACUCCCCUGUAAUAAUGUUGCUCUGCCAGCCCAAUACACGAGAGGGGGACUAUAUAAGAAUCAAUGAAGCUGUCACUAUCACGAACUACCCCACGAUCUGGCAUAUUGGGUACAAUCGCAGAUAAAUACGGUAUAAGCACCACGCCUACACAAUAUCUAUCAUUUACCCAUGGAUCCGAUGGAUAAACGCUAUACGAUCCUAAGCAUGUAUAUAGAUCCAAUCUAACUAAGCCAAGUACAUAACUAUGAUAAACUAAGAACAAUAUAAUCUUGAAUAUAAGCAAGUAGAGCAAAGUCUUAAGCAAUAUAUUGAAGUAGAACAAAGUCAUAUUCAUAAUAUUGAAGAACAAAGAUAAUUAGAAAGCAAUUAGAAGCACAAUUAGAGAAUUACCAAGAAUCCUCCUGACAGAUCCGGAAACCAAUCGAAGAUUGACUCCUUCUAGUUCUAAUCCUAUGUAGCUAUGCUAAUCUAGAUAUCUAAUUGAUGUGGUGGCUCUAAUCUUGAUCAGAGGCUUCUUCUCCCUUGAUGGAACAAUGAAUUAGGGUUGAGAGGCUCUCUCCUCCAGGGGCCAGGGGGUCUGGUUUUAUAGUCCCUCCAAGUGAAUAUGGGCCAUUGGAUCAAACCGACAUAGAUUGUAUGGUUUAGAUUCAUCCUUUAGGUCGGUGGAGAUCUCCCGCAAAGCAGAGUCCUGAUUGGACUUGGGGGCAGGGCGGGCGCCCAGUAGGAUAGGGCGGGCGCCCUGUCUCUGGCCCCGUUUCGCCUCCGCUUCGGUCUCGUGGCUUCUGGAGUCUUCUAGAUGUAAGAUAAUUGCGCAGCACGUUAAUAUCUUUACAUAAUCCCGACAUGUGGGCCUUUCUUCCAUAUUUCCUGAUAACCCCCUGCAGAAAUAGACAAAUACCAAAACUCGUGGAAUUCUGUCAGAUAAAACCCUAAGUCUGGAUGUUGAUUUCAUUUGGAUCCUUUUCUUUAUUUAUUUGAUAAUUAAAUUUGAUACUUAAGGACCGUCAACAAAUUCCCCCAAGCUUACCUCUUGCUCGUCCCUGAGCAAGGAUAGACUCAGCUAUGGAUCAUAAGUAGUUGCAAUAUCUUAAAUAUUGACGGUACACAUGCUUUUUAAAUAAGAUCUCGUCUCUGAGUUAGAGUAAACUGUCAAGACGUAAAACUUACUUACUUUACCUUCACCAUGGGACUUGUAACCGUCACUUCUGUCUUGAGUAGUUAAAAGAUAGAACAGUCUAGCCAAGUGCCAUGUCUCUUAUUCUUGAUCAGCUAUAGCUCUAGAGUUUUUGCAGAUUUUCAAAUAAAACUCAAAGAUUCCUUGUAUGAUUCUCUCAGAUCUCUCUUUUGUGGUAUUUCUGCAUCCUUACCAAGGCAGUGAUGGUAUAUGCCUUCUCUCAAUAUAUGUAGUAUUUGUGGUAUGAGGCAUAGUGACAUUGUCUUCUCUCUCACCCUACUCUAAUAAGGCUUUAAUAUCUGGAGCUCAUAGGUGGGAGAUAAAGUAUACAUACUUACAAGACAUUUAUUGCAUAGUCAAACCAUGGAUCCAAAGAAACAUAUCAAUAAGCCAAAUCAAGAUGUGCAUGUGUGGCGAAUGAAUGGUGUAUGGUGAUAACGGUGAUAACAAUGGUGGAAACAAUGGUGGUGGAAGUCUAAUUCUACUUUGCUCUUUGAGGGGAUACAUACCUUCCUUGCUUUUGAAACUUUAUGAGGAGAAUGAGAUGCUCAUCUUUUUCUUUUCUUUCGAGGUUCCGAGCACUAGCUCCUUUUUAUUUCCUCGUAUCUUUUUCUUUUUCUCUCUUUUUUUUAAAGCAUUCAUCUCUUGAGAUAAUAUAGCAAGUGGUAGUAACAAGAUAACUUGAGCAUUUAUUUCACAAGGGGAAAACAGAAAUAUUUUUGGUUAUUCUCUCCCGGAUUAGGAGUAGAAUAUUUUUGGUUGGUUCUGGAGAUGGAAUGGGUGGAUAUAUGUGGAUGGUACUUCCGGAGUAGAAGUAGCAUAUAUGAGUGAACGUGCAAGUGAAAUCUUGAUUUAACCACAUGACAAGUUCCUAAGGGUCUACACAGCUUAACCACACUCAAUGCUCAUAAGCAGUAAAUAAUAAAUGUGUGGAUCAAAGUCUAGCAAGCAUGUAUAUAUGGCUGUGGUAGGAAUUUAAACUCUCAUCAUAUAGGAAUUUAUCAUGCAACAUUUUAAAGAUUUUCAAAGAUAAAAUUCUCCAGAAUUCUAGCAUCUCUAGGAACAGAUAAACAACAGCUCAACCUUCCCAUAUCGUAUCCGUUAACAACUUAGACUUCAGAUCAAGUUUUCAUCCCACAAGUUUAGGUCUAGGGCAAGCUUUAAAUUAUAACAGUUAUAUCUAAACUUGAGAGAGAACUUAAAAUUUGCAAAUUAGGCAGAGCAACUAUUUAUCAUAUCCAUGCUUAAGUUUUAUUUAGAUACAGAUUAGCAUAGCCACUUUAUUUAUUAAACACACUAAGCAAAAGAUAUAUAAGCAUAAAAUCUUUAUUUGGUUUUCCAUAGUUUAUGUGUAUUUAUAUUCUAAAAUAAUAUAAGUAUAAAGAUAGAUAGAAAUACUUAUCGAGAUAAAUGGGGGUGCUCUCCCCCAAGCUGAAUUUUGACGUAAUUUCUCUUGAUGUAGCUAGCAGAUGACAGAGGUGUAUUUGAAAGUCAGCAGCAUUCUGACAGCGAUUAGAAUGUCCUCCGUCUGCUAGUCUUCUUGAUUCUUAAAUUCUGUGGAGCUCAAAUAGACAACAUAGCUUGUGGAACUGAUUAAGUGUUAGCAUAAAUAUCUAGCCUUUAUCAUGUUGAGACUCCUUAAUAUUUAUUACUCCCUAUUUUUAUAUUUUUAUUUUAUAUUUUUAUUUUAUAAAGCAGAAAAAUAUUUAUUUUAUUUUUAUGCCACCACAGUGAGUGUACUUAUGGGUUUUAUGCCACUUGUAUACUCACAUGGGGCUUACUGUUUUUCGCAAUUUUAUUUUCUUUUAUUUUUAAGAUAGUACGAACAUGAUUAACUAAGUAAACUAGUUGAAAUAAUUGAAAGGGAAAGGUUAACUACCAAGUUUACCUCUUGGCAAGGCGUUCGGUUUUUUUUAAGUCCUCCGAACGGGACUCUCUAUUUUCUUAAUUGUCCUAUGGUUCGUUGGGUGGCGUAGUCGGUACUUCCGGUGGCGCCUCCUCUUCAUGUAUAGUUAUCUUCAUUUUCCACACCUGACUUGGUGCUUCGGUCUCCUCUGGAUAAUUCUGUUUAAACUCUACGUUUUCUGACCUUAUAACUUCUCCUUCGUAAUCUGCCCAUCCGUCCUUGAUGAUUUGCCUCCUCUGGUUGCGGUUACGUCUUUUCCUUACCUGCUUAGAUUCUUCAACGAUAUAGUUAGGGUCAGUAAAAUAACGGCGUACCUUCUCUGAGGGGAAGUGCAUAUGGACUUCUCCGGUUCCAAUGUAGAUAAUUGCUUUAACGGUGCUGAGGAACGGUCUUCCAAGGAUGAUGGGUGGAUCAUAUUCAUCUUCUCCCAUGUCAACAACUUGAAAGUCUGUGUAGACAAAGUGAUCGUCUAUUUUGACUGGGACAUUAGUUACUAUUCCUUUAACUUCUCGAAAUGUCUGAUCUGCCAUCUGGAGCUGAAUGUAUGUUGGUCUUAGUGGCAUGGUCCCGAACAAGAGCCGAUAGGUGACUACGGCCAUUAUGUUGACGCCCGUUCCGGUGUCGCAAAUCGUCUUGUAGAAACUAUAUCCAUUGAUGGAGCAGUAGAUGCUUGGCAUUCCUGGGUCGUCCUUCUUGGUCAAAAGCGGUGACUUAAGUUGGUGAUCUUGGCCUCCAUGAACUGCAGUGACCAUCUUAGCUGACUCGGUCCACACUUGCUUGUUCCUGUUCCUCCUGUUGGUCCUCUUCCUUGAUUCACGUCUGGAUUGAUCUGGAAUUUGUGUAGUCUUGUUCUUGAAGAAAAAUGUCUCCUUCUUCCCUUUGACGUAGAAAGUGAUCUUGGCAGCACUGGCGUAGAUGAUAGCUCCCGUGGUGUUCAAGAAUGGCCUCCCUAUGAUGAUGGGUGCUCUCUCAUCAUUUCCGGUCUCUACCACUACGAAGUCUGCUGGGGUAUAUAAGGUACCAACUCAGACACAAAGGUUCUUCACUAUUCCUUUUGGAACGGUUAUCGUCUGAUCUGCAAACUGCAAACACAUGGUUGUUUCUAAUAAAGGAUAUGUAAAGAAUUUUUCAUAGAGUACCCUGAGUAUAAUGUUGACACUGGAGCCAAAGUCGCAGAGUGCUUCUGGAAGGUCCACCAUGCCGAUGGAGAUCGGGAUGACGGGGCGUCCUGGAUCGCCUCUCUUGACCGGCAGAAGGUCAGUAGAGAAUUCAUUGACGGGGUUACUCCAAUUACCUGCAUCAAACGUGUCUACAAGAUUUGCAGAUUCUAAUCCUUCCGGUUGUGAUGGUAUACCGGGGUUAGUAGUAGGAACAACAUCAGCUAUUUGAUUUAAAUGAGAUUCAAUCAUUUUAUUAAAGCUAAUUUGAUUCUUGAUGGCAGUAGAGAAAUUAUCCAUUCUAUUAUUUAUAUUUUCUAGCAUUUUAUCAUUAGAUGCCAAUUUCUUAGAUAGGUUAUCCAUUAGCUUUCCUUGAUUAGACACUAACUCUCUCAAAGGUGGAAAAUUAUUAGCAUUAUUGUUGUAAGAAUUAUUACCUUGAUAAUUACCUGAGUAGUUAGGCCGCUGUUGAUUCCAACCUUGAUUUUGUUGAGGACGGUUGUAGUAGUAGUAGUUGUUGUUGAUGUAGUUCACAUCCUCAAGCAUCUCAGGGCAGUGAUUGCCUGAGUGUCCAGUGUCUCCACACUCCUCACAAGUCAUGUGAGAGUCGUAGAUGUGCAUAGCUUCUUUCUUGUCUCCAGCUCUAUCAUCGAGCUUCUUCAUGAGCAGGUCUAGCUUUGCAGACAGCAUGUCUACCUCUUUCAGCUGAUGCAUACCUCCACCUCUCUUGUGUGUUUGGGUCCUCUCUUCAUUCCAGCUUUGGUUGGACACCACCUUCUCCACAAGAGCUGUGGCUUGUGGUAUUGUAAGUGAUAAGAAUGCUCCUCCAGCUGCAGCAUCCAUGGUCUCUCAGGCACUGUUGCCGAGCCCAUGAUAAAAUGUCUGCAUUAAUAGCCAACUCUCCAUUCCAUGAUGGGGACAUUCUAGGAUGUAGUCUUGAAAGCGCUCCCAUGCUUCUGGAACAGAUUCAUCAUUUUGUUGCUGAAAACUUGUAAUCUUCCCACGGAGAGCAUUGGUCUUGCCCAUGGGAAAGAACUUUGCCAGGAAGUUUGUUGAGCAAAGUGCCCACGUAGUAUUCUUCUCCUUUGUAGCGUAGAACCACUGCUUCGCUCUUCCUAACAGUGAGAAUGGGAAGAGGCGAAGUAGUAUAGCAUCUUUGGAAACACCUUGUAUGGUGAAUGUGUUGCAAAUCUCCAGGAAGUGUUGUAAAUGAGCACUAGCAUCUUCGUGUGCUUUCCCACAGAACUAGUUGGAUUGCACCAUGUUGCUAAGUCCAGGCUUGAGCUCAAAGUUGCCAUCGAUCUCUGUAGCAGGUCCAGUGCGGAUGUUGUCCGUAGUGGGAGCUGAGAACUCGCGGAUUGAUUUGUUCGCCAUGGCUUCAAACUCUGAAGACAAGUUCCGAUGAUCUUCUUGAUUGGAUGAAGCUUCUUGCUGAAGUGUUGAUGAUUUCUUUAGCUUGGCUCUCGUCUUCUUGAAUAAUGCUUCAGGAUUGUCAACAAAAUUUCCUGGAAGAUGUCUUCUAUUCAUACAUUCCCCUGCAUAAGAUGAAAUAGGAAAAUAUCGGGGUAAAACUGUAUGAGAGAAUAGAUAAGCUCAAUCAUAUUAGUGAUGCGAAUGAUAACUCAAAAUCUUUUAUUCCAUUCCUGAUUGGUAUUCAACCUUCCCCGGCAACGGUGCCAAAAAUGCUUGUUGGGUAUUCUUAACAUCAUUACCAAAAGUAGACUAAGUUCUAUAAAUCUAGUAACGGUGCCAAAAAUGCCAAACCUAUCCCUCACACCACUUAAGCCAAGUUGUCAUCCCCAGCAUGAUAUAAGAGACGCGGUAUUGAAAUAUGCAAUUGCUCUUCUAAAUAAAUAAUGAAUGGGAUCUGCAAGCGCACAGAUUAAUACCGAUGCAGCAUUUUAACCGGGAAGUAUUCCAGGUAUCGUUAUUUAUAUUUUUACCACUGGGAAGGGAUUAGCAAUCAUCAAUAUUGAUUACAGAAUAGAAUAUGAGAUUGAGCAUCUAUCAUUGCAUGUAUAAUUGAGAACAUUAUAUCUAACUCAUCAUACAGGAAUAAGUGUCACAUAAAAGAUAUAUGAAAUAAUGAAUAGUGACAAGGAUAAUUAAUCUGAUCUAGCCACAUAAUAAAUAUGAUAAGCACCUCAAUUAAAUACUCUAGAAAGUCAUUAGCAUGGUAUUAGAACUAACUACAAGAAUAUUCCCUAAGUUAUUCUUAACUAUAUAGUCUAGCAUUAUCAUAAUUAGUGCAAGCAUACUUAGCAAUCAUUGUGAGACAAGACUACGCCCAUGCAUAGUGAUAUUAGCAAGGAAUAUGAGAAACAUAGCAAUCACUCCCCUGUAAUAAUGUUGCUCUGUCAGCCCAAUACACGAGAGGGGGACUAUAUAAGAAUCAAUGAUGCUGUCACUAUCACGAACUACCCCACGAUCUGGCAUAUUGGGUACAAUCGCAGAUAAAUACGGUAUAAGCACCACGCCUACACAAUAUCUAUCAUUUACCCAUGGAUCCGAUGGAUAAACGCUAUACGAUCCUAAGCAUGUAUAUAGAUCCAUUCUAACUAAGCCAAGUACAUAACUAUGAUAAACUAAGAACAAUAUAAUCUUGAAUAUAAGCAAGUAGAGCAAAGUCAUAAGCAAUAUAUUGAAGUAGAACAAAGUCAUAUUCAUAAUAUUGAAGAACAAAGAUAAUUAGAAAGCAAUUAGAAGCACAAUUAGAGAAUUACCAAGAAUCCUCCUGACAGAUCCGGAAACCAAUCGAAGAUUGACUCCUUCUAGUUCUAAUCCUAGGUAGCUAUGCUAAUCUAGAUAUCUAAUUGAUGUGGUGGCUCUAAUCUUGAUCAGAGGCUUCUUCUCCCUUGAUGGAACAAUGAAUUAGGGUUGAGAGGCUCUCUCCUCCAGGGGCCAGGGGGUCUGGUUUUAUAGUCCCUCCAAGUGAAUAUGGGCCAUUGGAUCAAACCGACAUAGAUUGUAUGGUUUAGAUUCAUCCUUUAGGUCGGUGGAGAUCUCCCGCAAAGUAGAGUACUGAUUUGACUUGGGGGCAGGGCGGGCGCCUAGUAGGACAAGGCGGGCGCCCUGUCUAUGGCCCCGUUUCGCCUCCGCUUCGGUCUCGUGGCUUCUGGAGUCUUCUAGAUGUAAGAUAAUUGCGCAGCACGUUAAUAUCUUUACGUAAUCCCAACAUGUGGGCCUUUCUUCCAUAUUUCCUGAUAACCCCCUGCAGAAAUAGACAAAUACCAAAACUCGUGGAAUUCUAUCAGAUAAAACCCUAAGUCUGGAUGUUGAUUUCAUUUGGAUCCUUUUCUUUAUUUAUUUGAUAAUUAAAUUUGAUACUUAAGGACCGUCAACAGGCUGCUCUAAUCCCCUCAAAGUAAGGUCUCUCUUCCUUCGUAGUGCAGCGGAUGCUGCUGAUCUCGCCGCUCCGGUUGGUCUUGACUCCAACGACCCUCUCAUUGGGUCUAGGUGGCAGGAUCCUCGUGCCGACUGGCACCUUGAUGGUGGCCUCCUUCUUGGCUGAUGGUCCCUUGAGAAGUAGGGGUUGUGGCAGUGCGGUGAGAACUGGUUGAGCAUGGUAGGGUUGGGCGGAGCUGCGCUGGCGUAAUGGCAUGGCUUCUAGCUGUCGCUCUGUGUUGGCCGGGACGAGAGCGUGGGCGUCGGGGUCUUCCCUGGGCUUCUUGUUGAGGUCAUAGGGAACGACUUCCCAAUCAUCGUGGAACUCUUUGGCCAUUGGAGCAGCGAGGGACUAAGCAAGCUCUAAUAGAAGAAGGAGAGAAGGCUUGAAUAGAUUGGUGUUUGAAAACUGACGUCAGGGGUCUGUUUAUAUAGGGGUCAAAAAGUGCCUCUAGGGUUUGCUCGGGCUACUCCCGCCGCCGUGCGUGCGAAACUUUCCAUUUAUAUGAUUAUUUGGUUUACCAUAAAUGUGUUUUCGCGACAGAGGAAAUCAGGACUGAGAGGGGGCAGGGGCUGGGCGCCCGCCCUCAUCAUCAGGGUGCCCGCCCUGUGCCUGGCCCCUCUGUGGGCCCGCUUCCUUGAGCGUGCUUCUCGAUGCAGACUUUAUUAGGAAAAUAUAUAUGUGGCCCAAAAACGCCAGAUUAAAAAGGUCGGGCUCUAAAUCUCCAUGAUAAGAUAAAAAUAGAUCACGUCUAUCUCUUCUAAUUCUUUAUUGGGCUCUAAAAAUGGUCCUUCCCAUUUACUCUGGAGUUUUCCAUGCCCGAAAAGCUUCACCCUGGAAUGAAAAAGUAAUACUUUAUCUCUGGGUGCGGACUCCUUCUUCUUGAUCCUCUUGUCAUGCCACCUUUUGACUCUUUCUUUGUAGAUCUUCGAAUUGUGAUAUGCUUUCUCUCGCCAUUCUUCCAAUUUUGAAAGUUGCAUUCUUCUAUGAUCUCCAGCGACAUCCAGGUCCAUAUUCCAUCUCCUUAUGGCCCAGUGUGCUUUGAAUUCUAGUUCAACAAGUAGGUGGCAAGUCUUCCCGUACACCAAUUGGUAUGGGGACAUUCCAAUUGGGGUCUUGUAUGCUGUCCGGUAUGCCCAGAGUGCAUCAGGUAACUUGUCGUUCCAUGCUGUUCCCAUCUCAUUGACUGUCUUCUGAAGAAUAUUCUUGAUUUGCUUGUUAGAAGUCUCUGCUUGGCCACUUGUCUGAGGAUGGUAGGGGGUAGCGACGUUAUGACGGAUUCCAUGUUUUGAUAGAUAUUGCUUGAAGCGUAUGUCGAUGAAAUGUGCUCCUCCAUCACUUAUCACUACUCUGGGAACUCCAAAUCUUGGAAAUAUAACUUCUUCAAACAUCCUCUUUGAACUUAUGUUGUCGGCGUGUUUGCAAGGUAGUGCCUCCACCCACUUGGAGACGUAAUCAACUGCCACCAAGAUGAACUCACACUUCUUUGAUGGGGGAAAUGGACCCAUAUAGUCUAUUCCCCAGACAUCAAAGAGCUCAAUCUGAAGGUUGUUGGUGAGUGGCAUGGCAUCUCUUGUGUUUAUGUUUCCGUGCCUUUGACAUGGCCCACAUCUUCUGAUAUAUUGCUUUGUGUCUUCAUACAUUAUAGGCUAGUAGAAUCCACACUGCCAGAUCUUUGAAUGUGUACGGAAUGCUCCAUAAUGACCUCCAUAUGGUGAUGAAUGACAUCUGUCGAUGAUCUUCCAUCCUUCCUCGGUGGUCACACAUCUCCUGAGAAAGCCAUCAGAGCAUACUUGGAAGAGGUAUGGCUCAUCCCAUAUAUGUGAACGACUCUCUUGAAUAAGCUUCUUCUUGUUUGCUCCUAGUGGUACAUACCCUGAAACCAUAAAAUUAACAAUAUCUGCAUACCAGGGGUCAGACCUGUUAAUCCCGUAGAGCAUGUCGUCUUGGAGUGAAUCAUUGAUGGGGGUUUCCUGUGGAUUCUUAAAAUACAUUCUAGACAAGUGAUCAGCAACAGAAUUUUCUACUCCCUUUUUAUAUUUUAUUUCCAAGUCAAAUUCUUGAAGUAAUAAGAUCCAUCUAAUCAGGCGAGGUUUAACAUCUUUUUUAGUGAGCAAAUAUUUUAGUGCAGCAUGAUCAGUGUAAACAAUUAGUUUAGCUUCAAAUAAAUAAGAUCUAAAUUUAUCAAUGGCAAAGAGAACAGCCAGAAGCUCUUUUUCAGUGGUUGCAUAGUUAAGUUGAGCUCCUGUCAAAGUUUUACUGGCAUAAGCAAUUGCAUGAUGCUUCCUAUUUUUAGUUUGUCCCAAAUCUGCCCCCACAUUAUAAUCACUAGCAUCACACAUAAUUUCAAAAGGCAACGACCAAUCAAGGGGUUGAAUGAUUGGUGCAGAGAUGAGUGCAUUCUUUAAUAAAUUGAAAGAUGUUAGGCAUGCAUCAUCAAAUUCAAAAGGAGCAUCCUUGGCUAGCAAAAGAGUAAGUGGUCUAGCAAUAAAUGAAAAAUCUUUUAUGAAUCUGCGAUAAAAACCAGCAUGGCCAAGAAAGCUUCGAAUUCCUUUUAUAUUCACAGGUGGAGAUAGUUGUUCAAUUACUUCAAUUUUAGCUUUGUCUACCUCAAUUCCUCUUUCAGACACUAGGUGUCCCAGCACUAUUCCUUCCCUAACCAUGAAAUGACAUUUUUCCCAAUUAAGGACUAAGUGCUUUUCUUCACAUCUUUGCAAAACCUUGUCUAAGUUUUCAAGACAACUAUCAAAAGUUUUUCCAUAAACAGAGAAAUCAUCCAUGAAAACUUCCAUAAUCUGUUCAAUCAUAUCAGAAAAUAUAGACAUCAUGCAUCUUUGAAAAGAAGCUGGUGCAUUACAUAACCCAAAAGACAUUCUACGGUAAGCAUAAGUUCCGUAAGGGCAUGUAAAAGUGGUUUUGCUUUGAUCAUCGGGAUGGAUCGGGAUCUGGUGAUACCCUGAAUAUCCAUCCAAGAAACAGAAGAACGAAUGGUUCGCUAAUCGCUCUAGCAUCUCAUCUAUGAAAGGUAAAGGAAAAUGAUCCUUUCUCGUGACUUUGUUUAGUUUCCUAUAGUCUAUGCACAUCCGCCACCCUGUGACGGUGCGUUGCGGAAUUAGCUCGUUCUUUUCAUUCGUAACAACAAUCAUGCCUCCCUUUUUAGGCACAACUUGAACUGGGCUCACCGUGUGGCACAGGAUAUAUAAUCCCUGCAUGCAGCAACUUUAUAACUUCCUUUUUAACUACCUCUCUCAUCGCGUUGUUAAGUCUGCGUUGGGGCUCUCGAGAAGGUGAAACAGAAGGAUCUGUCGGAAUACGAUGGGUACAAAUCAUAGGACUUAUUCCUGUAAGAUCUUGGAGUGAGUAGCCGAAAACUGAGUGUUGUUUCUCAAGAAUGGUCAUUAAUCACAGAGUUUGCUCCUGAGUGAGUUUAUCACUAAUGAUCACAGGAAACUCUGGAUUAUUCUUUAGGAAAGCAUAGAUAAGACCGGGUGGUAAAGUUUUAAGCUCUAUGGGAGGUCUAGGCAUUUCUGCAAACUCGUGUAGAAGGUUCGGCCUCUUCUUCUGUGAAGAAAGGAGCUUCGUCUUCUAAGUCUGGUUCAUCUAAAAGCUCUAGAGAUGCAGCCUUUACCUCCUCUGUAGGAUAAGGAAAUGAUCCGCAAGCGCAUGGAUAUCGGUGAGCACUUCACCCGGGAUGUUAUCUAGAGUAUCGUAUUUAUAUUUUUACCACUAGGAGAAAGAGUGCAUCUGACUAACCCGGUCUAUUACUACUAACCUUUAGGCUACAAAGAAUAUUUCUUGAUGUGAGCGAUGUAUAGAGAAGACUACAACCGUAAUCUCUUUCUAACCUUGGUAAGGAUAAUCUACUGUUCUAUUGGGGAGGCUCACGGAAUCUAGACACCACAAAGGAUGUUCAACCCGCACCUAUAAACCCUAUCCAUCCUACUAACAGGAUAUGGGCUGCAAAGGUAACUCGGAAAUGUCAUGUUCCUCGCUACUACCACGGUCCAGCUAGUCAGGGGAUAUCUAUGAGUAUUCUAGCCGAAACACCUCGUUUACGCUACAGAUGAUUACUCUAAACUCUACGCGAACAGAUUAAAGUAAACUCAUAAACCAAAGAACAAUAAAACAAGAACUUACUAGUAUUUAGAAGUCAAAAUACUAAAGAAUCCUAGGAGCAACCUUCGGGUUAGGAGAACUUGAUCCCGCAGGUACAACCUCGGAGUAGACACCGACAUGCCGGGCUUCCUCUGAUCUACACCUCCACCCUAUGUCUCUCAAUCUAGUAGAACUAGUCUACUCUCACAUUAGAUGCUAAGCCCUAAGUCUAUUUAGAGGAAAGGUUAUCCUUCAAGGGCACCUCUCAACUCUAUGAUGAACUUGUUCUCCUCCAGGGGCCAGGGGGUUUGCUUAUAUAGUCCCCUCAGGUGAACGUGGACCGUCGGAUUAAACCGACAUUGAUUGAACAGUUAUCCUUGAUCCUUUAGGUCGGUGGAGCAUGAUCCGCGAUGUUGGACGUGAUUGGGCACAACACCUGGGCGGGCGCCCUAGGGGGGAGGGCGGGCGCCUUGCCCCCGGGCCCGAUCGCCUUCCCAUUCGUUCCCGUGGCUUCUGGAGUCUUCUAGAUGGUAGAAAAUUGCGCGGUGCGUUAAUAUCUCUAUGUAAUCCUGACAUGUGGGCCUUUCUUCCCUAUUUCCUUAUAACCCCCUGCGGAAACAGAUAAACAACAAAACUUGUGGAAUUAUGUCAGAUCAAACCCUAAUUCUAGGUAUUGUUUGUAUAUUGGUCCUUUCCCUUGUUUAUUUGAUAAUUAAAAUUGCUACUUAAUAACCGUCAACAGAAACGACGAUGACCUCUUCCCCGACUACACCGGGCGCUUGAUCUCGGAGCGUCCGGACAACUGGAACUAUGGCGUCAUCAAGACCCUCCAGUCGUGGCUCCGCCCCAUCCCCGACGCCCUGAAGACGCUGCGUGAGGAAGGUCUGAUCGCCGCGUCCGUCCUCUUGGCUGUACACCAUCGACGGGUACUCCUGUUGAUGUCUCGACCGCAGAGAAUGGACGAGAUGGGUCCCGGCGUCUCGUCUCGCGACCUCGAGGCAUGCCGAAUGUCCAAUGAAGCACCUGCAGACGAGGAGGUUGCCGCCAGGGUUAGGGCGACUGUCGCCGGUGAUUUUGAGCCAGAGCACGUCAACGGCUUCCCCAUGAAACCUGACGAGGGGUCGAUCAACCUGGUAAGCUCUUUCAAUUGCCGUUGCUCAAUUUUUUAUUUUUCCGAUCCUCCCUGGGACUUACGCCUGCUCGUACAUGGACCGAUCGAUGCUCGGUCCUCGAGGCCUCCGGUGAAGGAGGACGGUGUCGAUCGUGAGAGGAGACGCGAGUCCGCGGAGAAACAAAAGUCCGCAAAGGACUUAGAAAAGAAAAAAAGAGAAGAAGAAGAAUCUCGAGCGGCAAGCGCUUGAGAAAUGUCGUGCGAAAUCGAGGCAAAAGGGGGAGUCCGAGGAGGAUUCUCCUGACGCGGAUGACGGUAACGAGGGCGACGACGACAGCAAUGACUCCGAGGGGAUGGCGGCUCGUCUUGAUAGAAUCCUCGAGGGCCCGCCGCAAGCCGACGUCGACGUCCCGCGGACGGGGGCUCCUAAGAGGACGUCGGGCGGUCCCCACGAAGGUCAGCAAAGAGAGUCCUCACCGCGCCGUUCCCGCGCCGACACCCCUCCGGCGCCCGCACAGGGCCGGACCGUUUCCCAGCCGCAACCUCCUCCCGCGCCUGGAGCGGGCCACUGGGUCAAGACUAUGGCGACGGGGCCAUUGACUCGCGGCCGUGCCGCCGUGGUGGCCUCAAGUCAGAGGGAAGGAGGUCGUGGGAGCUCUAGCCCCGGCACUCGCCAAGCGGGAGACGUGGAUCCGAGGCCCACGCCUGCCUAGGAGAAGCCUGGGAUCUCGACACGGGGCGGCUCGAGGCCAGUUGGUCGAGGGACUGGUAGGCGGGUUGUUCUUCCCGUGGGGUAAGAUUUUUACGUUGUGACUUUGGUUUUCUGAUGUCUUGCCCCCUCUUUGGUUUCGGUUUCUCUUAGGCUAUUCCCCAUUUUCUUAGGUUGAAGCGGCAGUUAGAAUAGGCCUAACCCUCGAUGGCCAAGAAGCUAAAAGUGGGGGCGGUCUCCAGAGGCUCGGGUGAGUGAUUUAUUCUUCUUUCUGCGGUACUGGAGUUGGGCCAUUCUUGUGUCGAACUCCUUUGCGACUAACGUAUUGUCUUUGGGCGCACACAGGUUCCUCUGAUCCUCGACCAUCGACGGAUGUCGAAAGAACACCGCCUCGGCCGUCGGAUGGGGGCGACGUCUUUGGAACUGCCCCGCUGUCACCAAGGCGGGUCGAGACACCUCGUCUCCCAGAUCAGGAGGGAGCCCCGAGCCUCCCCAGUCUGGUGGUAUGAGCGACCCCAUCACCAUCAGUGACGGGUCCGGCGGCGAUUCGCUUUUGAGGGAGGUUCGUACUGCGGACAAGGGAGUCGAGGCUUCUCCUGUUGGGAAGCGGAUGCCAUGGCCCAUCGGGCUCCACUCCGUCGAGGAGAGGAGGAAAAAAAGAAGAGGAAGGGCGUAAGGGAGGGGAAGAAGAAGAAAAAGAAAAGCAGCAGCGGCAGCAGCAGGAGGAACAGCUCGAGGAGCAGUUGGAGCAAUGACGGCAGCAAGAGUUGCUGGAGCUUCAACGGCAGCAACAGCAGUGAAGUCAGCAGCUGGAAGAGCUACUUGAACAGCCACCGCGAAGCCUGCGCCAGCUAGUAUUGCCAUCGCCGCAAGGGCCUGAGACCGAGGAGGAGGGACUGACGGUCUAUGGCCCGCCGACCCCUACAUGGCUCCAUCAAGGGGGGCCAGCUUCUAUCUCGACCGAACCUGGGUGGGAGGAUGGUGUUGUGGCUAUCGCGUGUGCUAUGCGCACGCCGGGGUCCGAAAUCAAGGGCACCCUCUAUGGUAUCGAUGGGAUCGCCUCAGGGUUCCUCCGAGAUCGGCGGCCGUGGGAGGAUCUCAGCGCCGAGGGGGGGGGGGGACAAUGCCGGCACUUCUGGCGGUGGUGACGCCAUUGAGACCAGGAUCUGGGGGUCGGUGGACGAUGAUGGGCGGUUCCCUUCUCUCAUCGACAUAUUCCUGCGCCACGGAGGCUCGCUCGAGACCGUUCAAGAGCUUAUUGGAGGCGUCAAGGCGUGCACGGAGGAGGAGAUGGAGAACUAGGGCCCCGAUUGGAUCCGUCUUCGAGCCUCCACCUACCCAGAGGAGCCCAACAUUAUGAUGGAUGACCGGAAGGAGGCUGAAAAGUGGGAGCAUCUCGAGGAGCUUCGGCUUUGGAUGAAGCACGUCAUGGGCCUGAUGUCGGAUAUUGUCAACAACGGGCUCGACCGAGCUUUCUUUGUAAGUAUCCUUGGUGCUUAGCUAUUCGGGUACCUAAUCUCGUAUCCUUAUUGUUCGGCUACUCGCUGCAGGAUCUGAAGGAGACCUCCCGCCUAAAGUCGGGUUUUAUUCACGCGACGAGAGGCGGUUGGGAACAGCUCCCUCUUCUCAAGGAUCAGCUUCUCGAGUCGCAGGAAAAGCUUCUCCGGGCAUACAAGGACCUCAUGGCGGCUGCGGAGGAGAAGAAGGAGAGUGAGGCUACCCUGGCAAAGGCUCGGGAGGCCUCGGAGGAGGCGAAAGAAGAGGCUGUGCGGCUGAGGGAGCGGACCGCCUCGGCUGAGGAGACUACUUCCAAGGCCCGGAAAGAGGCUAUGCAUUACAAAGGUGCAGCCGCCGAGCUUGACAAGGAGAAGAGCCUCAUUAAGUUAGAUCUCGCCUCCGCCCGAGAGGCCUAUCGUGAGAUAAAGGAAGAGUGCGUGAAGAGCGAGAUCGCUCGGAGCGCCGUGGAGCAGGCGGGGAAGAAGGUCCGUGAGGACCUCGAGGCGGAGCGAGCUCAUUCUCGCAGCCUCUCUGACGAUGUCAACCGUUUGAAGAGAAUGCUGCUGGAGAAGGAGGGAGCCGUCUUACAAGCAGGUAAGAUGAUCGAGGACUUGCAGGCCGCAAACACUGACCUGGCUUGCUCUUAUAAGGACAUCGAGAGGGCCAACACCGACUUAGUUGGUGAGAACACGGCUCUCGAUGAAAGGAUCCGCGGUGAGUUUCUCCAUACUUUCGUGUUUCUUUUGUAAGGUAUUUCUCUUGUGUUGCCUAACUCUCUUGUGUCGGCCUUUGUAGGGCUUAAGGAUGAUCUCCUGGCUGCCCAGGUCGAGGCUCGUUCUACCAAGGCUCAUCUUGAGGAGGAGGUUGCUUUAAAUGGUCGACUAAGGACUACGAUAAGCGACCUCUUGGCCUCCUGGUAGCUCCAGCCUAUGGAUGAGUCGAGGGAGGUGGCCCGAGGUGACGCGCUGGUCGACUAGCUGUGCUACUUAGGUGCCACGCUGAGGGAUCGGGUGCGGGACGCUCUUCAUAACGGGGUGAAGCGAGCGAUGGCGGUUGUCUGCUCGGGCUUCUCCUACGACAUGGAGGUGGUGUCCCACGGCUUCAUCACCGAUAUCUCCAAGACCGACGCCGAGAACGAGGAGAGGCUCCAUGCCUUGAUCGACGAUGCAGAGGUCCCUGGAGAAAGGCUGGUGAGGCUGUUCGAGCCAGAGGUACUCCCUCCUAAGACUAGCCCAGGCGCAGAAGGUGGCGGUGAGGACAGAGAUGUGGACUGAGGCCUGCGAGCCUAUUCUGGGUAUUUAGACCCGUUGUAAAAUACUUAUCACAUGUCUUAAGUAAACAUUGUGGCCUGAAUGGUCUUGAGACCUGUAUAUAUUUGUUUAUUUUUAUGCUCAAAUUUCCUUUGUUUCCUUUUCUACCCAAUUCGAUCUUUCGUUGAGGUGUCUUCGAUUGCCUUAAAGGUGAGGAAGCGAGUAGAGUUACCAUAGCCCGGGGGCGUAAGGGUUCUCAGGCUCGAUGUUUCUCCACCCUUAAGGGGCUCGAGGUGCCUUUGUUACUUGAUCUCACGGGGUUUUCUUAGGGCUCAAAAAGAAAAAUAGUCAUUUUAGGAAUCUGGGGGGGUCCCCCCUGCUAGCCCCUGAGGAAGUAUCGACUAUGAUGGAUCAUAGUUGGGACUUCCUCUCUAACGUCGAGAUUUGAGCGGUGAUAGCGUAAACUUCUCAAAAAAAAUUUUCUUGUUUAUUCACAUAUUCAUUCAUAGGGUCUUGGUACAAAAUGUGCAUGAAAACAUAAAGCUUCGAAGCUCUAAGGGUAGAAGCGACGUAGUUGUUCGAUGUUCCAUGUGUUGGUGAAGACCGAUCCUUUUUCGUCUGCGAGCUUGUACGUCCCCGGCUUCAAGACUUCGGCCACCACAUAUGGGCCUUCCCAGGGUGGAGUCAGCUUGUGGCGUCCUUGGUUACUUUGUCGUCGUCGUAGGGAUACCGUACCUUGGUUUCUGAGAGCACCUCGCUAAUGAAGUAGACCAGCCGUUGGACUGGUAACGCGUGUCCUUCCUUCGGCCUUUCGACCACCACAGCUGCACUAACCACCUGAGUUGUCGCAGCGACGUAUAACAGCAGGGGCUCUGCAGGCUGAGGGGGAACCAGGAUCGGGGUGGUGGUCAGCGUCCUUUUCAGGUUGUCGAGGGCUUUCUCGGCCUCAGGGGUCCAGGAGAAACGAUCAACCUUUUUCAAGAGCCGAUACAGCGGCAACGCCUUGUCCCCUAACCUCGAGAUGAAACGGCUCAGUGCCACCAAGCAACCCGUGACUUUUUGCACACCUUUGACGUCUCGAAUCAGCCCCAUCCUUGCAACAGCCGAAACUUUCUCAGGAUUAGCCUCGAUGCCGCGUUGGGAGACUAUGUAACCUAGGAGCAUGCCUCGAGGCACGCCGAAGACGCACUUCUCAGGGUUAAGCUUGAUUCCAUUUGCACGUAAGCAGCCAACGGCGAUCUCGAGGUCCUAAAUCAGGUUGUCUUGCUUUUUUGAUUUGACGAUGAUGUCAUCGACAUAUGCCUCGACCGUCGAUCCUAUGUAUUCACCGAACACGUGGAGCAUGCAUCGCUGAUAUGUUGCACCAGCGUUUCGAAGCCCGAAGGGCAUGGUCACGUAACAAUACAUCCUAAAAGGUGUGAUGAAAGAUGUCGCGAGCUGGUCGGAGUCUUUCAUCUUUAUUUGAUGGUAACCAGAAUAUGCAUCAAGGAACGAAAGGGUUUCACAUCCCGCGGUAGAAUCAAUGAUUUGAUCGAUGCGUGGUAAAGGAAAGGGAACUUUUGGACAUGCUUUAUUCAAACUCAUGUAAUCGACACACAUCCUCAUUUUCCCAUUCUUUUUCUUAACUAAUACAGGAUUUGCUAACCAGUCAGGAUGAUGAACCUCCUUGAUGAAUCCGGCCGUCAAAAACUUGUGGAUCUCCUCGCCAAUGAUCUUGCGUUUCUCCUCGUCGGAGCGACGCAAUUGUUGCUUCACUGGCUUGGAACCGUCCUAAAUUUCCAAGGAGUGCUUGGCGACUUCCCUCGGUAUGCCAGGAAUGUCCGAAGGACUCCAUGCAAACAUUUCGUCAUUCGCACGGAGAAAGUCGACGAGCACGGCUUCCUAUUUGGGGUCGAGGUUGGCGCUGAUGUUCAACGCCUUAUCAUCGGAGCCGUUGGGGUCGAGUGGGAUCUUCUUCGUGCCUUCUGCUGGUUCGAAGCUACCCACAUGACGUUUGGGCUCUGGAGCUUCAGCGGCAAGGGCCUCGAGCUUCGAGGCAAGUUCGGUAGAGCUCUCGACUGCUUCUCUGUACUCGACGCACUCGACGUCGCAAUCGUACGUGUGUUCGUAGGAGGAGCUGAAGGUGAUGACCCCCUUGGGCCCAGGCAUCUUCAGCUUCAGGUAGGUGUAAUUGGGGAUAGCCAUAAAUUUGGCAUAGCCCAGAUGUCCGAUGAUGGUGUGGUACGUGCCGCGAAAUCCCACCACUUCAAAGGUGAUUGUUUCCUUCCUGAAGUUGGCCGCCGUGCCGAAACAGACCGGCAGGUCGAUUCGACCUACCGACAACGCCUUCUUUCCUGGCACGAUGCCAUGGAAGCUGCCCGCGCUUGGCUGGAGCUGCGCUGUUUCGAUGCUGAGGAGGUCAAGGGUCUCGAGGUAAAUGAUGUUUAGGCUGCUGCCGCCAUCCAUCAGUACCUUCGAGAGUCUGGUGUUGACGAUGAUGGGAUCGACGACAAGCGGGUAGACAUCGGGAGCGACCACCCUGUCAGGAUGGUCGUCGCGGUUGAAGGUGAUGGGGGUGCUCGACCAGUUGAGGUACUGGGGCACCGCCAUCCUUGCCGCAAAGACCUCGCAGCGCUCCCUCUUGCGCUGCCUCGCGGUGAGCUGCGUCGAGGUUCCACCGUAGAUCAUGUAGCAGUCGUGGACGGCAGGGAAUCCCUCAUCUUCUUUGUUUCCCCCCUUGUCGUCGCUCUUGUCUUUCCUUUGGUCGUCUUUCUUCAGCCCUGUUGAUGCAAAAACUGGUCUGCAAACACAAAGGGCUAAUACCCGAUUGAAACGUUAAGGCGUGCCAGCCGAUUUGACCUUACUAUCGGCAAAGGUGAUAACUCGAAUACUUUAGUCCUGACAACAGCGAUGCGCCCGGAUGUCACGGCUAAGAGGUACUCACGCGGAACUUGAGAACACGCCGAGCCUAAGUCGACGAAUUCCUAAGAACUCGUAAUAAAAGGAAAAAGUAUGACGAAGUCGUCGAAAAAGCAGAUGCUGGAAUAUGAGUAAAAACGUGUGUUUGAUUGAUUGAUAGAUCAUUACAAGGUCCUAGGGUCUAUAUUUAUACCCUACUCAAAGAGCUUCAACCAGACACGACUAGAACUCGAAUUCCAAAUUACACGGAAUCCGUAUACAAAACGACUUAAAUAAAUAAGGAAAUAACAAAGCUAUCCCCCCGUGACGAACUAAAAUUCUUCCACAAACCGACCGGCAGCUUCCGGACUCCCCCCUUGUAUCAUCGGCAGACUCCCUUGCCAUAAUCACCGGCAGGCUUCCUCAUCAUAGCCAUCGGCAUAAACACACCAUCGCCCGUAAACUUAAUCAUGUUCAACUUCUCCUUUAUCGGCAGCCAUUCUCAUCGGCAACUCAUCCUGUAAACCACAUACUGCCUGUCUCAUCAUGCCAUCCUGGACACGUGCCCAAAAACGGUGUCAACACAUGCCCCCCAAUUUCGGAGUAUGAAACUAUUAAUGCUCCAAAAUUCUCUGCAGUAAUGAUGCCUUUUCCCGCAAUUAAUGCUCCUAAUCUGGUAACCGACAACCUCAAUCUGAACAACUCCGAUCCUAUUCUCCUGCAGAUUCCUCGAAAUCCUUAACUUCCUGAACGGGCAUUUCCUUCUCAUCCGCAUAUCGACAAUUCUGAACGGGCAUUUCCUUCUCAUCCGCAUAUCGGCAAUAUUCAAAAUCUUCAAGACCUCCGACAAGCACUCCUCCUCAUCAACUCCGGUGCCCUCAAACGCUCUCCUCGCGGCAAGAUGGCCAUUAGCUUCGUCGUCCCUGAGGUCAGAUCUCCACCCUGUCUCCUGUAUUUUUCUUCAUCCGUAACUCAUUUUACUGAAUAUUUUCCUUUUCUUCCCCCUUUUUAUAUAUUUCUUUUACUCCCAAAACCACUAGGAGCUGUCUAACAAAAUUGUCAUCCCCACCGAUCAACCACACCUUCAAUGCCUCGGCCCUCUAGGGGACCCAGAUCCAACUGAUCUUAUUAACGCAGAAACCAACAGGAUCCCCUUCAGAGCCGAAAACUUUUCUUUAGAUCUGUGGAAAGACACCUUCCGUUCUUGGCCCAGCCCUACCGUAGGGUGGAAAGAUUGGUUCUUGAGGGUCAGCAACUCCAAUGAAGUCCAGUGGGGUGAGAGAAAGCUAGAUCAAUGCAUUAGGUUAUCCAUUGCCGAUAUAGACAGGAAUGAGUCACUGUUGAUAGCUGCGUCUUACUUUUGGUCAGACACCCUCAAUGCUUUUGUCUUUGGCCACGGCCCUGCUUCCUCUACUCUUGCCGAUGUAGCCAUGCUCACCGGUCUAGAUGUAUCUUCUGCCGAUAGCACCCACUUUUUUGAUACUGCUCCUAGUGCCAAAGUGGAGACUCGCGCUAUCGGCGGCUGGUCAGGGUACAUUCAGAAGUAUCGUGGGAAAGGGCCUGUCACCAUAAAGGAACAAACCACCUUUCUGAACAUGUGGCUGGACAAGUUUGUAUUCUGUGGUCGAUCGGCAGGACCGACUUCCGUCUAUCUAUCGGCAGCAGAGAGACUGGCUAACGGUGGCCGAUUUCCUCUCGGCCGAUACUUGCUUGGUGCUGCUUACCAUCUUCUCCAUCAGGUGGCCCAGAAACUCCUGCUCGGCCAGUCUAUCGGCAACUUGGGAGGCCCCUGGUGGUUUAUUAAUAUGUGGCUCAAUCUGCAUCUGCAUAAGCGCCUCGACUUUAACUUGUUCACACAACGUUUCCCAAGAGAUAUAGCUGAAAAUCAUGUGUUGGGUGAAGAAGAAUCGGCAACACGCGCCCCCUUGAACUUUGGCGAAGCUGUCAUAGUUCUACCUGGUUCAGGGGGUAAUCCAGAUCAGAUCGGCCGAUUCUUCCAGAUUCUGUAUGAGGGCUUGGCCAGAGAUGAACGACCAUGGUUGGCCUAUGAUGACCCAGACAGUAUGCUUCCCCUGGCCUUCAAUCCAUUUGAUGAAGCUCUUGACAGGGAUAAUGAGGUAAUGAUGGCAAUUGUGACUCCUAGAGCCAUACCAGUGAAUUUCUUUGGUAGCACAAAAACCUCUCCCCAAACUUAUGAAUUUUACAAUCCAUCGGCAUUAGCUCGUCAGUUAGCUUUCGGCCAGUUGCCGAUUGCGCUUUGUUAUGCCGAUGUGAUAAAACCCAGAGAGCCCAUCACCAACUUUCUUGAGUGGAUUCGAGUAGCCCAACUACCGCCAAACGCCGAUACAGAUGCAGAUCUGUCAGAAUGGGUUCCAGCUGCUUUUAUUACUCAGGCAUACAAGCUAUGGUGGGCAGAAUGGAAAGAGCAUCUAUUCUGCAGAUCAGCCCUUUCGUACCGCGGCAUGAUUGACCCCAAAUACCACGUCUCCGACGACGCUGUAAGUAGGUAAUGGUUAUAGGCCAAGGCCUACUUUUAUUAGCGCUAAGUUAGAUUCUGAGUGUAAGCAACAAUUAACUGAUUUGUUAAAGGAAUAUAAAGAUUGCUUUGCUUGGGAUUAUACCGAGAUGCCUGGUUUAGACCGAUCGAUCAUUGAACAUCGGUUACCUAUCAAGUCUGGGUUUCGGCCGCAUCAGCAGUCAACACGCCGAUGCAAUCCUAAUAUUCUUCCUGAUAUUAAGGCCAAAAUAACUAAACUUAUUGAAGCUAAAUUUAUUCGGUAGUGUCGGUAUGCUGAAUGGAUUUCCAAUGUUGUCCCUGUUUACAAGAAGAAUGGGAAACUUCGUGUCUGUAUUGACUUUAGGAACCUCAAUAAGGCCACACCGAUGGAUGGUUAUCCGAUGCCGGUUGCCGAUUUAUUGGUUGAUGCAGCAGCUGGACAUCGGAUCAUUAGCUUCAUGGAUGGUAAUGCAGGAUACAAUCAAAUAUUUAUGGUUGAGGAGGAUAUUCUCAAGACUGCAUUUAGAUGUCCUGGUCAUGUCAGACUGUUUGAAUGGAUAGUCAUGACUUUUGGCUUGAAGAAUGCUGGUGCUACUUAUCAAAGGGCUAUGAAUUUCAUCUUUCAUGAGUUCAUCGGCAAGCUGGUGGAAAUUUAUAUUGAUGACGUGGUGGUUAAGUCUGGAGAUUUCACAAGGCUUCUAGCCGAUCUGCGAAAGGUGUUGGAGUGCACAAGGAAGCAAGGUUUAAAGAUGAAUCCUAAUAAAUGUGCAUUUGAUGUAUCGACAGGGCAAUUUCUUGGUUUCAUGGUGCAUCAAAGAGGGAUUGAAAUUAGUAGGAGAUCCAUUGAUGCCAUCAACAAUAUAGUUGCUCCCACCAAUAAAACUGAACUUCAAUCAUUGAUCGGCAUUAUAAAUUUCAUCAGACGAUUUAUAUCUAACUUGUCUGGUAAGAUUCGUGCUUUUAGUCCUUUACUUAAGUUGAAGGCCGAUCAAGAGUUUAUAUGGGGAAAAGAGCAACAGUUAGCAUUGGAUGAGAUCAAGAAUUAUUUAAUAAACCCUCCAGUUUUGGUUCCACCACAGCAAGGAAAACCCUUCAGAUUAUAUUUAUCUACCGAUGGUGUUGUCAUCGGUUCAGCUCUAAUUCAAUAAUUUGAAGGGAAGGAAUGAGUGAUUUAUUAUCUAAAUAGAAGACUUGUGGAUGCUGAAACAAGGUAUUCGGCAAUUGAAAAGUUAUGCUUAUGUUUAUACUUUUCUUGCAUCAAAUUAAGACAUUAGUUGUUACCGGCCGAAUGCACUGUUAUAUGCAAAGAUGAUGUCGUCUGAUACAUGUUAUCAAUGCCGAUUAUGAGUGGUAGAAUCGGCAAGUGGAUAUUAGCAUUGUCGGAAUUUGAUCUACGAUACGAGUCGGCUAAGGCAGUUAAAGGGUAGAUUAUGGCCGACUUCGUAACUCAGCAUUGCGGCGUAGUGGAUGCUUUGGAAAUCGUCCCUUGGACGCUCUUCUUUGAUGGGUCUACAUGUGACCGGGGGUAAGGAAUCAGUAUUGUGCUAAUUUCUCCUCGAGGAAAGAAAUAUGAGUUUUCUUUGCCGAUUGUUGCCGCAUCGACGAAUAAUCAAGCUGAGUACCAAGCUUUAAUCAAAGGGUUGGAGUUAUUAAAUGUGGUUCAUGCCGAUGCUGUUGAAAUCUUCGGUGGUUCUAUGAUUGUUAUAAAUCAGUUGGUUGGAAUUUAUGAAUGCCGAAGCGAGGUUUUAAUAACCUACUAUGAAAAGUGCUCACAACUUUUAAGGGAAUUCAAAGAUUUCCGAUUGGAGCAUAUUCCUCGAUUGCAUAAUGAAGAAGCCAACCGAUUGGCUCAACACGCUUCGGGAUAUCAACCCAUCUUGGACAUAUUAUCGGCAAUCAAUGCCGAUGAUUGGAGAAAAGAAAUUAUUGAUUAUCUGAAGGAUCCAUCCAAGAAAGUUGAGAGGCGUGAUAGGUUUCAAGCUACAAAAUAUGUAUUCCUUGAAGAAGAGUUGUAUUAUCGAACGAUAGAUGGAGUCUUGCUCAAAUGUUUGGGUGAUGAUGAAGCUAAAAGCUUGAUGGGUGAAAUUCAGGAAGGAGUGUGUGGAGCACAUCAAUCGGCUUUCAAGAUAAAAUGGAUGAUUAGGAGAAAUGGAUAUUAUUAGCCGACUAUACUUGAAGAUUGCUUUAAAUACUUGAAAGGAUGUCAGAGGUUUGGCAAUAUUCAAAGGGCACCCGCAUCGGCCAUGAAUCCCAUUAUCAAACCUUGGCCGUUUCGAGGUUGGGCUAUUGAUCUCAUCGGAAAAAUUUAUCCACCAUCAAACAAGGGGCAUAAGUUUAUCUUAGUUGCCACUGAUUAUUUUACUAAAUGGGUAGAAGCUAUUCCUUUGAAGAAAGUGACAUUGGCCAAUAUAAUUGAUUUUGUAAAAGAACACAUUGUUUACCGAUUUGGUAUUCCUCAAACAAUCACUACCGAUCAAGGCACUAUGUUUACAUCGGGAGAGUUUGAUGAAUUUGCAGUCGGUAUGGGGAUUAAAGUGUUGAAUUUUUCACCUUAUUAUGCUCAAGCUAAUGGACAGGCUGAGGCUUCUAACAAAGGGAUUAUUAAGCUUAUUAAGCGAAAAGUUGAAGAAAAUCCAAGAAGAUGGCAUACAUUGUUAAAUGAGGCUUUAUGGUCGUGUCGGAUGGCGUGUCAUGGAUCAACCAAAGUUUCACCCUAUCAGUUGGUAUAUGGACACGCUGCGGUGUUACCAUGGGAAAUUUAGACUGGAUCUAGGAUGUCUUUUCAAAAUCAUUUAACUACCGAUGACUAUGCUACUUUGAUGAAGGAUGAGUUGGAUGAUUUGGCAGAGCAUCGGUUGGGGGCUUUAAUCAGUAUAGAGGAAAAUAAAAGGAGGGUUGCUAAAUGGUAUGAUAAAAAGGUGAAGGCUAAAGAGUUUGCCGAUGGAGAUUUGGUGUGGAAGUUAAUUCUACCGAUUGGGACUAAAAGUUCAAAAUUUAGAAAAUGGUCUCCUAAUUGGGAAGGUUCUUAUCGGAUAAGUCGGUCUGCUCUUGGCAAUGCUUAUAUUUUAGAAACUAUCGAAGGAGUUGAAUUUCUCAGAGCGUUAAAUGGAAAAAAUACUUAAAGAAAUACUAUCCUAGUAUCUGGGUUGACGCAUAAAAGUUCAAAUGUCGAUAACACUCCUAUCGGCUGGAUGAAAUGUGUUUGGGAUCAUGCAUAGUGUUUAAAAGUGCCGAUAACAGUCCUAUCGGCUGGACCAAAAUGAUUAGAAGUUUUCCAAGGGUAAAAAUUGAACAAGUUGCCGAUGAAGAGCUCACAUAUUCAGUAGAGCUUGGAUAGUAGAUAUGGCGCGCAGACGGAUCUGGUUGGCCUCUCCUAUCUCUCGCAUGUCUUCAUCGGCAUAACCCUCUAUCAGCUUGAGCUUCUUUUUCAUCUACAGUGCUUUGCGAGCUUGAAUAUUUCUUUCUUGCUGAAGAGUUUUAAGCACUUCAGGGAGCUGGCUUUCUUCUUGCUGAGAUUGAGUCAUGGCCUCUUCUACUUAUUUGAGCUCAGCUAGUAGGGCUUCUCUUCUUGCCGAUAGAUCGGAAAUCUAACGCUUUAGCUCAUCCCCUGAGGACUGCAGAAUGCCGAUGCUUUUGUAUUUUUCAUCAGCGGCGCGCUUUACUUGCAUCACUUCUUCUAUGAGCGGGGCGUGAGUAGCUUUAUCGGCAAGACGUUGAGUGACCUUUUGAUAUUGGAGCUGGUAGCUUUCUAAGUGCGCAGCUUGGAAGAGGACUUCUUCUGCAUCGGCUAGGAUCUAACCACGAAGAGUCUUGAAUAAAGCCUUGGCUAGAUCGGAAUCGUCUACUAGCUGGGCUGUAUCUUGAUGCAGCAGAGCCAACAAGUCUUCUAGCUUAGAUUUAAUCUCUGCCGAUGAGAUUCCCACCGCCUGAGAAGAGCUUGCUUCUUCACCUUCAUCAUCGGAGAUGUCGAUGGCAAAGGAGAACAGACUGUCUGGAGAGUCUUGUUCCUGAAAAUGGAAAAGGAUAAGUUGCCCGUCGAUCAAGUGUUAAUGAUAUAAAGGCUAAGAGAUCAAGUAACUUACUUACUUCAGAAGGAUUUCCUACCUUUGGCGUGGGGAUGCAGCCGGUACUAUGCGUUGAUCGGCUGGAGUUGCCGAUGGAACAACUUCAACUAAGAAAUCACAAGGGUGAUUAUGAUUUACAAAAUAAGAUUCAUCAGUGAUAAUUCUAUAAUCAAUACUUUACCUUGAGGAGGUAUGGUGGUCGUUUGUUCUGGAGGGACGACCGAUGAUGUGCCCAGAUCAGUCGGAUUGGCAACCUGUUCAGAGAUAUCGGCUGGUGCUUCUUGCUGCUGGGGUGCUUGUCGGGGAGGAGAAGGUACUCCUUUUGUCUGAGCUUUCGGUGAAGAAGGGAUGAUUCUACAUGGAUUGGUGAUACUGGCCGAGGAGGAAAAGAUGGUGCUGUCCUCUGGCGCUUUGGUUGCGACUUGGUGCUUUUGGGGCCUUUUCUCUUAGCUUGACUAGGCUGCGGGGCAUCAGCGCUUUAUGCUUGGGCCAUUCCGGUCUUAGCCGAUUUGCCAGUUUUCUAUUGCAACAACCAAAAAUUUCAUGAGUGAAAGCAUAAAAGAAUACUGAUGAAAUUUUGCUGAAAAAUAAAGUUACGAUGAAGUUCCCGUUGCGGCUGAUGUACCCUGAAAAGAUGAUAAGUAUAAGAUGAAAUCGGUGCAAGCAAAGGAAAUUAAGGAGUUUUACCCUGAAAGCCUGUGCUAGCAUAGCAGCGGCUACUUAUGGGGAUAAUUUUGACCGUUUGGUGGUCGUCUUCUUGAAACACACGUUGCGGUGUGUCAGAGCCGCUAGACUUGGCGCGUGAUGACCGAUCAAAGAGAUUGGGCCUGAUUGGAGAAGAUCGAUCGGCUUCCCACUCCUACUGACUGUUGGUGCUGGGUUGUCGACCUGUUGAAGUAAACAAGAGAACAAGUAAGUUGCCGAUAGGGUUAGAAAUAACAGGAGGAUCAAAGUAUUGGUAAAAAACUGACAAUGUCAUCGGGGACUUUAUAAUCAGGGUCGAUCAUGCCACGGUAUGUGUGGGCCGACACGCUGAAAAGGUGCUCCUUCCAUUCUUCCCACCACUGUUUGUACAGUUGAGUAAUAAAAAGAGCCGGCAACCAUGCCGAUAGAUCGAUGUCUAUCGUAUCGACAUUUGGUUCAAGCUGAGCUAUCCUUAUCCAUUCCAGCCCACUGGUUAUGAUCUCCCUUGGCUUCACCACAUCGGCAUAACGGAGUCUGAUCAGCAGUUAAACAAAAGCUAGUUGACGGGCUAGUGCCGAUGCGUUGUAAAAAUCAUAAGUGGGACUAGUGUUUUUCCCACCACCAAAGGUGUUCACUGGGAUGGCUCUCGGAGUGAUGAUUGCCAUCAUUAAAUCAUUGUCCUUAUUGAGAGCAUUGUCGAAAGGAUGGAAGAUGAGUGGGAAUCUGGUUUCUGGAUCUUCGUAAAACAUCCAUGCUUGUUGUUCCUUGGUAAGGCCAUCAUACAAGGUCUAGAAGAAUUGGCAGAUUUGGUUUUCGUUGCAGCCAGUGCCGGGCAGAACUAUAGCAGCCUCACCAUAAUGGAGGGGCGGGCGAGUUGCCGAUUCAUCAUCAGCUAGUUCAUAAGCUUCGGCAAUAUCGUUGGGGAAUCGAUGUGCAAAGAGAUCGAACCGAAGGCGUUUGUGCAUAUGAACAUUAAGCCACAUGUUGAUAAACCACCAAGGGCCUCCUAGGUUGCCGAUGGUUUCACCUAACAGAAGCUUCUUAGUCACUUUGUGGAGGAGGUGAUAGGCAGAACCUAACAAGUAUCGGCCAAGGGGAAAUCGGCCGCCAUCGGCUAGGUUUUCUGCUACCGAUAAGUAGACAGAGGUUGGUCCUACAGAUCGGCCACAGAAGACGAACUUGUCUAGCCACAUGUUCAGAAAAGUGGCGUGUUCCCUUUGCCCAACUGGUCAUGUCCUCUAGUACUUUUGGAUAUAUCCUGACCAACCGCCGAUGUUGCGGGUUUCUACCUUGCGUUCAGCUUUACGGUCGUAUAGAUGGCCGUCAUCGGCAGAUGCAAUAUCUAAGCCACUAAGCAUAAGCACAUCGGCAAGAGUGGGAGAAGCCAGGCCAUGACCGAACAGGAAAGCAUUGAGAGUAUCUGACCAGAAGUAUGAAGCAGCUAUCAGUAGUGACUCAUUUCUAUCCAUCUCGGUAAUGGAUAGCCUGAUACACUGAUCUAGUUUGCAUUCACCCCAUUGUACUUCGUUCGAAUUGCUGACUCUCAAGAACCAGUCCUUCCAUCCCUUGGUGGAACUUGGCCAGGAUCGAAAGGUAUCUUUCCACAGAUCUAUUGAAAAAUUUUCGGCCCUAAAGGGGAUUCUAUUGGUUUCUGCAUUGAUCAAAUAAGUGGGGUCUGGGUCACCCAAUGGACCGAGGCAUUGAAGGUGAGGUUGCUCGGUGGGGAUGACAAUUUUUUCGCUCAACUCCUAAAAGGUUUGGAGAUUGGAAGAACAGAGAAAGAAAGAAAUUGCUAGUAAAUAAACUUGCAAAAAGGUAAAAGCACGGUAGAGAGAGGAAAGAUGGGAAUAGAUUAUCGUCAGGGACGAUGAAGUUGACGGUCAUUUCUUCCCGGAGAAGAAGAAGAUCGGAGGCUUGAGGAACUGUUGGAGAAAACCUUUGUUGGAGUUCUCGGGCUCUUCAACAAUGCCGUCGCCAGAAGAGAUGGGUUUGUGGGAUGCAGAAUGACAAGGUGGAGAAGGAGUGAUGAGGAAGGAAGUAUUUAUAGGAUAAAGUGAGUAGGGGCAUUUCUGACUUAUCUCUUUGCCGUAUCCGUAAAACUUGAGGGUGUUUAGGUGGAUAUGGUAAUUGUUCGCACGGUAAUCAAGGGAUUGUGCAGGUGAUUUGACAGCAAGCGGUCAUGAUUUUGGGAGAUAUUUUACUAUGCAGGAUCUCCUGGUCGGCUCAUCGGUAGUCCACUCUAAUGGAAAACUUGCCGAUGAACGGGUGUUUAGGAGAUUCGGUUCGAGAAGUUGAGGGAUUUGAGGUGCAUGCUAGAGACCCAGACUAAGGUUGUUUGGAUUUGAUAAUUAAUUGCUGUCAGAAGAGAGUAACUACGGAAAGGCAUCAUUACUGGAGAGAAUUUUGGAGCAUUAAUGAUUUUAUACUCCAAAAUUGGGGGGCAUGUGUUGAUACCGUUUUUUGACACGUAUCCAGACAGAUAGUAGAACCUGGAUCGGUAGGUGAAAAAGUAAUGACUGGUUGACAGAGGAGUAAUCUUUCCCUGGUACGAAAUUUAGUGCAUNNNNNNNNNNNNNNNNNNNNNNNNNNNNNNNNNNNNNNNNNNNNNNNNNNNNNNNNNNNNNNNNNNNNNNNNNNNNNNNNNNNNNNNNNNNNNNNNNNNNNNNNNNNNNNNNNNNNNNNNNACCCAGCUCUCACUGUAACUCUUUAAACAGAGUAUAAAUAUGGACUUGUAGCGAUGUAAGAAUAUCACAAUAAAUCAAACACAAGUUUUUACAUCUAUUCCAGGAUCUACUUUUUCGACGACUUCGUCAACUUGCAUAUUUUCUCUUUUACUUACGAGUUCUUAGGAAUUCAUCGAGUCAACCUCGGUGAGUUCUCAAGUUCCGCGUGAAUACCUCUUGGCCGUGGCAUCCGGGCGUAUCGCUGUUGUCGGGACCAAAGUAUUCGAGUUAUCACCUUUGUCGGUUGUAAGGUCAAAUCGGCUGGCACGCCUUAACAUUGAAUCGGGUAUUAGCCUGUUGUGUUUGCAGAUUCACUUUUGCAUCAACAGGUACCCAGGUUUUUUUGCCCCUCUUCAGCGGUGGGAUAUAGCGAUUUCCUAUGGUCCUCUAGCAUGUGCUCAAACUUGGCUUUCUCUUUUUCACUUUCACAUUCUCUUUGUGCAUCACGGAUGACAUCACCAAAAGCAUUCAUUGCCCCGAUCAUGUUAUGCCGCUACCUCUUCUUCAUUAUCUCCCCCCAUUGCAACAUCAUUGAAGCCACCAUACUGAGCAAUAAUGUUGGCGUGGUCCAAUUCUUCUUCUUCUUCUUCACCUUCAUCGAUUAUAAUCCCGCUUUCUCCAUGCUUGGUCCAACAAAUAUAGUUUGGUACGAAACUAGUCUUUAAUAAGUGCGAAUGAAGAGUUCUUGAGUUAGAAUAUUCCAUCAAAUUCUUGCACACGGCACAUGGACAACACAUGAAACCGUCCCUCUUGUUUGUCUCGGCCACACUUAAGAAAUAGUGCACGCCAUUAAUGAACUCUUCGGAGCGCCGAUCGGCAUUAUACAUCCAAUUACGUGUUACCAUCUGCACUAAAUAUAACAUAUAUAUUAUGAAAACCAUGCACACAUAUAGUUUCUCAUCUUAUUGCAUAACAUGUCUAACACACAUAGUUGAUUAAUUCAAGCAAGCUUGGCUACCACAAAUACAAUUGCAACUAGCACUAAAAAAACCAAAACUAAAAUGCACUUAAGCAACAUAAUUAGUUCGUGUCUGAUCCCAACUAUAAUAGAUAGAUCAUUCGCUUGAUCAACAUCAUUGAACUCCUUUCGCUGGCUCACUGCCUCAUCACCUUCAGCCUCAACCACCCGUGCAAAAUACUUCUUGAUGAGUUGAAUGUAUUCUUCCUUCUAGUACCAACCUGUACAUCCGUCGGUACCAUCCCACUGAAAUUAAAAGAGAGAAUCAAAAGUUUAAUUAAUAUCAUUAAAAAAAUAAGCACAUAUAUAAGCAAAUGUCUAGAAAUAACUCACAGUACGAUCCGGACACUUGUAGAAUAUACGACCCUUGUUUACUCCCUCUUUCGUCACUUUGUACUCCAUCACAAUCUUCUGCCCACACUUGCCACAAGUAAUGAGAGGGAGUUCUGGCCGGUAUCGCUUUUAAACCCGUUGAGAGACCGAAGACCCGGUCACGGUUGCCAUCUACUAUCCAUACUCAAUUUUUAAACUACUAUAAAUUCGACAUUUACUAGUAAACAUGUAUGAUUAAAGAAGAACCUAAUAAUAUCCUUUAUUUGUCUAGUUACUUCAACAGAUCUUUUAUAUUAUACAAUGGACAUUAUGUAGUAAUAAAAACUUAUCAAGUGAUAUUAACAAACCAAUUAAUUUGAACUAUCCUACUUUCUAAGAUCAUAAAAAGAUACUAUAAUUCAUUCUUGCAAACUACAUUAAUCUACUAGGUCAACCAUGAAAUAUGAUAUAUAUAUGGAUACUAAUUCAAGUAAAUGAUUCAAAAUAACAAAGUGGAUUUGAGCUAAAAAUAAUGGGAAAAUCACAAGCCAAACACAACAUGACAAUGACAAGAAAGGAUGCAGUUAGUCACCUCCAAGCACAAAGAUACGAUGAUGGAGUCGAAAAAGAUCAACGAUGGGCGUCGAAGAUGAAGAACAAAGGAAGACCAAGCAAAAACAACAAAAUGGAAGCUCUAAGAACAACAAUGGUGCUCUUGGUUUCGAAUGGACAGAGGGGAGGAGGUAGCUGGCCUAUAAACUAGACCUUUAGCACCGGUUCGUGUUACAAACCGGUAAUAAAGGCUUUGCCUCGGCCCAUGGCACUGGCCGGUGCUAAAGGGGACCCUUUAGCACCGGUUGGUAACACUAACCGGUGCUAAAGGGUCCCUGCCCUGACAGCACCUGUCAGUAGCCGUUGGGUAGGACCCUUUAGCACCGGGUCGCAAAAAGGCCGAAGUUUUUGGCAAUUUUAGGCAUCAACCAAUGCCUCAUUCUGUAGUAGUACUUCUUGGCUGCUGGUGAGGCCCCAAUCCUCCAUCGGAAGUGUCUGCUGGAGAGGCACCAAUCCUCCAUCGGAAGUGAUUGCUGGAGAGGCCCAAUCCUCCAUCCGAAGUGGCUGGUCGAGAGGCCCUAAACAUCCACGCCGGGAAGCUGCCUCAGGUAUUUGCUGCCUUCUGGGAAGUUGCCUACUCGUCUGUACAUCCCCAUUAGACUAGCAGAGACAGGCCAUGUUUUUGUUAAUAUCAGUUUUACACAAUACAUACUUGGUUCUUUUUUUUUGAAACGAAACAUACUUGGUUCUUUGAUGCCCACUGCAACUAUUACCACGUCGAACAAUUGUUUAUUUUCCUUUAUGUUCGCUUUUGGUAGUUCCUGUUUGCCAGUGUACUUUGUGGGUCUGAUUAGGCAUCUCAACCCAGGCGGCAUAAGUUUCUAUGAUUCUAGCAAAUUCAGUUAGUAAUUGAUGUUCCUGCUUUCAACCAAAAUUGUACGGAUCAUUCUAGCUAGUUUAAGCAGUAAUUGAUGUUCAUGUUUAUGGUAAAUUUGAUCAUUCUAACUAACUUUAACCGUCAAUUUUAGCACCUAUAUUCACUGUCCACAUUGCUCGUAAAUAUUACUGUAAGUUUUUAUAACUAUUCUCAGUGCAAAAAAAUUCUCGUAAGUGCUACUGUACGCUCUCGUAACUAUUCUUAGUGCAAAAUCUCGUAAAAAUUACUCAGUACACAUUCUCAUAAAUAUUUAUUACUGGAACGAAUUCAUACUAUUGUCAUAAAUAUGCAUGCCACAUAACUUACUGUUGAUUCUUUAAUAGAAAAUGAGGCCUCCUAAACUUGUUCAGGGGAGAUUGAAAUCAUUCAACCUACACACUACAUAGGAGGAUUUCAACAUUAAUAUAAGUGACAUCACUGGUGUAUCUCAGACACUACCACCUCAACCAGUUCAUCAGCAGGCAGCUCAUUGUCCAGGAUAUGCGAACGUCAAAGCCUAAUUUGCUCGCAUAUUUGUAGUAAAACUCUUUAGCUUCAUCAACACUAUUGAAACGCAACUCAUCAUUUGGCACUAUUGCUUUAGGCAACAAGGGUUCCUAUUUCACAAACAACAACUUUACCAUCACACUGAACAUCUUCUGGUCAUAUAGUGCAAAUUAUCUCAACACUGUGAAUAAAUUCUAUGUACACAUGGUAUAUACCACAAUAAUUAAAACUUAUCCACUAUGAUUAUAGCAGUUCGUAUCAAGAAAAAAUUACCAGAAAUGGCACUAACAAACAUUUACGACAAUUUUCACUAAUAAUAUUUACGAGAUAAUGUGAUACAAAAUAUUUUGUACUAAUUAUAAUUUUUAUGAGAAUUUACACCACCAAACACGUACGAUAAUUUUCACUAUUAACAUUUAUGAUAAUCUACUUUAAGAAAUAUUUACGAAGCUAGUAAAUACACUCACAUGCAUGUACGUCUUAUCCUUAUCAGGAGUCACCAUGGUUGCCGGCGAUACUGGUUGAAGAGGAGUCACCGGCCGUAACUAAUCUUGCUGGUGGAAGGCAUGGAGAACGUGAAGAGUUGCUCGCUGCUGUCCCAUUUGGCAUCGGCGUCGUCAUCGACGUCACCGGUGACGCUGACAACCCAACCUGCACCGACUCUGUUGACUGCUCAUCCUGGCCGCCCUGGAUGAACAUUGCCGAUGGAACUGAUGAGCCCCCAGCCGGCGAUGUUUUGGUGACUCAUGUCUGAAUCUUGAUUCUGAAUGGGUGCAUUGGAUUUAGGAUACGUACAUGCAAGCACUCAACGCCAAUAAUCAAGCACUACUGCCGGAAAGUGUAAAAUGCACCUACGCUAAUUAGGUACCUGCAUGCAUAUGCACUAGUGCUACAUGAGCGCAACUCAUGCUACUACUUCAAGCAGCUGCCUUGAUCAACGCUCCGGUAAUUCUCUGUACCGGUAGUUAACGUUCCUAGCAGGCACAGUCAUUAAUUACUAGACUGGAUGGAAUUAUGGAAAUCAACUAGCGCACGGCUGGAUAGGCAUCACUGCCGGUGGAUGGUGCGGUCAGAUUGGCCUGGCUACAGAAUAUGGUAUUCUGUAGCUAGUCACAGAGUAUACUCUCCCUUAGAUGUGUUUCUUUGUAGCUGGCUAUAGAAUAUCAGAGUGGACCAAUCGAUAAUAGAGGAAAUGUUGCAUUAUAGUGAAAAGAUGCCGAUGAGGAUCAGCCGAUGGAGAGUAGUGCCGAUGAAAGAUGAUGAUCGAUAGAGGAGUACUAUUAGCCUAAAGUCAAAGUGUUGGUUAAUAAAGUCAGAGAUGAUGUUUGCCAAUUCAGGUGUCAUCGCUGAUAAAGCUUAUGAUGCCAUGUUGCCGAUGCCGAUGAAAGAUGUGAAGGCUACUGCUGUUGAGACUUAUGCCGUAUUGUCGGUGCCGAUGACGAGAGAUAUGAAGAUUACUGUUGAUGAGGCUUGUGACAUGCCGAUGGGGCAGGAGUCGAUGAAAGCUUCAUCGUGAACGGGAUGGACACAAGGAUAGAUAGAUAUUGUUUUCUUUUUCUAUAUUUGUUAGAAUAUACCUUAAUGUAAGAGUCCUGUUUUAUCUUAAAAGUUGAGUUCUAGUCGUAUUUGGUUAUAACUCUUUAGACCAGUGUAUAAAUAUAGGCCAAGAGGUGAUGUAAAAGGACAUCAAUCAAUAUCAAACACAAGUUUAUUCCUAUUUUUGCAUCUACUUUUCAACGAGUUCGUUAGUUUACAUACUUUUAUUUUUACGAGUUCUCAUCGAUUCGGCAAGUUGCGCUCGACGAUCCUCGAGUUCCGCAUGAGUACCUCUUGGCUGUGACAUUCGGGCGCAUCGCUGUUGUCAGGACCAAAGUAUUCGAGCUAUCAUCCUUGUCGAUUAAUAGGUCAAAUCGAUUGACACGCCUUGACAUCGAAAUCGGGUAUUAGCCCUUUGUGUUUGCAGAGUUAUUUUUGCAUCAGCACAUCUUUUGGCACGCCCAGUGGGACCAAUUCAACAUCAACAACAUGCUUACCUCUGAGCUUGACACGGACAACAUCAUCGGUGUGACCGAAGCAGAUCUUAGAGAAGAACAGAAGAAAGCCAUGAAAAAGGCUAUGGAGGAGUACAGGCAGCUUUGUCUGAAGUCUUUCAGCCUGAACAGGAGUGGAGAAGUCAUCCAGAAAUAAGAUCUACCAUUGCCUUAGCAGGUUACCUUUGAUCCCAAUCCUGGUAAACUUCAAGAGAUGGUUAAUUCUAUAAUUAAUCAUGCUUUGAUUAACCACUCCAACGUGCUGUCCAACAGUGUCUAUAACACCGUGAUUCGAGCUUUCAAAGAGGUAAUAGCACCACCACUUUAUGCUGGCCUAGCCUAUCAUCAGCUAGGAUUAUCAUCGGUUGUUGCUCCAUUGGCUUAUUCAGCCGUUGUGGGUACAGAAGUCACGUCUCCUCCAAGUACGGCAGGGGUGGUUAAUGAACACUCUACACCGAUUUGAUCAGAUCCGAUCACUUCAGGAGGGCGAGUUCAACUCAACACAGAUCUAUCGGCAUUAGCUAUGUCAGGAUCUGUGUUCCAAAACAGUUAGGUUCCUCCUAAUUGGUGGGGGUAUGGUAUGCCUCCAGAGUUUUUGGCAAAUAAUUCUGGAUUAUCGCAGGCACCUGAUACAACAGGGAAGGUUCCCAUGCCAUCGGCUCCUCUAGUUUCGCCGAUGACUCAAGUGCCUUAGUUUUCCAUGACAACUACUGUGUGACCAGUUGUUGGGAAUUUUCAAAUGCUGAGAAUUCAAGUGCCUAAUGCAAGCUCAUCGGCAUUGUCUCAGGCAAGGUAUGUCAAUCUAGCAAUGACAGCGAAUUACCUGCCAUCGGCAAGUCUUGUGCAGAUGAAUGCCAAUAAUGGUUGGUUAGGACAGUUACCCUUUCAACAUACAGCACAACAAAAUCAUUAGGUUGUAGGGGUUCAGCAAGGUCACAUGUAGGUUGGCUUUCAGAAUCAAGCACUGGCAACUCAGCCGAUGAAUCUUGCUCAGCAGAUUGGAGGGGCACAUGCAAUGGCCAAUAUGCUGUUUGGUGGAGAUCAUGUACCGCAGAGACACGUGGAAGUAUAUUAGCAGAUGCCAGAAAUUCAGCCAGCACAUCGGUAGGAUGCUGAUACUUAUUGGGCCGAUAAGAUAGCAGAGAUCAUGAGAGACAAGUUUCGGAUAAAGCCCAAGGUUAAUACUUACUCUUAUCGAACGCCGUAUCCUCCUGCAUAUGACCUGAUCCCUCUUCCAAAUCAGUACAAAGUGCCAGAAUUUACCAAGUUCUCUGGACAAGAUGAUACAUCGACAAUGGAACAUGUUAAUCGCUUUAUUAUUCGAUAUGGGGAAGCUGCUGUUGACGGUCCUUAAGUACUAAAAUUAAUAAUCAAAUAAACAUGUAAAAGGAUAAAUAUGAAACAAACAUCUAGAAUUAGGGUUUUAUCUGACAGAAUUCCACGAGCUUUGGUGUUUAUCUAUUUCUGCAGGGGGUUAUCUGAGAAUAUGGAGAGAAGGCCCACAUGUCAUGUUUACAACGAGAUAAUUACGCGCCGCGCAAUUUUUCUCAAUCUAGAAGAGUCCAGAAGCCACGGGAAGGAAGCGGAGGCCGAACGGGGCCAGAGGCAGGGCGCCCGCCCUCCUGCCCUGGGCGCCCGCCCUGGGUUGGACUCCAAUUAGGACUCUGUUUCGGGGCUAAACUCCACUGACCUAAAGGAUCAAUCUAAACCACACAAUCAAUGUCGGUUUGAUCUGACGGCCCAAAUUCACUUGAAAAGACUAUAUAACCAAGGCCUCUAGUCUAUGCCUUGAUAGAUUUUGUCUAGUCUAUGCCUUGAUAGCUUUUCUCAUUAGUAAUCAUGUUCUUGCAAGUUUAUCUCUAGUCUAUGCCUUGAUAGAUUUUGUCCUUAUCUUAAUUUCAUUCCUUAUCCCCUUGAGCAAAAUUAUAAAUAACGAUACCUGGAAUACUUUAUCCUAGUGAAAUGCUACAAUGAGGUGUUUUAUCUGUGCGCUUGCAGAUAGAAUAGAUUAUUUUCUAGAGAGCCUUUACAUUUAUAAAUACCUUUGUACACUCUAGCACCACGGUGGGGAUGACAACCUAGUAUCUAAGUGGUGUUAGCUAGUGUCAACAAGCAUUUCUGGCGCCGUUGCCUGGGAACAAAAGGGUAAGACAUAGGAACGGUAAGGAAAGUCAGGAAAUCAGUCGAGGCUAUUCAUAUAAGAUAUUAGACUAGACUAUAGAGAAAUAAUUGCAUAAAAACAGCUACUAAGUGAGAAAUCAUAACAAGGCACCUCUGCUUUGGCAGGUUCACCCUGUUGUUUUUCUAUGUUUAUAUUUUUACACAGGGUAUAUCAGGAUUGACUUUGGGUACAUUCAACUCUUCAUCAUCAGAACCAAAGCAAUCAAGAGAAGAAGAAGCUAGCUACCAAUUGUUGAAGCUAUGGCACAGAAGACCUUACAAGAAUUCUCUGCUCCAAGCCUUGAGAACAUUCCAACUAGUCCAAGAUUGGCAGUAGAAGAAGGAAUAACCGAGUUUGAGCUCAAGUCAAGCCUCAUCAAUUUGGUGCAAGCUACACAAUUCAGUGGAAAGGCACAUGAAGAUGCCAGUGCACACUUGCAGAAUUUCUUAGAGAUUGGAAGCACAAUCCACAUCAAUGGAGUUGACAAAGACGUCAUACUGCUUCACCUUUCUCCAUUCUCACUAGAAGGAAAAGCGAGGAAGUGGUUCUACACUCAUCAAGUUAACAUCAACAACUGGACGAACUUGUCAGAUGCCUUUCUAUCAAAGUUUUUCCCUAUAGGCAAAACAACUGCCUUAAGAGGAAAUAUGGUCAGUUUCCAACAGCAGAAGACAGAAGCCAUUUCAGAAGCAUGGGAGCGUUUUCAAGGAUACAUAUCAGAUUGUCCUCACCAUGGAAUGGCCACAUGGUUACUUAUGCAGACCUUCUACCAUGGAUUAACCCAGAAGGCUUGUGAGUGCCUAGAUUCAUCUGCUAAAGGAUCAUUCUUGGAGCUUACAACUGGAAAUGUAGAGAUACUUUUGGAUAAGAUAGCAGAAAAUCAAAGCUGGUUCCAAGAUAAGGCUCAACAAUGUCAUCAAACUGAAGAAAUACCAGAAGAAGUAAAAGCAUUAUCAACUAAGACGGAAAAUUUGCUCCAUUGGAUUGACCAGAGGGCCAAGUUCAAAGAAGAUCAAAGGGCCAUCAAGACAGCAUACAAAUAUCAACCAACUUCAAGUCAACCCAAUAGCAAAGGUAUGAAUUCAGGUAAUACUUUCAAGCAACUUUCAUUAAAAGAGAUAAUUGCUCAACAAACUAAAAUUAAUGAUGAUGUUAAACAAAGGCUAGAUACAAAUGAAUCAUCUCUAAAAGAUAUACACAAUAAAAUGGAUUUUCUAUUAACUGCCUUUGACGAGCAAAACACUCUUAAUAAAAGGGUAGAGCUUAAAUUAAUAAAGUUAACUGCUGCACUGCCUGUUGCUACUAACAUUGAGCAGGUAAAGAAUAUAACUACUAGAGGAGGCAAAGCCACCAGAGAUCCACCAUACCCAAAAGAGAAACAAAGAACAUCAGCACCAGUGCAACCAGUAGUGAUAGAAGAAGAAAGCCCAGUUGAAGCAGAAGAUCUGCUCCAACCACCAAGAACUGGAGAAAUGAGGAAAGAUUUUUACGACACCAACUAUUUGCCAUUUCCCAGAAGAAACAGAGGACUGCAGUCGGAUGAGCAGUUUGGUAAGUUUGUAGAGGUCAUUCAGAAAUUAUAUGUCAACAUACCUCUGCUAGAUGCCAUACAGGUACCUACAUAUGCAAAGUACAUCAGAGAUAUUCUUAACAAGAAGAGACCACUGCCCACCACUGAGGUUAUCAAGCUAACAGAAGAAUGUAGUGCGGCCAUCCUCAACAAGCCACCAAAGAAGAAGGAAUAUCCCGGAUGUCCCACUAUUGACUGCUCGAUCGGAAACCAACACUUCAACAAUGCACUUUGUGAUCUCGGAGCAAGUGUCAGUGUGAUGCCAGCAUCAGUCUACAAAAAGCUUGAGCAUGCGACCCUAGAACCAACAUCAGUGUGCCUACAAUUAGCGGAUCAACCGGUUCGACACCCUCUGGGCAUCGACGAGAACAUUCCAGUCAAGAUCAGAGAUUUCCUUGUGCCAGUAGACUUCGUAGUACUAGACAUGAGUCCUGACUCAAAAGUGUCCAUCAUCCUUGGAAGGCCAUUUCUGAGCACUGCCAAUGCCCACAUUGAUGUCGGGAAAGGAGAAAUCAAGUUCAACAUAAAUGGACAAGAAGAACACUUCACAUUCAAACCCAGACCAGAGAGAGACUCUACAGUGAAGGAAGUUCAUGAAGAACCACUGGAGACACCAUCUCUGGAGGAAGGUAAUUCAGAAGAUUAAAAGAUUUGGAGGUCCAGCUUGGGGGACCUAAAAAUCCCAAACCCUCACCGGGAGGUAAAUCGGUAUUUAUCCGCAUUAUUAAUUUUCUCAUAUUUAAAUUCUUGCAUUAGUCAUAGCUUCAUUAUAAUAAUCAAAAGCCCCAUAUAAAUAAUGUUCAUGGUGUGUAACAACCCAUAUUUAUUAAUUAUUGUGGAGGCACAAAAAUAUUUUCCAUAAUCAUUUUAAUUAAGUUUCAAUUCUCAUAGAUUUUCCUGCAUUAUAUUUAAUUAUAGUAACCUUCUAGAAGUAUGACUCACACUCCUUGGGUCCCACAUGUCAUACACUUCACCUCACAUACAUCCCAUCACAUAAUUUUAUCCACCAAUAUGUUUCCACUCACCAGACAUCUUUCCACCGUCCAACCACCACCAACACAAUAUUAUUGUGCGUGAGAUCAAAGCAAGGAAGCAAGUAGAGGAGGCACACCCUGGAUGGGCACCAGGGGCGGGCGCCCGCCCACCUACCCAGGGCGCCCGCCCUGUUCCCUGCUCAGCCAAUAAAUAGCCACCUCCAGCUCCCCUUCUCUUCACACACACAUUUCAGAAAGCCUUGCAAACUCGUAGGUCUUGGUUUCCAGAGAAUAGCUCUGAGUGUGAGAAGGUUGGGAGUUCUUUUGAGUGAGAGAGUGAGUACCACCUAGUAAGUAGUGAUCCCGUUGUCUAAGUGGAAGUAAAAGUUGUUUAGGGGGAGGCUCUACCAAAAUAGAAACUUGUCUUGAACGAUUAACCCCUAGACUACUGACAUUCCGGACAGCUGACCACUAACAUUUUCUCUCACAUUUCCACUAGUUGUGUUUUUGCCAACUUUUGUUUGCAGGAUGUUUAAAAAGCUAAAGAACGCAGGGAAGGCUCUCAAGAACAUUGGUACAAGGAGUUCAGCCCGACACUCCUCACAUCCAUCAGAGAUGAGCGUCGACCCUAUGCCCACACAAGCUCCGUCAUCUUCAUCUGGUCAGCAAGUCAAGGUCCUUCUCAAGAUAGGAGACCUUGGACUGAAGACCCGAAGAGAGAAGGAAGUCUAUCAGCAACUGAAAAACAAAGAUUUCAUUCACACCCCUACUCUUGAUCCAAUCUUACUACAAGAAACAGGUAUGGACACUGAAUUUGACUUAAUCUUCUAGAUGAUAGGUUGGACAAAUUUUUGGAAUAUAACUGAGCUAGGUUCUCGUGUUCUCACCCUCGAAUUUCUUUGCACUUUACAAUACUAUGAGGGGGGAAUUGUUUUUCAGAUGUUCAAACAGGAGAUUAUGUUGUCUUGGAGAGAGCUGAGCGACCAUCUUGGUUUCUCUUCAAGAUGCAUCCUAAACAUUGACUCCGACUUACCUAACUUUGAGAGACACCAGUUUUGGAGAGAAAUAUCUAGAGAUAAUUUUUAUAGUCAAGCCCGAACCAGUGACAUGGAACACCCCACUCUUAGGAUGUUCCACAAAUGGCUUGGGUGCAAUCUUUUCUAUCGUGAUGAUAUUAGGAAAGUAAGAGUAGGAGAUUUACAACUCUUAUAUGCUGCUAUUAAUAAAGUACCUACUUCACCUAUUACACUUUUAGUUUCUCAUUGGCUUAGUGUACCUAGUCUUCAGGGACCAGUAGGAUGUACUUCACUUAUCACUCGUCUAGCCUCUAAUCUUCACUUACUAGAAAACUCAUCGUUGGACUUCAUAGAUGAGUUAAGAAUUUAUCAUGGCUAUGACACAUUUAGAUAAGCUCGGAUGUUAAACAAAGAGGGGAAUGUAAUGUAUAUGCUAUAUGAUGAUAAAGGCAAGAUUCGGUUACCUAACCCGAACCUUGGCCUCUACGUUGUUCAAAAUUUUUUGAUUGAGAUUGCAGCAACACCGGUGAAUCAGAGAGAUCCACAACGAGUGGCAUGUGAAAGGAUGACCACCCAUCGAGAAUGCACCUGGUAUGGAGCUGAUCCCGGGCCAGAAGAAGCAGCGCACCUGCAUUAUUGCGACUACAACCCUCGAGUCCUUCGAGACCCAUGGGUUCACAUUCGCAACCACAAGAGCCAAUAGAGGAGACAUGGCCGGAGAGCCAAGAUCACCAGUGGACAAACCCGCCUUUUACGGGCAGGUACUCCACUGAUCCAUACGGAGCUUCAGGAUCUAGACCUCCGCCCCAAUUUGAUGCAGGAUGAUACUCCGACGCCUCCUACGCUUUCACGAAUGACUACUACCAAGAGGCCGGUGCUUUCUUCACCUGUACUGACAACACCCUCCUCGACAUCCAGAACACGCAAGCAGAACAUGGACGACUCCUGGAAGAGCAACAAAAAUGGAACCAGGACCAUGCCGCUGCAGUAGAAGAGCUGAGACAAGAUACAACAACAAUGAACGAUAACAUCACAACCAUGAUGCGGUUCUGGAACAUUGGGUAAGACCGACAACAACAUCCAGCUUGGGGGAGUUCCUCCCAAAUUUAUCAAGUAAGUUUUUAAUUGCUCUUCUUAUUUAUUCUUUUCUAUUUUAGUGUUUUAUUUAUCUUAGAGAGAAAAAACUUAGAAAACCCAAUAAAUAUUUUCUUGCUUUAAUUUACUACAUUCUAUAAACAUGAAAACAAAAUAAAAAGAGUGUGUAGAUAAGUGUGCUUUAUUUAUCUGCUAAGUUUAAUCUCUAGAAAAGAUAAAAAGACAAAAAAAAAUACAUGAUGGAAAUGAUGAACAGUUGCUCUGUUUGCUUACUUACAAGUACCUAGCUUUUAUAUUAGAGUUCUUCCAAGAAUUACUAAAACUGAAAUCACUAUCUAUGGGAAACAUGAAACUAAAAGUCUAGGUAAGAGAAAGGCAUGAUAUAAAGUUUGAGCUACUGUUUAUCUUGUUUGUACUACACUAAGUUCUGGAGAUUUAUUUUGAAAACUUACAAAUCACAUGAUGAGUUCCUAGCAUUGCAAACUACCUACCACAGCCAUACUUGCUAUAACAUCUUUUGCUAUUUACAUUAAGUUUGAUCGAGCUGUGUAGACCCUUAGGAGCUUUUCAUGUGGUUAAAUUAAGAUAUUCACUUGCACACAUCUACCACAACAUUAAUCACCAAUCAUUAAAAUUGCUAAAAAUAUUAUCACUCACUGUCCCAAAUAUUGUUAUUCUCUCUCUCUAAAAAGAUUCAAUGCAGAAGAGGCAUGGGUUAUGCAAAAAUAUGCUAGGAAAUAAAAAGGGGCAAGUGCCCGGAACCUCGAAAAAGAAAGAAAAAGAGUGAGACGAGAGGUAAAAAUGGACAAGUGUCCAGAGUAGAAUUAGGGGUACAAAGAUGCCCACUUGAGCGAAAAAAAAUGGACAAGUGUCCGAUAGUAGAAUUAGGGGUAUCUACUACCCAUCUGAAAAAAAAGAGAUAGCCCAUGUUCUCCCAAAGCAAAGAUCAAAGAAGAGAAGAGGUAGCAAUAUGAGGAGCAAUGAGAACUAAGUUUUAUUAUCACUUAUACAUUUUUACCAUCACUAUCAUUUACUCCAUCACACAUGCACAUCUUGAUUUAAUUAUAUGCUGAGUUCCUUUGGAUCCAUGGCUCGAUUAGACAACAUAUGUAUGAGCUGUUUUUCACUCCUAUGAGCUCCACUUAAAUAUUCCAUUAGCUAUAGGUAAGUGACAUUAUGGUAAGGAUCCACAAAUACCACAUAUAGAGAGACUUGAGAGAUCAUUGCUGGGAACUCUGAGUUUUAUUUUGAAAACUUAUGAAAAACUUUAGAACAAAAGUGAAGUAUAGACAGGAGGGAUAGUGCUUGACUUAACUAUUUUGUCUUUCGAUUACUUAAGACUUAAGUGCAGGUACUAAAUGUUGACGGUCCUUAAGUACCAAAUAUAAUCAUCAAAUAAACAAAGACAAGGAUCCAAAUACAACCAACAUCUAAACUUAGGGUUUUAUCUGACAGAAUUCCACGAGUUUUGGUGUUUGUCUAUUUCUGCAGGGGGUUAUCAGAAAAUAAGGAAGAAAGGCCCACAUGUCGGGUUUACAUAGAGAUAUUAUCGUGCCGUGCAAUUUUCUAUCAUCUGGAAGACUCUAGAAGCCACGGGAACGAACAGGAGGCCGAACGGGACUAGGAGCAGGGCGCCCGCCCUCCCCCCUUGGGCGCCCGCCAUGGAGUUUCAACCAAUCACGCUCAAUCUCGCGGAUUAUGCUCCACCGACCUAAAGGAUCAAGAAUAACCGUUCAAACAAUGUCGGUUUGAUCCAACGGCCCAGAUUCACUUGAGGGGACUAUAUAAGCAGACCCUCUGGCCCCUGGAGGAGGCAACCCUUGAUCAUUAUUCAUUAUUCAUAGACAGAGCAAAAGCUAGGGUUUAGAGAUGAGAGCUCUCCUCUCUUCUCUAAACUAGAGUAGAUCUAGAUAGUAGCGAGAUGGAGAGCGAAGGAGGAUUAGAGGAGAGGCCGGCCUGUCGGUUCUUCCUCUGGUUGUACUUUGCCAUGAUCAAGCUCUAAUCAAGCUUGCUCAUGGGAUGACUUUGGUAAUCUACUUCUAAUUCAUUAUGCAAUUACUAAUCAUGUAUGUUCUGGUUCACAACUCUUUUGAGUACUUCUAAUCUAUAGGACCCUAUAGGUUAGAGUUGUAGUAUAGGUGUAAGCAUGGUGCUUAGACCUAGAUUACUUGUGGAUAUCCCCUGUCUAGCUGGAUCGUGUGGUAGGCCGCGUAGGUGACAGUUACGUUGGUCCUCUGUAGUCCACCUCUCGUUAGCAGGACGGGUAGGGUUUAUCGGCCUAUGGAUAAGCAUCCUUUGUGGUGUACUCUUAUCACGUGGUUCGUCCCAGACAUAGACAUAUCCCUUUGAAGUAGAGAAACCAUAGUUAUCCUCUCUAUUCUGCUACCAUCGCCCAUAUACUAGAUUGCUCAACUCUCUAUUCCCCUAUUAUUACUCAUUGUUAUCUUACCUUUAAUAUUGUUCUUAUUCAAUUCUACCAUCUUUCCUAUUUACACUUAUCUAUCUAUCUUGGUUAAGUUAGAGCGUAGUUGGUUCUCCGUUUCCCUGUGGAUACGAUAAAACCUUUAACCAGGUAAAAGCUUCAACGGUAUCCGUGCGCUUGCGGAUUAUCUGUGUGCGUAUAAAUACCAUAGUACACUCUAGUGCCAUGCUGGGGAUGACAACCUAGUAUUCAAGUGGUGUUAGGAAGUGUCAACAAGCAUUUUUGGCGCCGUUGCCGGGGAAACGGUUGUUGAGUUGACUACGAACUAGCUUAAUCAUUUUCUAAAAAAAUAAUAUACUUUUCCUUUUAUCUUUUGCCUGAUCUGUGCUAUUCUUUCUUCUUAUCUAAUCCUUGAUCUCUGGUCUAUCAUAAAUUCAAACAUGUCUAUCUUUGAAUUUCAUAGACCUACGGGCACACAUCUCGAUCCACCAAAAUCUUCAAAGCCUAUCACAGCAUCUAGUUUUGAGAUAGACCCCGAAUACAUAGAAUUUGUUCAAAAACAACCUUUCUCAGGAGAAGGUAAGGAAAACCCAUACACGCACCUAAGAGAGUUUUAUCGAGUCUGUGACCUCCUUCGCAUAGGAGGCAUGUCCGAUGAGACCCUUAAAUGGAAGGUCUUUCCGUUCUCUUUAAUAGGAAAAGCUAGACAUUGGUAUAAACUCAAAGUAGGGAGUGUUCAUGGAGAUUGGAAGGAGUUACAUAAUAGUUUUCUUCUUAAAUAUUUUCCAAUAUCCAAAGUGGCGGAACUUCGACUUGAGAUUAUUUCUUUUAGACAACUAGAAGAAGAAUCUCUUUGCAAAUCAUGAGACCGCUUUAUUAACCUUACUCUCACUGGCCUAAAGCUUUCUAUUCUAGAAGAAGUUCUUCUAAUUCACUUUUUUGAGGGCCUUAGUAGGGAAGAUAAGCAAACCCUUCAUGCGGCCUCUGGAGGAUCUUUCCACCACCUAUCUGCUAGUGAAGCUUGGAAUUUGAUUGAUUUAAUGAGCGGAAAGUCUCCUAGCUUUUAUAUCCCUGAGAAAGAGAUAGAACCAGUUCCUAGACAAGAAGAAGAAGUUUCGAUAGCCAGAUCACAACCACUUCAAUCCCAAACUUUAGCUAUCGAUCCUAAACCAUCAAUACCCAAAAAUUUUCCAAGGGAGGAAGUAAUUCCGACUUUAAAUCUUUCAGAUACUGAUGGUUUAGACUUCUGGUUCCAUAAGAGACCUUCAAGUAGGGAUAAUUCAAAUCCUUGCAAUAAUGGUUCUCUUAGAGAAUGUCCUGGUUCCUAUUAUGAAGAAGUCGAGGAUGACAAAUCAAGUGAAGGAGAGCUAAACCAUAUAGAAGAUUCUAUCUGCUCCCCUUCCAUGUUCACAAAUUUUAAAUCCAUCCUUGACCUUAGAGACCCCUCUUAUCCCUCUACUUUUAAGUCUCAUGAUAAUCCUAACAAUCCGUCAAGACGAUCAAACCAUAGGAGUCAUAAAGACCAUGAGGAUGACAUGUCAAGUAAUGUCAUAGAAGGAGAGCCAAGCCAUAUAGAAAAUUCUAACACCUCCCCUUUCCUGAUCACAAGUUCCAAAUGGCUAGAAUGCGUAGAAUGGAUGGAUAAGGAAGAAGCCUUAAUGGAUUCUGACUUUGGCUCAAUUUCAAAUGCUGAGUUCUUGACUCCCUUUGAAAAUGGGAUUCAUCCAACUAUAGAAGAGGACAUAAAUGAGACCAAUCCAGGAGAAACUCCGAACAUUCAGAUUGGAGACGAAGAUAACAUUAAUGAGCAUGGAAUUUAUUUCAUAGCCACUCCGUUUGCACCAUGCUCAUAUGCAUCAUCUUCCCAAUCUAUUGGUCUCCCCAACAUCACCACAUUUGAGAUCUCCAACCCCCUCUUCCUUUCUAUUUAUAAAAACUUUAAAAGGGCGGUUGUCGAUGCAUAUGUCUAUAAUAAAUAUUGUAGAUCUCGUUGAGUUGAUCUUGAUAUAAGUCAGCGUUGGAAGGGAAACCACUUCGCCGACAUAAAUUGAUGGUUUCCCAAGGACAAGCUUAGUGUCCUAAAAUAAACACUGAUCAGAUCGUAACAUGAGCUUUUAAUUAUUUACAACAUUACCUUGUGUAUUGAGCAUAUAAGGAUAAUUGUAAAAAUAUUCCUUCGGGUAUUCUUGUCACUAACCUUUCCAGGAUUGGAGCAAGAAGAUCGGAUGAAUGACAAGCACAAGGUAUGUCCAGCCAAUCACCAUACAACAUUGAAUUAAAUUCAUCCAAACUUGAAUUUUGUAAAAUUCAAGCUUGGGGGAGUACCUUACAUAAAAAUAUCCUUUGCCAUUUUGCUAUGUUGGUUGUCCCCACCUUUGUGACAUGCUCAAUUUGUUAAAUACUAAUCACACUACUUCAUCUCCACUUGAGUAGAUGUCUAUAAAUGCUCUCAAGCUACCUUUAUUUGCUUUAGUAUAUGUCUAGGUUUGGAGUAGUUUCAUUUAUCUCUUAAUUAAGCAUGGUGCUUAGUUUACGAAUGUUGAUCUUACUUCCAAGGGAUUUUAAAUUAAGCAUGGUGCUUAGGUUAAAAUGCCCACCUAAAUCAAAUUAGACAUGGUGUCUAGGAUGAUUUUUGAGCUGAUAGUAUGCUAUAGUAGAUAUUAGAUAUUUUGUUGGACUAACCCCUGCAGGAAAACUUUCAAUAUCGACCUGGGAAGUCCUGAGAUAAACUCACAUCAGAGACAAAGAGAGAGACACAUGAAGUUUAACAAUUUACACAAGGAAGACAUAGCUCAUAAGAGAUGACCCAUGGAGGGUGCCACAAACACGUUGCACAACCGCUAAGAAAGGAAAGCUUCCACAAGGUGAUACUGUACCAUCACUCUUCAAGUAAGGUAACGUCUUAAGGUACAUGAAUAUCACUUUUAUAAGCUUCUCCUUGGUUCUGGCGUUCACAUGAAUAAAAGAGACAAACAUGUAUAGUCCUUCCACCGUUUUGAUCCCACACUCCUAAUCAUAUGAGCUAAAAUGUUGCACAUUCAAUCUUUGAGAGAUAUAAAGAAAAAGACAUAUACAUAGAUAGAUUAUCUUUCCAUAAGGUUGAGCGAUCUGAUCUGACAAAUGUUUUAAAUGCUACACUCAUGAUCUUAUUAUCCAUCAAAUUUGUCUUGCUCACUAUGCUUAAGGUUAGAGAAGAACAAAUACACUUUUGGUUCUGUUGGUGUUUUCCACCAACAGGACCCAUGCACUUGAUCUCUGCCUUGUCUCUAUGAGCAGGUACACUUCGAGCAAAACAUGGAGGAGUUUUAUAACUCCCAGAUUCCACCAAGUGAAGGACAUGGAUCUACGAGGACAAACACACUGAGCAAGACACUGCCAACACCGCACUUCGAACUACUGGGCAAACAAAGAACAUGGGUGACACCGUAUUAAGAGGUGCAGACAUCAAGGUCCACACCUGAAUCAAAUGACGCACCUGAAGAAUGAACACGGUGAGAAGUCUUGUUCAGAAGACUUAAAAUAUUGAACCCUCGCCGAAAGGUAAAAUCGGUAAUUAUCCAUAUUUAUCCUUUCUACAUUCCCUUUCUCCUUUAGUUAUUUACUUUCCUUAAAUGGCUUGUUAGUUAAUUAUGCUAUCUUGAAAAGAAAAUGAAAAUGUUAAAAAUAGUAAGCCCUAUGUGAGUAUGCUCGUGGCAUAAAACCCAUAAGUACAUUCACUGUGGUGGCGUAAAAAUAAAAUAAAUAUAUUCCUGUCCUAUAAAAAUGAGAAUAUAAAAAUAAAUUUAUGAUCCUACCAAAAAGAGUAACAUUUAUUGAGGAAGCUCAAUAUGAUAAAGGCUAGAUAUUUAUGCUAACACUUAACGAGUUCCACAAAACUUUGUUGUCUAUUUUGAGCUCCACAGAAUUCAAGGAUCAAAGAAGACUAGCAAACGGAGGACAUCCUAAUCGCUGUCAGGGUGCUGUCGACAUUCAAAUACACCUCCGUCACCUGCUAGCUACAUCAGAAGAAAUUACGUCAAAAUCCAGCUUGGGGGAGAGCACCCCCAUUUAUCUAGCUAAGUGUUUCUACUCGUGUUUAUACUUUACUCAAAUAAUAAAAAGAUGCAUAAUAAAAAAAACCCAAAUAAAGAUUUUAUGCUUAUAUAUAUAUAUCUUUGCUUAGUUUGCUAAAUAAAUAAAUAAAUAAAGUUUGCUAUGAACCCUCAUGAUAAGCUCUCACAUGGAAAUGAUGAAUAGUUGCUCUGCCAUGACUAGUUCUCAAAAUUGAAAUCUCUCUCAAGUUUAGGCAUGACUGUUAUGAAUUAAGAUUUGCUCUAAACCUAAACUUGUGGGAAGAGUACUUGAUCUAAAGUCUAAGUCAUUAACGGAUAUGAUAUGGGAAGGUUGAGCUGCUGUUUAUCUGUUCCUAGAGAUGCUAGAAUUCUGGAGAAUUUUUGAAUAUCUUUAAAAUGUUGCAUGAUGAGUUCCUGUAUGAUGAGAGUUUAAAAUCCUACCACAGCCACAUAUACAUGCUUAUGAGACUAUGAACCAUACAUUUACUUUUUACUGCUUAUGAGCAUUGAGUGUGGUCAAGCUAUGUAGACCCUUAGUAGCUUGUCAUGCGGUUAUAAUCAAGAUUCACUUGCGCGUCCACUCAUACAUGCUGCUUCUACUCCAAAAGUAUGCAUCCACAUACAUCCACUCCUUUCCAUCUCCAGAUUCACCUAAAAUUAUUCUACUCCUAUCUAGGAGAGAAUAGCCAAAAACAUUAUCCCAUUCCUGUUUUUCCCUGUGAAAUAAAUGCUCGAGCUAUUUUGGUUACUACCACUUGCUACAUUAUUCCAGGAGGGUGAGUGCUCCGAAAAAAAAGAAGAAAAAUACGAGGAAAUAAAAAGGGGCAAGUGCCCGGAACCUCGAAAGAAAAAAGAAAAAGUGAGACGAGAGGUAAAAAUGGACAAGUGUCCGACAGUAGAAUUAGGGGUACAAGAUACCCACCUGAGAGAAAAGAAAAAGAAAAUAUAGAGCAUCUCAUUCCUCUCAAAAAAACCUUCAAAGUGCAAGAAAGGUAUGUAUCCCCUCAAAAGAGCAAAAGUAGAAUUAGACUUUCACCAUUAUUUUCACCAUUAUCACCAUCAUCACCAUACACCAUUCAUCCACCACACAUGCACAUCUUGGUUUGACUUAUUGACUUGUUUCUCUGGAUCCAUGGUUUGACUAUGCAAUAAAUGUCUUGUAAGUAUGUAUUAGCUGUCUCCCACCUAUGAGCUCCAGAUACCAAACCUUAUUAGAGUAGGGUGAGAAAGAAGGCAAUAUCAAUAUGCCUCAUACCACAAAUACUACAUACUUUGAGAGAAGGCGUAUAUUAUCACUGCCUUGGUAAGGAUCCAGAAAUACCACAAAAGAGAGACUAGAGAGAGUCAUACAAGAAAUCUCUGAGUUUUAUUUGAAAAUCUGCAAAAACUCCAGAGCUAUAGUUGAUCAAAGAACAAGAGACAUGGUACUUGACUUGACCGUUCUAUCUCUUAACUGCUCCAGACACAAGUGACGGCUGCAAGCCCCAUGGCACUACAAGAAAUCUCAGAUUUUAUGAUAAACAAUAUUUGUCAUGUAAAGUAAAGAAAUAGUCACAAAAUGUUUGGCAUGACGAAAAACCACCGUCAUGGAGGUCGUCAUAUAUCGACCAUCGCUAAAUGUACCUUGUGACAAUAUUAAGCAAAGUCGUCAUAUAAUGGGUUAACGUUUUGUGACGGUUAUACCAUAUCGUCGUAUAAUGUUUACCUUUAAUGACGGUUGUCGUCGUCACAUAUUUGCUGGUCAACUCGUCGCAUAUAAUACGUCACUGUCACAAUAUGCCUCGGGGGGACCAAGAUUCAGUCUAUUUUUUGUGACGAGACUGUUGCGUCUUAUAUAGUCAUGCAUAUGUUGUGACGCUAUUUUUGUGUCUUGCAAUGUAAGGAAGUUAGAUAAAUCUGAGACGACUCCAGGUUGUCAUACAUUUUCAUUUCAUUCCGUGACGAAGGCUCUAGUGUAUGUAUCAAUUGCAAUUCAUGACCAAUGUCACACAUCAUCAUUCCCAUCAUAGCUCAUAAAUCAUACACAUUUUAGGCAAGCCAUCAUCGACAUAUACACUCUAGACUAUAAGACACAAUGUUUGCAAGUUGAAAUACAUCAUAGUAGUUCUAGGUUCCAUCACAUAGGUUCAAAUCCACCAUACAGGUACAAACAUAAAAGCAGAUGCAAAUAAGUUCAGAUACUUGGUUCUACAAAUUCAGAUACUUGGUUCUAAAAACACAGUGAAACAAAAGUUCAUAGAUGUUAUUCUGGCAAAGGCAUCAGAAAUAGAAGCUGCAUUCAAACCUAGACCUCAAUCUUUCUAAAGUUUCAGCAUAGCCCGCAGCAGUGCAUUUGUGUCUUCAAACUUGGUAUGCAUCUCCUUCACUUCAUCUUGGGUCUGGCGCAACAAAGUUUGGUUUUCCUCAAGAGCUGCUUGGUUUGCUAGAAGCGAGGCCUGUUGAGCUUGAAGCUGUGCUUGUAGCUCUUCCUGAUGCCUAGCAGCUUGCUCUCUUUCAGCUUGCAGUGUUGCCUCGAACCGAGCUUGAAGGCGUGCUUCAUUGACUGUUGUUGUGGACCGGCUAGUCUUCGACACUCGAGCGACACCGAUGUUUGGAAGGAAGGUGGAUGAUCGGCAGAUCUGGCUAAGACUGUCAGCAACAAUCCUAGAGGGGCUCUUUUGUUCUUCUCCUUCAUUUGGUUCUCUUUCCUUCUCCAAAACCAUUUGUUCCUACAUGGAAUGAAUGCACUUAGUAACAAGGCCAAACAUCUUAGUUGAAUCUAGCAAUUUAUUGGUCAUAGUACAUAUAUCCAUUAAUUAUUGUACUUACAUAUAUGUCAUUUGCAAGAGGAGUACGGCCAUUUUGUGGGCUAUUCAUACACUCCCCAAAGAAUUCAAUAGGAUCUGGUUCCAUAUUGUUAUACUUCGGCCUCUGCAGCAUGCAAAAAUCUUGGGUUACAAUGACAUAAGUGAAGGUAUAUACAAGGCUAGACAAACAUGGGAUAUAAGAUGAGGCAUAAUUUUGUUUCAUGUAAACAGCAAGAUGCUAAGAAAUGUAAGCAGUAUAGGAACAUACAAUUGUGUGCUAGUUGCUAACAUAUUUUUUUUAUGGCAACAGCAAAGGAAAUCACAGGCAAUCAAUUAAUUAGUGCUAUGCUUUGUCAAUCAACAUUCACACCUAUUUGAUUCCCAGUUGGCCAUUAUCAUCAUAAAAAAUUCUGCAUCAAAGAAAGCAUGAAUAUCCAUACCAGGCUGUAUCGAUGGGCAAUAUAGGACCUAGAUCCUGUCCUUUGGUGAAGCUGCACUUGGCCUCGGUUGUCUUUGUUCUUAGUUGAUUUCUCCUACAUUAAAAAUGGAAAGCACAUGUUUCAUUCACAUGCUCAAUUUGCUUUGCAUAUUAACAAAAUCAGAUAGUGGACAUGGACCUGAUUAGUUGGGUCACACCAGUACUCAACCAACUUGAUCCAUUCCUCUUUCUGCAUUUUCGGUGGGGGUUCUUUGGCCAACAAUUGUUCUCUAGUCAGUGAGGGGUCGAAGUACUUCUUCUUCAGGAGAUACCUUUGUUGCCUUAGUCCCCUCUUAAUGAUAUCAGUGCAUGCAUCUUUGCUUGGUCCCUCUGACUUAAUAUCAACAUCCAACCUUGACUAUAAGCACAGAAAUUAAAUACUAGACUUAAUUUAUAAUUCAGAGUACUGUAAUGCAUGAAAAUAUUAGGAAGAAUGAAAUAGCUCACUCACCGCCACUUUUCUUAGCACUUUUGCAACUUCUGCUUGCCCAACAUCAUUAUCAUAAUCUUUCCAUUUUGUAUAUAUUGGUAGGUUGUCUCUAAGGGCUACACCACAUUCUGAUGCCAGCUUUGCUGCUUGAAGUGGCACGUCAGGUCUUUUCUUCCCAGGAGCCACCUCAAUAGCAAGCUUCUUUCCUCUAUUAAGCAUCUUCUCUAAACCAUGGCCCAAUGUUCUCUUGCGAACAUUCUUUUUGGGAGCUGCAUCUGCACAUAACAACAAAAAUGUUUUAUUAUAGCAGUAGCAAUUGUAGAUAUUGAAUAGGGAAACUAAUGCUUCGAAACACAAAUUAUUUACCUGCAGAGUCAUGGACUGGUUCUCCUUCAAUUGUAUGUCCCUCAGAAUUAGGAGUAUCACAUUGAGGAGAUGAUACAUUGAUGUCAUUGCUUUGUCGGCUGCUUUGUGCACCUGGUGAGUUUUCUGCAGGAACUGUUUGGUUAUUGCUGUUUGUGGGAGUAGGUUCUUGAGGUAGGCUAGCACUGGUUCUAGUAAUAGUAGGCACUCUGUAAGCACCAGGUGAAGACAUGGCUGCACUAGUCCUUGUGAAUCUACGUGGACUAGGCACUGUAUUUGGGGCAGGUGAGGAGUUCGCUGCAUUGGCCAUAAUGUUUCCCAAAGAAGUAGGCACAGUGUUUGUAGUGUCUGUGGUUAGGGUGGCGCUAGUGAGAUGGCCAUGCAAAUGGCUGGCAUUGGGAAUAGCAUUUGUAUCAGUGUUGGCUUUGUCUUGGCUUGGCUUAGGUGGUGGACGGGCUGCAGUGGUCUUUGGAGGCAAGUUUUGUCUUGGCUUAGGUGGUGGACGGCCUGCAGUUUUCCUAGGGUCUGCACUAGGCGAAUACAUGGCAGCCUGAGCCUUGGUAAAUCUGGUUGGUGUGCGCGGUGGCUGCUGAUUGGUAGCCGCCUUUUGCUUCUUCUGUUGAGGGCGAGCUCCUGGAGCCAUUGGUCUUACCUGGCAAGAGAAACGUGCAUCUUAUAAGUUAAGAACACAACAACAAAGAGUGAUAAGUACAAUGAUGUAUGUGUUGAGCUAUAGAAGGAUAUGUAUGCUUGAAAAUUGGCCCAGUGUUUCAUCUCACCUCAGUAUUGAGGUCAUCAUCAUAAUCAUCAUCAGAAUCAGAUUUGUUAUCAAUGUCAGAUGAUGGAUCAUAUUCAUUGUCAGAAUCUGGUUUUCCAGGCACUAGGCUCUUCCCUUUGCCCUCUUUCUCACAUUUUGAGAAAGCAUUUCUAACAGUUUUUGAUAACACAGGAAUACCCAAUGACAUAAAAACAUCCUGGACCAUCUUAAUGUUCUGGUCCCUCUGCAGCUCAUACUGAGAUUUUGGCAUUUCCUUUAACAAUUUUAAUGAUGCAACCCAGAAAUAGCAGAAACUUUUAACAGUUUCUGUAAAAAAAAUUGAAGGAAGUCUAAUAGUUAGUCCAAGAGUAGUAAAUUAGCUAGUAUGAAUGAAAGAGCUUGACAUGCAGAAUACUAUAAACAUGGUGCUUUUUCUGUCACACGGCAACAAAGUUCAAUACUGAAUGACACGUUUAGCUCCUGAGGCAUGGACACUUCAAAUCAAAUACUAUGACAACUGAUGACUACAAUGAUAAGUUCCAUAUUAGUUCGAAACAUGAAAGUACCUCUAAAUGUAACAGUUAGCAUGCACAGACAUGCACAAACAAAGUCAAGAAUAGGACUUCAAAGUAAAGAAUAGGACUAACACUUCAAGCAUAGACAGUGCACUUCGAGCACAGACAAAACAAAGCAUGUAGUAAUAGAAUAGUACUUACUCUGACGAGCAGACGGGAAGACGAUAGAUGGGGAGCUGGGUCCCCGCGGAGGUAAGGACAGCGUGUUGGGCGGGCGUUGUUGUUGACAGCGGGAUUGGCUGCUCCGGGCUCUAGGCUCUCGUGUUGCUAUCGACGGCGGGAUGGUGGCUUCGGGCUUCGAGCUCCGGUGGAUCCAAGAACUGGCGUAGGUGUAGUGGUGAGAUGGGGGGCUUCGCAUCCCCGUGGAGGUCCUAACGGCGGGACGGGCGGUGCCGGAUCUGGGCCCUGCCGCAGGUGCGGCGGCUAGAUAGGCGAAGGGCGGCACUAGGUUUACGGGAGGGAGGAGGAGGCCAUGGCUGCACUGAGUGGAGCCAUGCUGAGCGCUGAGGAUAAUGCCGGAUGAGUGGGGGAUUUUGGCCAUGCUGAGCGGGAGUCAUGGUGGGUUCCAUUUGUCGGUGACCGAGUGAGGGCGGGAGAGCUCCAAGGUGUAGGUGCCAAUUUUAGGUUCUGGACAGUGGGUCCUCUAUGUCAGUGACUAUAUUAGUAGUAGUACCAACUAAUUGAGUUUUUUGGAGUAAUAACUUUCAUCAAAUGUAAAAAAUGUCAGAAACAAAGUUGUGUAAUGCAGUGAGAUCUACCAUUUUGAUUUUGGGGGAUUUGUCAUAAGACUUUGUCUUGAAUUUGAAAAUAUUAGAACUUCGAACAAAUUUUUUAGAUACUUUCUUAUUUCAAAUGAAAAAUUCAUGAACAUGAAAGUUUCUCAACUCAUCAAUAUCUUUGACUUUUAUUAAGGUCAUUUCUUCAUCCAACAAACUUAUAGAAAUCUUAUUCACAAAUUCCAUGCAUCAUACUUGUUGUUUCAUAAACUAGAAGUGAGAUGCAUAGAAUUUGUGAACAACGUUUAUAUAACUUUUUCAGAUGAAAAAAUGACCUUAAUAAAAUUCAAAGAUAUUGAUGAGUUGACAAACUUUCAUGUUGAUUACUUCUGUAGUUGGAAUCAUUAAGAGUUUCAAAUAUUGGCUUAAAGUUGUCAUUUUUGGUAAACUCACAUUAUGAUUUGUGCAAUCUUUGUCACAUGAAAUGAUGAUCACAAGAAACUCAAUAAAAUGAUAGAGCAUGAAUUUAGAAAAAUUUAGGAAAAAAAGCAUCGCAUUUCGAGUAUGUAUGUGGGAGAAAUACUAGUUACAAUUUUUUUAUAUGGAUUAAAAAGAGAAAUGAUGCUUCCAUACUGAGUUCAUUGCAUCCAAGGCUAAGAACCAUAUAGGGCCCACUUGUCAGUCACACAUUGGACCCAAAUGUCUGCCAAUGCUCACUUCAAUUCGGGACCCACAUGUCAUUGGGGGCACUUAGCAAAGCAGAGUUGGAGAGGCACUUAGGCACCUCUCGGCCAGUGCAGAGGGCACUCCUGGGCAGGGGCACGCCGGCGGUCACCCCACAUCACCGUCGCCAUCCUCACUGUUGCUCUCUUGCCAGCCCCAUUACUGCUCCUCACCUUGCCUUGCUGAUGUCGCACUGCUCCACACUGCUGCUACUUCAUCGUUGACCCCAACGACUACCUCGCCGGUGAACCCGAGUACCAGCCUCGUGCGUCCCACUGGUGCUCCCAUGCUGGCCAUCCGCACUGCUGCCUCACCACCCCCUCACCUACAGCAUCUGCAGCUGCUGCCUCGGCACCCCCCUCGCCACCAGAUCUGUAGCUGCUGCUGCUUCGACGGCUAGCAGCUAGAUGGUGCUGCUACAUUAGGUCGAUUUGAACAAGGUGGGUUUUUUCUGUUCAUCAAUGACUUGUUGGUUUGUAAGACCUCAUUUAGGUUAUAGGAUUUCCACAGGAUUUUUCAGUGGAUACUUGGUGCAUUUUGCAAGUUGUUGUGUUUAAAUGACACAUGACAAUGUCAUUGAAUGACCAUAAUCUGUCAUAUAAAGUAUGGAAUUUGUCACAAAAGGCACAUGCUACAACUUAUAUGUUUUCACCAUGUUGAAAAUUCAAUUCCUAUAAGAUUAAUGGAGAUCAAUUCCUAACAUGUUGGCACCUCAAUUCAUGCAGAUCAAGAUGGACAGAAGCUGGAUUUAUAACAGCUUACCAUUUACUGAACCCUAUAAGGCUGGUGUUGAGAAAUUCAUGCAACAUGUUAGAAGUAGAUUCAGAGCAGAUGAAAAAAUCAAGUGCCCAUGUCGUCGAUGCCUAAACCACGUAGAAAAAAGUCAAGAUGAGGUAGAAGAGGAUAUACACAUCAAUGGUAUGUCUAGGAUCUAUACAAGGUGGAUUGAACAUGGAGAGGGAGAUGAUAAUGAUGUUGACCAAGAUGGUGGCACACUAGCUAUUGAACAGGAUUUGUCUUGGGAUGAAAAUGACCAAGCUCCACUUGAUGAUGAAGUGCAAGGUGAAGAUGUCAUAGAAGAUAGUGCACGGGGAGUUCAAGGGUUGAUUCAAGAUUUGUACACUGCAGCAAGCCAUGGACACAGUGGUAACUUAUAUAAAGAAAUCAUGGAAGAGGCUAAGCGAGAGCUUUAUCCAGGUUGCACCGAAGAGUCAAGGCUAAGUUUCAUUGUUAAGCUCCUACAUAUAAAAGUGUACAAUCGGAUACCAAAUUCUACGUGCAGCGAUUCUUUGGGCAAUCCAUGACUACCCUGCAUUAGGCACCAUGUCAGGAAGAACCACCAGGGGUUACUUCGCAUGUGUCCAUUGUGAUGAGAAUCCAUGCUCUGAAUGUCUAACAAACAAAAUUGGAUUCAUAGGUCAUAGACGUUUCCUCCCAGAUGGCCAUACUUGGAGGAGAAAUAGAUCUUUCAAUGGCCACCAAGAAAAUAGAGAGAAGCCAAGGAAAUUUAGUGCAGAUGAGGUUAUGGCAAGGUUGGAUGAAGUUUCCUAUGUUCCUGGCUAGAAUCCAGAAAUGCCAAAAUCAAGAAAACGACGCCGUGAUGGAGAACCAGUUUGGCAUGUGAAGGCUAGCUUGUAUGAUUUGCCAUACUGGUCAAAAUUGAAGCUACAAUACAACCUUGAUGUUAUGCACAUAGAGAAAAACAUAUGUGAAAACAUUUUGUCAACUCUACUUAAUAUUCCAAACAAGACAAAGGACACAAUUGCUGCUAGAAUAGAUUUGGAAGAAAGAGGUAUAAGAAAGGAGCUUCAUUUGCUAAAUGACAGUGGUGCUGCAUCUUCAAAGCCAAGAGCUUGUUACGUUCUAACACCAGAAGCAAAAAAGAAGUUUUUGCAAUUUGUGAGCAAUGUUAAGUUUCCUGAUGGCUAUGCCUCCAAUAUAUCAAGAUGUGUCAAUAUGGAGGGAGGAGGAUCAAUGCAUGGGCUGAAAACACAUGACUGUCAUAUACUACUGCAGCGUAUUUUACUAGCUGGCCUUCGUGGUUUAGUGCGCAAAGACGUAUACGAAGUCAUUGCUGAAGUGGGUAGGUUUUUUACGCAACUUUGCUCCAAAACUCUAAAGGUUGAUGCAUUGAACAAGAUGAAGGAAGAUAUUGUACUUAUCCUUUGCAAGUUGGAGAAAAUUUAUUCUCUUGCAUUCUUUGAUGUCAUGGUUCACCUAGCUGUACACUUACCUGAUGAGGCACUCCUUAGGGGACCGGUUCAGUAUGGAUGGAUGUAUCCCAUUGAGAGAAGAUUGGGCACCUUUAAGCGUUUCAUCCGCAAUAAAGCAAGACCUAAAGGAUCUGUGUAGAGGCAUACACUGCCUAUGAGUGCAUGACCCAGUGUUCAACAUAUUUCAGUGACAUUAUUAAUAGGUUCACUAGGCCAGAAAGAAACAUAGAUGGACAACAUAGCACCUCACCCAAUGGUUACUGUAUUUUUGAUCAUGGGAUUAACCUAUUGGGUGCUUCAAAACUUCAUUACGAAGAUAAAGACUAUGACUCCAUGGUUUGGUUUGUUCUAAAUAACUGUGAAUACGUUGAUGAAUACAAAGAGUGAGUAAUUUUUGACAUUUCUUUUCAGCCUACUUUAUUCAAUACUUGUGUCACAUUAAACUAAUUAACUUCUUUCUUCCAUUCCAGCUUGUACAGGGAAGAAUUAGAACAACAACAAGUCAACGAUAUUGAAAAAGUGAUCUCAACACAUUUCGCUCAAUGGUUUGAGAAACAUGUGUGUGCAGCUUUUACAACACGAAUCAAUAUUUUUGAUACAAUACAUUAUGAAACAUCCUAAUUAUGUAUGUCUAUAACCUACAGAUUACCAGAUUGAAAUAUGAAGGCACAACAGAUGUUGAUGAAGACCUGUACUCACUCGCAUGUCGGCCAGAUAGGCGUGUGCGUUCAUACACAGCUUGUAUAAUCAAUGGGGUACGGUACGACACUGUGGCCCGUGAGGAAUACCGGAAGACACAUAACUCCACCAUCAAAACUGCAGGUACUCACAAUGAUGACACUAUUGACUUCUAUGGGACAAUCACAGACAUCAUUGAGUUGACUUACAAUAAGAACAACAAAGGAGAUAGAUCUAUUGUCUUAUUACGGUGUGAAUGGUACCAUCUAGAGGGAAGGACAUACCAGAUGAAAGAUGAUGGUUACUUCAAGAGCAUUAACAUCCAAGGCCGAUGGUAUAAGAAUGAUCCUUUCAUUCUUGCCACAGAAGCUUCACAAGUUUUCCUCUUGGAAGAUACAAAGUUAGGUCCAUCUUGGCGUGUGGUACAAGACUUUGGGCAUAGACAUAUAUUUGAUGUCGAUGAGUCUGACAACAACCAACAAAUCCAUGAACAAGUACAGAUGAGAUGUCUAGAGGCAUAUCAAGAAGAGAAUACUUUGUCCAGAGAUGGUACAGUGGGAGACAUUUAUCCUGAUAUGGAUUUGUUGCACAUGGAAAAUGAACCAGGAAGCCCUGUUAGUAGAGACCUUGUCGACAGCAUCCGUCGCAAUCAACAAAUAGCUCAAGGUGAUGAAACAUAUGUUGUAGAUGAAGAAGAAGAAGAUGAAACCUUCCUUGAGUACCAUAGUCCAGAUGAAGGCAACAUGUCAGAGGACUACAGUGAUGGUGACUAACCUUCGCAUUUUUCUACCAAUUUGUAGUCCACUCACUCUUGUUAGUGCUCCUGUUGUAUUUGUCAACUUCUACCAUUGAUGAUGACUAACUAUUGCAUUUGUAGAACCAUUUGUGCACUAUGAACUUGUAUGAGUGAUUCUGUUUCCACUGUAUACUUGAUGUGUCAAAAAAGUUACAGUUCUCAGAAACAUUCACAUAAAUCUGCCCAGAUUUUUAGGUUAUAAUGACACAGGACAAUGUCAUGAAAUGCAAAUAAUUUGUCAUGCAAUGUAGAAAUUUUGUCACAAAAUGUACUGGCCAGAAAAAACUUCCUAGAUUUCUCUGUUAUCAUGACCAAAGACAAUGUCAUUAAAAGUACACAAGCUAUCACAAAAGAUACAUGCACACAACAGAUGUCCAAGGGGACAAAGGCCCAUAGUUCAUAACAAAGACAAAUCUAGCAUAAUAGGUUCAUUACAUCAUUUUCACCAACACCCUGCUUCAUCAGCCUUGCCUACUUGAACACUACAGCUAGCACCAAACAGAUGCCCAACACCUUCAUUAGCCUUGCCUACUUGAACACUACAGCUACAACCAAUAAAAUGGCCAACAGUAGAAACAGUGUUACAUUCACACAUCCACAGACUAGACAUAUGCAGCUUGCCAUGCCAUCCUUGUUCUUCACUACCACUUCAUUCAGCUUGUUCAGGCUUUGGGUGAAGCUUUCAAUCUUGCCUACGUCCAUGGCAACUUUUGUCGUCCUCGCAGCUGAUUGUAUAUAUCCAUUAUCCUAUAGAUAGAGCACAUAUUCUUCCUCAAACCAAUAGCUAGAACAUGUCACCUGCACCACAUUGCAAAUCAAUUAAAUUUGGUCAACGAAGAUUAAAAAUUGGGGUCCAAAAAACUGUCACAGCCAACAGCACUCACAUAGCUUUGCCUAGCACACUUGAAGUAUCUUUUUUCACGGUUAACCUCAGAUUUCAUGGUAGUGGCAGCAAGCACCCUCCUAUCCUUACAUUCAGGGCACUCUAUCAAUGGCAACUUCGACACUUCAUCAAUUGGCGCCUCCGGAUCGACAGUUCCAGACAUGUCAGGUGGUGAUGUCCGCCGAGUGCGAGCAGUACAUGACGACACCUGAGACAUGAGGCCUGAUUGAGAGACAUGGGCUCAUUAGGUCAUCGACAAAUAUUUCCUCAUGAAAAGCAUGGACAAUUUAUCAUUGCCAUUGGAAAUAAGCUUAGAAUAGCUACAACAUGAACAACAGCAGCAGCACUAGCUUGGACUUGAGCUCAGGUAAAUUAAUUAGAAGGACAGCUACUAAUAAUCAUUCAAUCUACAUGAAUUCUCUAUGUUGUUGGACACUCCUAGCUGCACUUGAACGCCGAUUGAGACUGGUAGAUGACGAGGCCUGAGACAUUAUCACUAAAUAAAAUGGAUAUUAAUUAGGCAUAGCAUUACACAUCAAUUAGGGAAGAUAACUCUGUGAAACAAAACAAGUUGAGGGAGAUGAGCAGAGGGGGGACGCGGAGGGGGAUGAGGGUGCAUCGAAGGUGUCCGAGAGGGGGAAGAGGGUGGGUGGCACCUGGGGAGAAGGCCAGAGCCUGGCGCGCCUAGGAUUGGAGAGAGGGAUAUACCUACCUCCACCGGUGCCUUGGUCCCCGCUGAAAUCACCGAGAUGCUGCCCUAGACUCCGCCCACCAGCGCCCAAACGCCGCCACGCUGUCGACGGGGAAGAGGGAUAGGGGACCCGCCGCACCGUCCUCCACCACUCGCCGUCGGCCCCUCGCUCCGUGCUCACCUCCCUCCGCCACGCCCGCAGCGACCUCGCCUCCCUCCCUCAAUUCAGUUGACGCCGGGAAGAUGGGGAAAGUGAAGUGGUCAACGUAUAUGGAUAGGGUCGACCUACAAGGAGUAUAUUUACUCUGUGAAUGGCAUUUUUGGAACUUACUUAUUGUGACACAAUUUAAACAUCACAUAAAGUCACACCAUAGUGUCAUAAAAGGACAAACGACGACGGGUGCCCCGUGUUUGGCAAUUUGUGACGAACCUGAUGACCUUUAUGUGACAUAUUAGACACUAUCGUCACAAAUACAUCUAGGUCUCACAACUUUGUGACGACACAAAAAAUAUCGUCAUAUAAAGCCAUAUUAUGUGACAAAAACUUUCCCCGUCAUAAGCUAUUUUGUCACAAAAAGAUAGAUUUCUUGUAGUGUGGUGGAAGGUAAUAUGAGUAAGUUUAAAUCUUAACAGUUUACCCUAACCUAUAGAUGAGAUUUUGUUUAAAUGCAUGUGUACCUUUAAGGCAUAAAACCACUGCAGAAACUCUUGAGUCCAUCCUUGCUCAGGGGCGAGCAAGAGGUAAGCUUGGGGGAGUUGUUGACGGUCCUUAAGUACCAAAUAUAAUCAUCAAAUAAACAAAGAAAAGGAUCCAAAUACAACCAACAUCUAAACUUAGGGUUUUAUCUGACAGAAUUCCACGAGUUUUGGUGUUUGUCUAUUUCUACAGGGUGUUAUCAGAAAAUAAGGAAGAAAGGCCCACAUGUCGGGUUUACAUAGAGAUAUUAUCGUGCCGCGCAAUUUUCUAUCAUCUGGAAGACUCCAGAAGCCAUGCACAAAAAAAAGAAGACUCCAGAAGACACGGGAACGAAUGGGAGGCCGAACGGGCCUGGGGGCAGGGUGCCCGCCCUCCCCCCUUAGGCGCCCACCCUGGAGUUUCAACCAAUCACGCUCAAUCUCAUGGAUUAUGCUCCACCGACCUAAAGGAUCAAGAAUAACCAUUCAAACAAUGUCGGUUUGAUCCGACGGCCCAGAUUCACUUGAGGGGACUAUAUAAGCAGACCCCCUGGCCCCUAAAGGAGGCACCCAUUGAUCAUUAUUCAUUAUUCAUAGACAGAGCAAAAGCUAGGGUUUAGAGAUGAGAGCUCUCCUCUCUUCUAUAAACUAGAGUAGAUCUAGAUAGUAGCGAGAUGGAGAGUGAAGGAGGAUUAGAGGAGAGGCUGGCCUGUCGGUUCUUCCUCUGGUUGUACUUCGCCAUGAUCAAGCUCUAAUCAAGCUUGCUCAUGGGAUGACUCUGGUAAUCUACUUCUAAUUCAUUAUGCAAUUAGUAAUCAUGUAUGUUCUGGUUCACAACUCUUUUGAGUACUUCUAAUCUAUAGGACCCUAUAGGUUAGAGUUGUAGUAUAGGUGUAAGCGUGGUGCUUAGACCUAGAUUACUUGUGGAUAUCCCCUGUCUAGCUGGAUCGUGUGGUAGGCCGCGUAGGUGACAGUUACGUUGGUCCUCUGUAGUCCACCUCUCGUUAGCAGGAUGGGUAGGGUUUAUCGGCCUAUGGAUAAGCAUCAUUUGUGGUGUACUCUUAUCACGUGGUUCGUCCCAGACAUAGACAUACCCCUUUGAAGUAGAGAAACCAUAGUUAUCCUCACUAUUCUGCUACCAUCGCCCAUAUACUAGAUUGCUCAACUCUCUAUUCCCCUAUUAUUACCCAUUGUUAUCUUACCUUUAAUAUUGUUCUUAUUCAAUUCUACCAUCUUUCCUAUUUACACUUAUCUAUCUAUCUUGGUUAAGUUAGAGCGUAGUUGGUUCUCCCGUUUUCCUGUGGAUACGAUAAAACCUUUAACCGGGUAAAAGCUUCAACGGUAUCCGUGCGCUUGCGGAUUAUCUGUGUGCGUAUAAAUACCAUAGUACACUCUAGUGCCAUGCUGGGGAUGACAACCUAGUAUUCAAGUGGUGUUAGCAAGUGUCAACACUAAACUUCAUAACAGUUCACUCUAAUCUGGAAGAAUUUUUAUGUAAAAGCAUGUGUGCCUGUCAGGAAAGAAAACAUCGAAGCAACUCUUGAUCCAUCUGAGUUUAGCUGUUUGCUCAGGGACGAGCAAAGGGUAAGCUUGGGGGAGUUUGUUGACGGUCCUUAAGUACUAAAAUUAAUAAUCAAAUAAACAUGGAAAAGGAUCAAUAUGAAACAAACAUCUAGAAUUAGGGUUUUAUCUGACAGAAUUCCACGAGCUUUGGUGUUUAUCUAUUUCUGCAGGGGGUUAUCAGAGAAUAUGUAGUGAAGGGCCACAUGUCAUGUUUACAACGAGAUAAUUACGUGCCGCGCAAUUUUCCUCAAUCUAGAAGAGUCCAGAAGCCACGGGAAGGAAGCGGAGGCCGAACGGGGCCAGAGGCAGGGCGCCCGCCCUCCUGCCCUGGGCGCCCGCCCUGGGAUGGACUCCAAUCAGGACUCUGUUUCGGGGCUAAACUCCACCGACCUAAAGGAUCAAUCUAAACCAAACAAUCAAUGUCGGUUUGAUCUGACGGCCCAAAUCAUUAUUCAGAGGUAGCCAUCAAAGUUAGGGUUUAGAGCUUCUCUCCCACAGAGAAUUAGAAUUAGCUACUCCCUAAUCCUUCAAGUUUAGAGGUUUGAUUAGAUAGCAAUUAGAGAAGUAGAGCACUACGCUCUGGAUUUGGAUCUUCGGUAAUAAAGAUUGGUAUUAUUCAUAUCUUUCUCUAAUUCUUUGUUCUAAUUGCAUUAUGUCUCUAAUUAUUAUGUUCUUAGUUUGCUCUAGUUCUAUAUUUGAUAUAGUUAUGAUUGAUAAUGAGUUUAUGUAUAAGUUUGCAAAGCGCUUAACUCUUGACGCGAGGGAGUUAGGUGAUAGAUCACAUGUGACCGUGGUGCUUAGAUGUUAUUUAUCUGCAAAUGUAUCCUAUUGGCCGGGUCGUGUGGUAGUUCGCGAUAGUGACAGCUUCGUUGAUUCUUAUAUAGUCCACAAUCCGUUGAUAGGACAGGCAGAACCGGUAUUGUGGAGUAAGUCGUGCGAUGCUCUGAUUUACUUUAGCAAUGUUCCUUAUACAUGAAUGAAGAGUCUUUUAUGCUAUAUAUGAUCUUGUAGAUAACUAGAGUAGAUUAUGACUUAGUAGUUAGUAGAUAACUUAGAAUCCAUUCUCUAGCUAAUCUGACAUCACCUACAUAUAUGAGGAGUAGUCUAUUUUCUAAUCGAUGUGUUAUUUAUCCCUUGAACUUAUAAUUCAUUAUCAUUAUCUUUAUGGUUUACCCCCUGCUAAAGUAAGUGACUGUGUGACGAAUUUCUCAUUAGUAAUCAUGUUCUUGCAAGUUUAUCUCUAGUCUAUGCCUUGAUAGAUUUUGUCCUUAUCUUAAUUUCAUUCCUUAUCCCCUUGAGCAAAAUUAUAAAUAACGAUACCUGGAAUACUUAUCCUGGUGAAAUGCUACAAUGAGGUGUUUUAUCUGUGCGCUUGCGGAUAGAAUAGAUUAUUUUCUAGAGAGCCUUUACAUUUAUAAAUACCUUUGUACACUCUGGCACCAUGCUGGGGAUGACAACCUAGUAUCUAAGUGGUGUUAGCUAGUGUCAACAGCUGCUAACAGAGAUGAAUUAAGGGUUCGGUUGUUUUCAUCAUCCCUAUCUAGAUUGGCUUUUACUUGGUUUAUAUUGUUGCCUCCAAACUCUAUUAUUACUUGGGCUGAUCUGGAAAAAUAGUUCCAUAAAUAUUUCUUCUCCGGGGUUCAUGAGAAGAAGCUUACCGAUUUAGGGAGACUAAGACAAUGUAAUGAUGAAUCGGUAGAGCACUUUGUGCAGAGGCUGCAAGAUGUGAAGAAGAAGUGCUAUAGUCUGGUUUACGAUGAUCGGCAGCUGGCCCAUCUGGCUUUUCAAGGGUUGUUGCCACAUCUCAAGGAUAAGUAUGCUUCUCAAGAAUUUGAAAGCUUGAGUCACCUAGUUCAAAGAAUUUCUGAUCAAGACACUAGGGUUUCUGAGCCUAGAAAGAAUUGGAAUAAAAAGGUAUCAUUUGUCGAUGAGGCAGAAGAUUCUGAUUCCGAUGAGGAGCUAGUUAUCGGCUUAGCAGAAUGGGUAAAAAACAAGAAACCAAUAUCUUGUCCCUUCGGUCAGAAAGAGCCAGAUAAUUUCUCUUUUGAUGUCACUAAAGCCGAUAGGAUAUUUGACCUCUUGCUUCAGGAGGGACAGAUUAAGUUAUCACCAAACCAUGUGAUUCCAUCGGCAGAGGAGUUGAAGAAGAUCGAGUAUUACAAAUGGCAUAAUGCAACUUCACACAGUAUGAAUGAGUGCAAAGUGUUUAGGCAACAAUUGCAAUCGGCUAUAGAAUCUGGGAGAAUCAAGUUUGAUGGCUCUAAGACUAAGAAGCCGAUGAAAAUUGAUCAGCAUCCCUUUCCAGCAAACAUGUUGGAUGCCAAAGGCAAAACUAAGAUCCUAACAUCAGAAAUUGUUGAGAAGAACGCAUUGGUGGAUCCCCAACAUUAGGUAACUACCGAUGAUGCAAAAGGAAAGGGUCUGUUAAAGGAAAGUGGUAGUCCUGGAAGACUUCCCUGAUCUAGCAUCAUGAUCACCCAUAGGCGACAGCAGGAGACAUGGCAACAGCGUGAAGACCAAUAUCGACGGCAGCAAGAAGAAAAGCGUCGGGGAGAGUGGAAUCGGCAUAAGGAUCAUUGGGAUUGCCCGUUCUUUGUUCAUUAUUGGGAACGGGGUAUCAAGUUGCCGAUAGUUAAGAGUUGCCCUGAGUGCAAUGGUUAUUAUUGGAACAAUCGGCCAGAAAGGGGGUUCUGACAUGAUAGUCGAGGUCUGUCCAUUAAUGAGCCGAUCAGAGGCAGGGCAUCAGUAUAUGAUCGGCUGGGGGGCAGGCUCAAUGUGCAUGAAUGACUGGGUAGAUGCGUUGAGUAUCUUCCAAGGAAUUAAGAAGAUUUGGAAGAAAUGGCAAAUGCUAGACUUCCUGAUGAGGAUAUAUUCUACAGAGAUCCCAAUAUACGUCGUGUGGACUCAUCUGAGGUUCAUUAUCAGCCGGUUUUGAAAACCAAGCUCCCCAGAUGGUGUCGAGAGGGUUUAACAUGGACACAAAGGAGGAGGAUGCAACGGUAAUGAUAGGAAGAUUUGUGCAGGGAGAGAAUUCUUCUAAGUCUGGGAAUCGGCAGCAGUCAGAUUACAAGGGGAAAGGUCCAUCGGCAGAUGUUAAUAUGGUAUUCAUGUUGCCGAUGGAGUUCCUUGCGCCUUCCAAUGAUGAUGAAGAAAUCAUCUCUCUGAUCAGAUGGCUCUGUUGGCGCUUGAUCCGAUGAUGGCUGUUUUUGAGAAGCCAACUGAUCAUGAAAGACAGCAUAUCAAGGCUUUGUUCAUUAAAGGCAGGGUUGAUGGACGACCAGUAUCUAAGAUACUGAUUGAUGGAGGAGCUGUGAUUAAUAUCAUGCCUUAUGUAAUGUACCAGAAGCUUGGCAAAGGAGAUCAGGAUCUGACCAUGACCUAUAUGAUGCUAAAAGAUUUUGAGGGCAACGUGUCACCAGCUAAAGGGGCAGUAUGCGUUGAGUUGACCAUCGGCAUCAAGACCUUGCCAACAACGUUCUUUGUCAUUAAUGGUAAAGGCGCAUACAAUCUGCUUUUGGGAACAGAUUGGAUCUAUGCCAAUUGUUGUGUUCCUUCUAUGAUGCAUCAAUGCCUUGUUCAGUGAGUUGGAGACAAGAUUGAGGUUGUCCCUGGUGAUUCUUCCUAAAUCAUUGCGUCGGCAGAGUCAAACACUUAUGAGCGGACCAAGUGUAUAUCAGGAGAAGCCUGGGAGAAAGAUUUCCUUAGAGUUGCCGAUUAUGAGAUUCCACCGAUCCAAGCAGAUGGUUCUAAUGAUGGAUAGAUUCGCUGAUGAUGGAAAGUUAGGACAGGGUUUCAUAUUGGCUGAUGAUUUAGUAGAAGUAGAUAUUGGUAGUGGAGAUAGACCAUGACCUACUUUUAAUAGUGCUAAGUUAAAUUCUGAGUGUAAGCCACAAUUGACUGAUUUGUUAAAGGAAUAUAAAGAUUGUUUUGCUUGGGAUUAUACUGAGAUGCCUGGAUUAGACCGAUCAAUUGUUGAACAUCGGUUACCUAUCAAAUCUAGAUUUUAGCCACAUCAGCAACUAGCGCACCGAUGUAAGUGUAACCCUAAUAUUCUUCCUGAUAUCAAGGCCGAAAUUACCAAGCUAAUUGAAGCUAAGUUUAUUUGGCAAUGUCGGAAUACGGAGUGGAUUUCUAAUGUUGUUCCUGUCUAUAAGAAAAUGGAAAGCUUCACAUAUGCAUUGAAUUCAGGAAUCUCAACAAGGCCACACCGAUGGAUGGCUAUCCGAUGCCUUGCCGAUCUGCUAGUUGAUGCUACAGCAGGGCAUCAGAUUAUUAGUUUGAUGGAUGGCAAUGCAGGAUACAACCAAAUAUUCAUGGCUAAAGAGGAUAUUCCCAAGACUAUUUUUAGAUGUCCUGAUCAUGUUGGUUUAUUUGAAUGGAUAUUUAUGACUUUUGGUUUAAAGAAUGCCGGUGCGACUUAUCAAAGGGCCAUGAAUUUUCUUUUUCAUGAGUUCAUCGGCAUGCUAGUGGAAAUCUACAUUGAUGAUAUGGUGGUUAAGUUUGGGGACUUUGCAAAAUAUCUAGCUGAUCUAUGAAAAAUACUUGUGUGCACAAGGAAGCAUGGUUUGAAGAUGAAUCCUAAUAAAUAUGCAUUUGGUGUAUCGACAUGCCAAUUCUUGUGUUUCAUGGUGCAUUAGAGGGGGAUUGAGAUUAGUAGAAGAUCCAUUGAUGCAAUUAACAAGGUGGUUGCUCCUGCCGAUAAAAUUGAAUUGCAAUCAUUGAUCGGCAAGAUUAAUUUCAUCAGGAGGUUCAUAUCUAAUCUAUCGGGCAAGAUUAAAGCUUUUAGUCCACUGCUCAAAUUAAAAGCCGAUCAAAAGUUUGUGUGGGGGGUUGAACAGGAGUUAGCUUUAGAUGAAAUUAAGAAAUAUUUGAUAAACCCUCUGGUCUUAGUUCCACCUCAGCACGGAAAGCCUUUCAGAUUAUAUUUAUUGACCAAUGAUACUGUUAUCGGUUCAGCCCUUAUUCAAGAAUUUGAGGGGAAGGAGUGUGUCAUUUAUUAUUUAAACAGAAGAUUGGCGGAUGUUGAGAGAAGAUAUUCAGCUAUCGAGAAACUGUGCUUAUGUUUAUAUUUUGCUUGCAUUAAAUUAAGGCAUUAUUUGCUAUCGACCGAAUAUACUGUCAUAUGCAAAGAUGAUAUGGUCAAAUACAUGUUGUCAAUGCCGAUUUUGAGUGAUAGAAUCGGCAAGUGGAUCUUAGUGCUAUCAGAAUUUGAUCUAUGCUACAAAUCGGCCAAGGUAGUUAAGGGGUAAGUUAUGGCUGAUUUUGUUACUCAACAAUGCAAUGCAGUAGGUUCUAUGGAAGUUUCUCCUUGGACGCUUUUCUUUGAUGGAUCUAUGUGUGAUCAAGGGGCAGGUAUGGACAUUGUAUUGAUUUCACCUCGAGGAAGGAGGUAUGAGUUUUCAUUGCUGAUUGUUGCUACAUCGACAAACAAACAGGCUGAGUAUCAAGCAUUGGUGAAAGGGUUGGAAUUACUUAGAGAAAUACGUGCCGAUGCUAUUUAAGUCUUUGGUGAUUCUAUGCUUGUUAUAAAUCAAUUAAUUGGGAUUUAUGAAUGCCGGAGCGAAAUUUUAAUUUCAUAUUAUGAAAGAUGCUUGCAAUUGUUGAAAGAAUUUAAAGAUUUCCGUCUAGAACAUUCCCCGAUUACAUAAUGAAGAAGCUAAUCGGUUGGCUCAACACGCCUCGAUAUAUCAACCCACCCUAGAAGUACUCACAUCAGCAGUUGGUGCCGAUGACUAGAGAACGGAAAUCGUCGAUUACUUGAAAGACCCAUCUAAGAAAGUUGAAAGACGCAUUAGAUUUCAAGCCACUAAGUACGUGCUUCUCGAUGAUGAGUUGUAUUAUCAAACUUUGUAUGGGCUUUUUACUCAGGUGCCUUGGCAAUGAUGAAUCAAAGAAUUUGAUGGGUGAAAUUCAUGAGGGAGUGUGUGGAGCACAUCAAUCGGCUUUCAAAAUGAAGUGGCUGAUCAGAAGGAACGAAUAUUUUUGGCCAACUAUUCUUGAAGAUUGUUUUAAAUAUUUCAAAGGAUGCCAAGGAUGUCAAAAGUUUGGUAAUAUCAAAGAGCGCCUGCAUCGGCUAGGAACCCUAUCAUUAAACCCUGGCCGUUCCAAGGAUGGGCUAUUGAUCUUUUCGGUCGGAUUUAUCCGCCAUCAAGCAAAAGGCAUAAAUUUAUACUCGUCGCCACCGAUUAUUUCACUAAGUGGCUUGAAGCAAUUCCUUUGAAAAAGGUGACAUCAGCCAGUACGAUUGAUUUUGUAACGGAGCAUAUAGUUUACUGAUUUGGUAUUCUUCAAACAAUCACUACCGAUCAGGGUACUAUGUUUACAUCGGGAGAAUUUGAUGAGUUUGCAAUCGGUAUGGGAAUUAAAGUUUUAUAUUCUUCUCCUUAUUAUGCUCAAGCUAAUGGGCAGGCCAAAGCCUCUAACAAAGGGAUCAUUAAACUAAUUAAGCGUAAAAUUGAGCAAAACCCUAGGCGGUAGCAUACAAUGUUAAAUGAAGCCCUGUGGUCAUAUCGGAUGGCUUGCCAUGGUGCAACUAAAGUGUCGCCUUAUCAGUUGGUAUAUGGGCACGUUGCAGUAUUACCUUGGGAAAUUAAAACUGGCUCUAGGCGGAUAUUUUCUCAAGAUCAGUUGACUGCCGAUGAUUAUAAUAUUCUAAUGAAGGAUGAGUUCGAAGAUUUGGCAAGUCAUCGGUUGAAAGCUUUGGUUAGCAUUGAAGAAAAUAAGAAGAGAGUGGCCAGGUGGUAUGAUAAAAGGGUAAAAGCUAAAGAGUUUGCUGAUGGAGAUUUAGUUUUGAAAUUGAUUCUACCGAUUAGGGCUAAAAGUUUUAAGUUUGGUAAAUGGUCUCCUAAUUGGGAGGGUCGUUAUCGGAUAAGUCGAUCUGCUCCUAGCAAUGCAUAUAUAUUAGAAACCCUCGAAGGGAUUGAAUUUCCCAGAGCGUUAAGUGGAAAGUAUUUAAAGAAAUACUACCCGAGUAUUUGAGUUGACGCAUGAAAGUUUAAGUGCUGAUAACAAUCCUAUUGGCUGGACAAAAUACUAGUGUUUAUAAAGAGGACUGAUGCAACACGCUACUGAUAAAGAAAUUUACAAGCCUAGCAAAGUCCGAAUGGCCGAUAUUGGGUGUAAGCGAGUCUGGUUGGCUUCCUCUAUUUCUUUGGUGUCUUCAUCGGCUAAACCCUCCACUAGCUUAAGUUUCUUCUUCAUCAGGAGUGCUUUGCGAGCUUGGGUGUCUCUUUCUUGCUGAAGGCCUUUGAUUUUGUCGGGCAGCUGACUUUCUUCCUAUACAGUCUGAGUCAAUGCUUCUUCAACUUGCUUAAGUUCAGCUAGCAGAGCUUCCUUCCUUGCCGACAGAUCUAAGAUCUUCUGCUUCCACUCGGUGCCUGAAGCCUGUAAAUUGCCGAUGCUCUUAUGCUUCUCAUCGGCAAUGUGCUUCACUUGCAGCAUUUCUUCUUUAAGUUGAGCCAGGGUAGCUCUAUCGGUAAUGCGUUGUGCGGCUUUUUGAUAUUGAAGUUGACGACUCUCCAGAUGGGCAGCUUAGAAAAGUGCUUCUUCAACAUCGGCAGGGACCUGGCCACACAUUGUCUUGAAGAUAGCUUUUGCUGGGUCAAAAUCAUCCUCCAGUUGAGCUGUAUCUUGCUGCAAUAAGCCCAACAGAUCCUCAAACUUGGAUUUGACUUCCGCCAAUACUAUUCCAUGCACCAGUGAAGAGCUUGCCUCUUCUCCUUCGUCAUCAGAAAUCUUGAUGGCAAAGGAGAAUAGGCUGUCGGGAGAAUCUUGCUCCCAAGGAGGAUAGAGGGAGUAAAUCAGUUGGAGGUGAGCAUGAAUAUUGCAAAUAUGAAGAUCGGUCAAGUCAGAUAGCUUACUUGUUUUAAGACAAUUUCUUGCCUUUGGCUAGAGGAUGUAAUCUUGAUUGUGUCUUGAGGAGGAUCAGCUGGAUCUGCCCAUGGAAUAUCUUUAGUUGUAAAAUCGGUUAAUGCUAAGAAUGAUGAUAAUUUCUUUACAAGUUCAUCGGUGAUAAUUUCUUGGAUAGCCAAUAUUAUACCUUGUGUGGAAGCAAUAGUCAUCGUCUCAGGAACGACGGUCGAUGACGUGCCUUGGUCAGACGGGUCAAUUGUUUGCUCAGGUGCAUCGGCCGGUUCAGAUUGAUUGGGAAGCACUGACUGAGGUGGAGAGGAUUGUGUCGCUUUCUGCCAUUUUGGCUGAGUCUUAGUGCUUGUCGGAGGUUUCAACUUGGGUUGAGCUUUGGUGGCUACUGGCUGGGGGGGCAUCAGCACUCGACGAAUGAACAUCUUGAGCUCUUGCCGAUGUAUUGGUUUGUUGCUGCAAGGCGCAUGUAAAGCAUAAAUGUCUUAUAAGUUGAAUAUAAAGGCAGGAAAAUAGUUUUGAAAGUUUAUCAAGAGUAAAAGUAUCUGGUGUGGGACAAGUUACCGAUGAUGUCCUAGUUAUGGUCGAUACACCCUAAAAAGAUAGUGUAAGUAUGAACUGAGAUUAGCACAGUUGAAGUAAUUAAGGGUUUUUACCUUGAAAGCUUGUGCUAAGGUGGCAGCUACGACCGAUGGAGUGGCCUUUGAGCGAUUGGUAGUCAUUUUCUUGAAAUGAACUCCUCGGUGCAUCAGAGCUGCCAGAGUGGGUGUUGAUAUUUGGGAAAGCAAUAAGGAAUUGAUCCGCAAGCGCAUGGAUAUCGGUGAGUAUUGACGGUCCUUAAAUAUCAAAUUUAAUUAUCAAAUAAAUAAAGAAAAGGAUCCAAAUGAAAUCAACAUCUAGACUUAGGGAUUUAUCUGAUGGAAUUCCACGAGUUUUGGUGUUUGUCUAUUUCUGCAGGGGGUUAUCAGGAAAUAUGGAAGAAAGGCCCACACGUCGGGAUUACAUAGAGAUAUUAACGUGCCGCGCAAUUAUCUUACAUCUAGAAGACUCCAGAAGCCACGAGACCGAAGCGGAGACGAAACGGGGCCAGAGGCAGGGCACCCGCCCUGUUCCCCUGGGCGCCUGCACCCUCCCUGAGUCCAAUCAGGACUCUGCUUCGUGGGAGAUCUUCACCGACCUAAAGGAUGAAUCUAAACCAUACAAUCUAUGUCGGUUUGAUCCAACAGCCCAUAUUCACUUGAAGGGACUAUAAAACCAGACCCCCUGGCCCCUGGAGGAGAGAGCCUCUCAACCCUAAUUCAUUAUUCUCAAGGGAGAAGAAGCCUCUGAUCAAGAUUAGAGCCACCACAUCAAUUAGAUAUCUAGAUUAGCAUAGCUACAUAGGAUUAGAACUAGGAGUCAAUCUUCGAUUGGUUUCCGGAUCUGUCAAGAGGAUUCUUGGUAAUUCUCUAAUUGUGCUUCUAAUUGUUUUCUAAUUAUCUUUGUUCUUCAAUAUUAUGAAUAUGACUUUGUUCUACUUCAAUAUAUUGCUUAUGACUUUGCUCUACUUGCUUAUAUUCAAGAUUGUAUUGUUCUUAGUUUAUCAUAGUUAUGUACUUGGCUUAGUUAGAUUGGAUCUAUAUACAUGCUUAGGAUCGUAUAGCGUUUAUCCAUCGGAUCCAUGGGUAAAUGAUAGAUAUUGUGUAGGCGUGGUGCUUAUACCGUAUUUAUCUGCGAUUGUACCCAAUAUGCCAGAUCGUGGGGUAGUUCGUGAUAGUGACAGCUUCAUUGAUUCUUAUAUAGUCCCCCUCUCGUGUGUUGGGCUGGCAGAGCAAUAUUAUUAUAGGGGAGUGAUUGCUAUGUUUCUCAUUUACCUUGCUAAUAUCACUAUGCAUGGGCGUAGUCUUGUCUCACAAUGAUUGCUAAGUAUGCUUGCACUAACUAUGAUAAUGCUAGACUAUAUAGUUGAGAAUAACUUAGGAAAUAUUCUUGUAGUUCGUUCUAAUUCCAUGCUAAUGACUUUCUAGAGUAUCUAAUUGAGGUGCUUAUCAUAUUUAUAUGUGGCUGAUCAGAUCAAUUAUCUUUGUCACUAUUCAUUAUUUCAUAUAUCUUUUAUGUGACACUUAUCCCUGUAUGAAGAGUUAGAUAAAUGUUCUCAAUUACAUAUGCAAUGAUAGAUACUCAAUCUCAUAUUCUAUUCUGUAAUCAAUAUUGAUGAUUGCUAAUCCCUUCCCAGUGGUAAAAAUAUAAAUAACGAUACCUAGAAUACUUCCCGGUUAAAAUGCUACAUCGGUAUUAAUCAGUGCGCUUGCAGAUCCCAUUCAUUAUUUAUUUAGAAGAGCAAUUGCAUAUUUCAAUACCGCGUCUCUUAUAUCAUGCUGGGGAUGACAACUUGGCUUAAGUGGUGUGAGGGAUAGGUUUGGCAUUUUUGGCACCGUUACUAGAUUUAGAGAACUUAGUCUACUUUUGGUAACGAUGUUAAGAAUACCCAACAAGUAUUUUUGGCGCCGUUGCCGGGGAAGGUUGAUUACUAAUCAAGAAUGGAAUAAAGGAUUUUGAGUUAUCAUUCGCAUCACUAAUUUGAUUGAGCUUAUCUAUUCUCUCUUACAGUUUUACCCCGAUAUUUUUCUAUUUUAUCUUAUGCAGGGGAAUGUAUGAAUAGAAGACAUCUUUCAGGAAAUUUUGUUUACAAUCCCGAAGCAUUAUUCAAGAAGACAAGAGCCAAGCUCAAGAAGAGCUCAUCAACACUUCAGCAAGAAGCUUCAUCCAAUCAAGAAGAUCACCGGAACUUGUCUUCAGAGUUCGAAGCCAUGGCGAACAAAUCAAUCCGUGAGUUCUCAGCUCCCACUACUGACAACAUCCGCACUGGACCUGCUGCAGAGAUCGACGACAACUUUGAGCUCAAGCCUGGACUUAUCAACAUGGUGCAAUCCAACCAGUUCUGUGGGAAGGCACACGAAGAUGCUAGUGCUCAUCUACAACACUUCCUAGAGAUUUGCAACACAUUCACCAUAUCAGGAGUUUCCAAAGAUGCUAUACUACUUCACCUCUUCUCAUUCUCACUAUUAGGAAGAGCGAAGCAGUGGUUCUACGCUACAAAGGAGAAGAAUACUACAUAGGCACUCUGCUCAACAAACUUCCUGGCUAAGUUCUUUCCCAUGGGCAAGACCAAUGCUCUCUGUGGGAAGAUUACAAGUUUUCAACAACAAAAUGACGAAUCUAUUCCAGAAACAUGGGAGCGCUUCGAAUACUACAUCCUAGAAUGUCCCCAUCAUGGAAUGGAGAGUUGGCUAUUGAUGCAGACGUUUUAUCAUGGGCUCAGCAACAGUGCCCGAGAGACCAUGGAUGCUGCAGCUGGAGGAGCAUUCUUAUCACUUACUAUACCACAAGCCACAGCUCUUGUGGAGAAGAUGGCGUCCAACCAAAGCUGGAAUGAAGAGAGGACCCAGACACGCAAGAGAGGUGGAGGUAUGCAUCAGCUCAAGGAGGUAGACAUGCUGUCUGCAAAGCUAGACCUGCUCAUGAAGAAGCUCGACGAUAGAGCUGGAGAUAAGAAAGAAGUGAUGCACAUCUACGACUCUCACAUGACUUGUGAGGAGUGUGGAGACACUGGACACUUAGGCAAUCACUGCCCUGAGAUACUUGAGGAUGUGAACUACGUCAACAAUAACAACAACAACUACUACAACCGUCCUCAACAAAAUCAAGGUUGGAAUCAACAGAGGCCUAACUACUCAGGUAAUUAUCAAGGUAACAAUUCUUACAACAAUAAUAAUAAUUUUCCACCUCUGAGAGAGUUAGUGUCUAAUCAAGGAAAGCUAAUGGAUAACCUAUCUAAGAAAUUGGCAUCUAAUGAUAAAAUACUAGAAAAUAUAAAUAAUAGAAAGGAAAGUUUCUCUACUGCCAUCAAGAAACAAAUUAGCUUUAAUAAAAUGAUUGAAUCUCAGUUAAAUCAAAUAGCUGCUGUUGUUCCUACUACUAACCCCGGUAUACCAUAACAACCGGAAGGAUUAGAAUCUGCAAAUCUUGUAGACAUGUUUGAUGCAGGCAAUAAUUGGAGUAACCCCGUCACUGAUUUCACUACUGACCUUUUGCCGGUCAAGAGAGGUGAUCCAGGACGCCCCGUCAUCCCGAUCUCCAUCGGCAUGGUGGAUGUCCCAGAAGCACUCUGUGACUUUGGCUCCAGCAUCAACAUUAUACCCAGGGUACUCUAUGAAAAAUUCUUUACAUAUCCUUUAUUAGAAACAACCAUGUGUUUGCAGUUUCCAGAUCAGACGAUAACUUUUCCCAAAGGAAUAGUGAAGAACCUCUGUGUCCGAGUUGGUACCUUAUAUACCCCAGCAGACUUCGUAGUGGUAGAGACCGGAAAUGAUGAGAGGGCAUCUAUCAUCUUAGGGAGGCCAUUCUUGAACACCACGGGAGCUGUCAUCUACGCUAGUGCUGCCAAGAUCAGUUUCUACAUCAAAGGGAGGAAGGAAACAUUUUUCUUCAAGAACAAGACUACACAAAUCCCAGAUCAAUCCAGACGUGAAUCAAGGAAGAGGACCAACAGGAGAAACAGGAACAAGCAAGUGUGGACCGAGUCAGCUAAGAUGGUCACUGUAGUUCAUGGAGGUCAAGAGCAUCAACUUAAGUCACCAUUUUUGACCAAGAAGAACGACCCAGGAAUGCCAAGCAUCUAUUGCUCCAUAAAUGGAUACAGCUUCUACAAGACGUUUUGCGACACCAGAUCGGGCGUCAACAUAAUGGCCUGUUGGGUAUUUUAAACGCAAACAGAAAAAUCCGCAAGCGCACGGAUACCGAUGUAGCUUUCACCUGGGAGUAUUCCAGAGUAUCGAUUUUCCACAGAGAACGUGAGUGUACUAAUUAAGAUCCAAGAUCGCCCAAGGAUAACUAUAUAAUUAUUUUUUGUGGGAAGAGAGGAAGUUUCCUGAGAGUUCUCUAGUUGAUCUAAGAAUCAAGAAUUACUUAAAGAUUAUCUAUAUCUGGACAUCAGAGCACUAACCACAGAAAGAGAUGAGAAGGGGGCUACGAAGGUUUGACUACGGUCCUACAAACACCGAUCUGAAUGAGGUGGAAUACGUCGACCGUUAGGGCUGUCACUACCCUAAGGUUACCACAACAAUCCGCAGGAUUGGGUGCAAUUCCAGGUAAUCGCAAGACUAAACAUCACGUCUAAUCUAUUAAUUACUACUCUAGCGUUAUAAAGACUAGAGCACUUGAUGCAAGCGGGAAUCCAAUAAAUAACUUGAAUGUAAAUAAAAGUAAUUAAAGAACUCAGGAUUAUGAAUUGAAGAACCUGGAAAAGUAUAAUGUUAAGGAAGAUCCGACAGAUCCGGCUCCUCCUCCGCUCUCCUCUUCUCUCUCCCUAUUUUCUAGAUUACAACUAGAACUAACUAGAACUAGAACUAGAGGAACUAGAACUAGAACUAGAUGAACUAGAACUAGAACUAGAUGAACUAGAGGUAGAACUAGAUGAACUAGAGGGAUCCUCUCUACUUGGAUGAAGAAUUGAAACCCUAGCUUUGAUUCUGUAGAAGAGGUAUGAUCUCCAGGGGCCAGGGGGGUCUGGUUUUAUAGUCCCUUCAAGUGAAUCUGGGACGUCCGAUCAAACCGACAUUGAUCGUGUGGUUUUCCUUGAAGUAUUAGGUCGGUGGAGCAUGAUCCCCGAGUUGUACCCUGAUUGGGCAGAACAGGUGGGCGGGCGCCCUCACGACUAGGGCGGGCGCCCUAUCCCUGAGGCCUCUCGUCUUCCGCUUUGUUCCCGUGGCUUCUGGAGUCUUCUAGAUGAUAGAAAAUUGCGCGGCACGUUAAUAUCUCUAUGUAAACCCGACGUGUGGGCCUUUCUUCCGUAUUUCCUGAUAACCCCCUACAGAAAUAGACAAACACCAAAACUUGUGGAAUUCUGUCAGAUAAAACCCUAAGUCAAGGUGUUGGUUGCAUUUGGAUCCUUUUCUAUGAUUAGUUGAUGGUUAAAUGUGAGCAUUAAGGACCGUCAACAAGCUCCCCCAAGCUUAACCUUUGCUCGUCCCUGAGCAAAGAUGAACUCAAGAGUUUCUGCAGUGGCUUCAUAAAUUAAAAUACACAUGCAUUCAAACAAGAUCUCAUCUCUGGGUUAGGGUAACUGUUAAGAUUUAAACUUACUCAUAUUACCUUUCACCAUGGGGCUUGCAACCGUCACUUGUAUCUUGAGUAGUUAAAAGAUAGAACGGUCUAGUCAAGCGCUAUGUCUCUUGUUCUUCGAUUAACUAUAGCUCUGGAGUUUUUGCAGAUUUUCAAAUAAAACUCAGAGAUUCCUUGUAUGACUCUCUCUAGUCUCUCCUUUGUGGUAUUUCUGGAUCCUUACCAAUGCAGUAAUGGUGCACGCCUUCUCUCAAAGUAUGUGGUAUUUUUGGUAUGAAGCAUAGUGGCAUUACCUUCUCUCUCACCCUACUCUAAUAAGGUUUUGAUAUCUGGAGCUCAUAGGUGGGAGACAGCUAAUACAUACUUACAAGACAUUUAUUGCAUAGUCAAACCAUGGAUCCAGAAGAACAAGUCAAUAAGUCAAAUCAAGAUGUGCAUGUGUGGCGAAUGAUGUAUGGUGAUGAUGGUGAUAAUGAUGGUGAAAGUCUAAUUCUACUUUUGCUCUUUUGAGGGGAUACAUACCUUUCUUGCACUUUGAAGCUUUUUGGAGAGAAUGAGAUGCUCUAUAUUUUCUUUUUAUUUCCUCUCAGGUGGGUAUCUUGUACCCCUAAUUCUACUGUCAGACACUUGUCCAUUUUUACCUCUCGUCUCACUUUUUUCUUUUUUCUUCGAGGUUCCGGGCACUUGCCCCUUUUUAUUUCCUCGUAUUCUUCAUUUUUUUUUCUUUUUUUAGAGCACUCAUCCUCCUAGAAUAAUGUGGCAAGUGGUAGUAACCAAGAUAACUCGAGCAUGUAUUUCACAGGGAAUAACAGGGAUAGGAAAAUAUUUUUGGCUAUUCUCUCCCGGAUUAGGAGAAGAAUAAUUUUGGGUGAAUCUGGAGAUGGAAAUGAGUGGAUAUAUGUGGAUGGUACUUCCGGAGUAGAAGUAGCAUGUAUGAGUGAACGUGCAAGUGAAUCUUGAUUUUAACCACAUGACAAGCUCCUAAGGGUCUACACAGCUUGACCACACUCAAUGCUCAUAAGCAGUAAAAAGUAAAUAUGUGGCUCAAAGUCUAGCAAGCAUGUAUAUAUGGCUGUGGUAGGAUUUUAAUCUCUCAUCAUACAGGAACUCAUCAUGUGUUAUUUUAAAGAUUUUUCAAAGAUAAAAUUCUCCAGAAUUCUAGCAUCUCUAGGAACAGAUAAACAGCAGCUCAACCUUCCCAUAUCAUAUCCGUUAACGACUUAGACUUUAGAUCAAGUACUCUUCCCACAAGUUCAGGUUUAGAGCAAAUCUUAAUUAAUAACAGUCAUGCCUAAACUUGAGAGAGAUUUCAAUUUUAAGAACUAGUCAUGGCAGAGCAACUAUUCAUCAUUUCCAUGUGAGAGCUUAUCAUGAGGGUUCAUAGCAAACUUUAUUUAUUUAUUUAUUUAGCAAACUAAGCAAAGAUAUAUAUAAGCACAAAAUCUUUAUUUGGGUUUCUAUGAUUAUUCAUCUUUUUAUUAUUAGAGUAAAGUAUAAACUUGAGUAGAAUACUUAGCUGGAUAAAUGGGGGUGCUCUCCCCCAAGCUGGAUUUUGACGUGGUUUCUUCUAAUGUAGCUAGCAAGUGGUGAAGGUGUAUUUGAAUGUCAGCAGCACCCUAACAGCGAUUAGGAUGUCCUCCGUCUGCUAGUCUACUUUGAUCCUUGAAUUCUGUGGAGCUCAAAUAGACAACAAAGCUUUGUGGAACUAGUUAAGUGUUAGCAUAAAUAUCUAGCCUUUAUGAUGUUGAGCCUCCUCAAUAAAUGUUACUCUCUUUAGUAGGAUCACAAUCUUAUUUAUAUUUCAUUUUUAUAGGACAGGAAUAUAUAUUUAUUUUUACGCCACCACAGUGAAUGUACUUAUGGGUUUUAUGCCAUGAGCAUACUCACAUGGGGCCUACUAUUUUUAACAUUUUUAUUUUCUUUUUAAGAUGGUGUGAACCUGAUUAACUAAGCAAACUAUUUUAAAAUAAUUGAAAGGAAAAAGAUAACUACCAAGUUUACCUCUUGGCAAGGCGUUCGGUGUUUUUAAGUCCUCCGAACGGGACUCUCCAUUUUCUCAUUCGUCCUGGGAUUCGCUGGAUGGCGUAGUCGGUGGUUCCGGCGGUGCUUCCUCUUCGUGUAUAACUAUCUUCUCUCUCCACACCUGAGUCGGUGCUACGUUCUCCUCAGGACAGUUCUGUUCAAGUUGUAUGUCUUCAGACCUUGCUACUUUUCCUUCGUAGUCUGCUCAUCCAUCCUUGAUGAUUUGCCUCCUCUGGUUGCGGUUGCGUCGUCUUCUUCUUGUCCUAACCUGUUUAGAGUCUUGAACUAUAUAGUUAGGGUCAGUAAAAUAGCGGUGUACCUUCUCAGAAGUGCAUGUGGACUUCUCUGGUUCCAAUGUAGAUGAUUGCUUUAACGGUGCUGAGGAAGGGUCUCUUAAGGAUGAUGGAUGGAUCGUACUCGUCUUCUCCCAUGUCAAUAACCUUAAAAUCAUCUGGAGCUGAAUGUAUGUUGGUUGUAGGGGCAUGGUUCCAUGCAGGAGUUGAUAAGUGACUGCAGCCAUUAUCUUGACGUCAGAUCCAGUGUCGUAGAGUGUCUUCUAAAAAGAGUAUCCUUUGAUUGUGCACUCGAUGCUUGGAACACCAGGGUCGUCCUUCUUGAUCAAGAAAGGCGACUUGAGUUGACGAUCUUGACCUCCUUGAGCUGCAGUGACCAUCUUAGCUGACUUGGUCCACAUUUGCUUAUUCAUGUUCCUCCGGUUGGUCCUUCCUUGGUUCAUGUCAGGAUUGCUCUAAGAUUUGUGUAAUCUUGUUCUUGAAGGAAAACGUCUCCGUCCUUCCCUUGAUGUAGAAACUGAUCUUGGUAGUAGUAGCGUAGAUGACAGCUCCUGAGGUGUUCAGGAAUGGCCUCGCUAGGAUGAUGGGUGCCCUCUCAUCAGUAUCAGUCUCUAUCACCACGAAGUGUGCUGGAGCGUAUAAGGUACCAACUCGGACGUAGAGGUGCUUCAAUAUUCUCUUUGGGAAACUUAGCGUACGAUCUGUAAGCUGCAAACACAUGGUUGUUUCUAAUAAAGGAUGUGUAAAGAAUUUUUCAUAGAGUACCCUGGGCAUAAUGUUGAUGCUGGAGCCAAAGUCACAGAGUGCUUCUGGGAAGUCCACUAUGCCGAUGGAGAUCGGGAUGACAGGGCGUCCUGGAUUGUCUCUCUUGACCGGCAGAAGGUCAGUAAUUACUACCACAAUGGGGUUACUCCAGUAGUUACGUCCUCAAGCAUCUCAGGGUAGUGAUUGCCUGAGUGUCCAGUCUCACUAGUGUGUUUGUGCUCGUAGAUUUAGGUUCUUCACUUGGUGGAGUAUGGGAGUUGUAAAAGUCCUUCAUAUUUUGCUCAAAGUGUACCUGCUCAUAGAGACAAGGCAAAGAUAAAGUGCAUGAGCCCUGUUGGUGGAAAACACCAACAGAACCAAAAGUGUAUUUGUUCUCUCUAACCUUAAGCAUAGUGAGAAAGACAAAGUUGAUGGAUAAUAAGACCAUGAGUGUAACAUUUAAAACAUUCGUCAGAUCAGAUCACUCAACCUAAUGGAAAGAUAAUCUAUCUAUACUUAUGUUUAUAUAUAUAUAUAUAUCUUCCAAAGAUUGAGUGUGCAACAUUUUAGCUCAUAUGAUUAGGAGUGUGGGAUCACAAAGGUGGAAGGACUAAACAUAUUGAAUCGAUUGGGUUGGUUAAUCUAGAGUUGUAAAUCAUACAUGUUUGUCUCUUUUACUCAUGUGAACGCCAGAACCAAGGAGAAGCUUAUAAAAGUGAUAGUCAAGUACUUUAAGAUGUUACCUUACUUGAAGAGUGAUGGUACAGUAUCAGCUUGUGGAAGCUUUCCUCUCUUAGCGGUUGUGCAUCGUGUUUUUGGCACCCUCCAUGGAUCAUCUCUUGUGAGCUAUGCCUUCCUUGUGUAAAUUGUUAAACUUCUUGUGUGUCUCUCUUUGUCUCCAAUGUGAGUUUAUCUUAGGACUUCCCAAGUUGAUGUUGAAAGUUUUAUUUUUCUGCAGGGGUUAGUCUGACAAAAUAUACCAAUGUCUACACAAGCAGUUUUUAGUUCAAUAACCAAACUAGACUCCAUGUCUAAUUAGAUUAAGGAAGGUUGUUUAACCUAAGCACCAUGCUUAAUUUAAAAACCAAUAGAAGUAUGUACAGUACUUCCAAACUAACACUUACUAGGAUAAACAAAGGUAGCGUGAUGGCUUUUAUAGAGAUCUACUCAAGUGGAGAUGAAGUAGUGUGAUUACUAUUUAACAAAUUGAGCAUGUCUCAAAGGUAGGGACAACCAACAUAGCAACAUGGCAAAUGAUGUUUUUAUAUAAAGUACUCCCCCAAGCUUGAAUUUUGCAAAAUUCAAGUUUGGAUGAAUUUAAUUCAAUGUUGCAUGAUGAUUGGUUGUACAUACCUUGUGCUUGUCAUUCAUCCGAUCUUCUUGCUCGAAUCCUAGAAAGGUUAGUGACAAGAAUACCCGAAGGAAUUUUUUUACAAUUAUUCUUAUAUGCUCAAUACACAAGGUAAUGUUGCGAAAAGCUCAUGUUACGAUCUGAUCAAUGCUUGUUUUAGGACACUAAGCUUGUCCUUGGGAAACCAUAAAUUUAUGUCGGCGAAGUGGUUUCCCCUCCAACGCUGACCUAUAUCAAGAUCAACUCAAUGAGAUCUGCAAUAUUUAAUAUAGACAUAUUCAUCGACAACCGCCCUUUUAAAGUUUUUAUAAAUAGAAAGGAAGAGGGGGUUGGAGAUCUCGAAUGUGGUGAUGUUGGAGAGACCAAUGGAUUGUGAAGAUGUUGCAUAUGAGCAUGGAGUAAAUGAAGUGGCUAUGAAAUAAAUUCCAUGCUCAUUAAUGCUUAGAGUGAAAUCCAUGUGGUAUGGUGAAAAUGAUAAGGUGAGUGUGGUAAAAAAGGAAAAGAAAAAGGAUACACAGACGACUUGGUUCGAAACUAGCACAACUACCGUUCCCCGGCAACGGCGCCAGAAAGCUUGUUGGGUAUUUUAAACGCAAACAGAAAAAUCCGCAAGCGCACGGAUACCGAUGUAGCCUUCACCCGGGAGUAUUCCAGAGUAUCGAUUUUCCACAGAGAACGUGAGUGCACUAAUUAAGAUCCAAGAUCGCCCAAGGAUAACUAUAUAAUUAUUUUUGGUGGGAAGAGAGGAAGAUUCCUGAGAGUUCUCUAGUUGAGCUAAGAAUCAAUAAUUACUUCAAGAUUAUCUAUUUUGGGACAUCAGAACACUAACCAUAGAAAGAGAUGAGAAGGGGGCUAGGAAGCUCCGACUACGGUCCUACAAACACCGAUCCGAACGAGGUGGAAUACGUCGACCGUUAGGGCUGUCACUACCCUAAGGCUACCACAACAAUCCACAGGAGUUAUGAAUUGAAGAACCUGGAGAACGAUGAAGAACGAACCAGUUGCUGCAAAAGUACAAUGUUGAGGAAGAUUCGACAGAUCCGGCUCCUCCUCCGCUCUCCUCUUCUCUCUCCCUAUUUUCUAGAUUACAACUAGAACUAACUAGAACUAGAACUAGAGGAACUAGAACUAGAACUAGAUGAACUAGAACUAGAUCUAGAUGAACUAGAGGUAGAACUAGAAGAACUAGAGGGAUCCUCUCUACUUGGAUGAAGAAUUGAAACCCUAGCUUUGAUUCUGUAGAAGAGGUAUGAUCUCCAGGGGCCAGGGGUCUGGUUCUAUAGUCCCUACAAGUGAAUCUGAGCCGUCGGAUCAAACCGACAUUAAUCGCACAGUUUUCCUUGAUCCUUUAGGUCGGUGGAGCAAAAUCCGCGAAACGUGUCCUGAUUGGGCACUGUAGCUGGGCGGGCGCCCUGCCUCCGAGCCCGAUUGCCUUCCCGUUCGGUCCCAUGGCUUCUGGAGUCUUCUAAUGUUAGAAAAUUGUGCGGCACGUUAAUAUCUCUAUGUAAACCCGACGUGUGGGCCUUUCCUUCGUAUUUCCUGAUAACCCCCUGCAGAAAUAGACAAACACCAAAAGUCGUGGAAUUCUGUCAGAUAAAACCCUAAGUCUGGGUGUUGGUUGCAUUUGGAUCCUUUUCCAUGAUUAGUUGAUGGUUAAAUAUGAGCAUUAAGGACCGUCAACAACAUGCUUGCUAGACUUUGAGCCACAUAUUUACUAUUUACUGCUUAUGAGCAUUGAGUGUGGUCAAGCUGUGUAGACCCUUAGGAGCUUGUCAUGUGGUUAAAUCAAGAUUCACUUGCACGUUCACUCAUAUAUGCUACUUCUACUCUGGAAGUACCAUCCACAUAUAUCCACCCAUUUCCAUCUCUAGAAUCACCCAAAAAUAUUAUACUCCUAAUCCGGGAGAGAAUAGCCAAAAAUAUUUCUGUUUUUUCCUUGUGAAAUAAAUUCUCAAGUUAUCUUGUUACUACCACUUGCUAUAUUAUCUCAAGAGAUGAAUGCUCUAAAAAAAGAGAGAAAAAAGAUACGAGGAAAUAAAAAGGAGCAAGUGCUCGGAACCUCGAAAGAAACGAAAAAAGUGAGACGAGAGGUAAAAAAAGACAAGUGUCCGACAGUAGAAUUAGGGGUACAAGAUACCCACCUGAGAGAAAAGAAAAAGAAGAGCAUCUCAUUCUCCUCACUAUUCAAAAAGCAAGGAAGGUAUGUAUCCCCUCAAGGAGCAAAGUAGAAUUAGAAUUUCACCAUUGCUACCACCAUCAUCACCAUACACCAUUCAUUCGCCACACAUGCACAUCUUGAUUUGACUUAAUGAUUUGUUUCUUUCGAUCCAUGGUUUGACUAUGCAAUACAUGUCUUGUAAGUAUGUAUACUUUAUCUCCCACCUAUGAGCUCCAGAUAUUAAAAGCCUUAUUAGAGUAGGGUGAGAGAGAAGGCAAUGUCACUAUGCUUCAUACCACAAAUACUACAUAUCUUGAGAGAAGGCAUAUACCAUCACUGCCUUGGUAAGGAUCCAGAAAUACCACAAAAGAGACAUCUGAGAGAAUCAUACAAGGAAUCUCUGAGUUUUAUUUGAAAAUCUGCAAAAAACCCCAGAGCUAUAGCUGAUCAAGAAUAAGAGACAUGGCACUUGACUAGACUGUUCUAUCUUUUAACCACUCAAGACAGAAGUGACGGUUACAAGUCCCAUGGUGAAAGGUAAAGUAAGUAAGUUUUAAGUCUUGACAGUUUACUCUAACUCAGAGAUGAGAUCUCAUUUAAAAAGCAUGUGUACCGUCAAUUUUUAAAGAUAUUGCAACAACUUCUAAUCCAUCGCUGAGUCUAUCCUUGCUCAGGGACGAGCAAGAGAUAAGCUUGGGGGAGUUUGUUGACGGUCCUUAAGUAUCAAAUUUAAUUAUCAGAUAAAUAAAGAAAAGGAUCCAAAUGAAAUCAACAUCAAGACUUAGGGAUUUAUCUGAUGGAAUUCCACGAGUUUUGGUGUUUGUCUAUUUCUGCAGGGGGUUAUCAGGAAAUAUGGAAGAAAGGCCCACACGUCGGGAUUACAUAGAGAUAUUAACGUGCCGCGCAAUUAUCUUACAUCUAGAAGACUCUAGAAGCCACGAGACCGAAGCGGAGACAAAGCGGGGCCAGAGGCAGGGCGCCCGCCCUGUUCCCUUAGGCGCCCGCCCCCUCCCUGAGUCCAAUCAGGACUCUGCUUCGUGGGAGAUCUCCACCGACCAAAAGGAUGAAUCUAAACCAUACAAUCUAUGUUGGUUUGAUCCAACGGCCCAUAUUCACUUGAAGGGACUAUAAAACCAGACCCCCUGGCUCCUGGAGGAGAGAGCCUCUCAACCCUAAUUCAUUAUUCUCAAGGGAGAAGAAGCCUCUGAUCAAGAUUAGAGCCACCACAUCAAUUAGAUAUCUAGAUUAGCAUAGCUACAUAGGAUUAGAACUAGAAGGAGUCAAUCUUUGAUUGGUUUCCGGAUCUGUCAAGAGGAUUCUUGGUAAUUCUCUAAUUGUGCUUCUAAUUGUUUUCUAAUUAUCUUUGUUCUUCAAUAUUAUGAAUAUGACUUUGUUCUACUUCAAUAUAUUGCUUAUGACUUUGCUCUACUUGCUUAUAUUCAAGAUUAUAUUGUUCUUAGUUUAUCAUAGUUAUGUACUUGGCUUAGUUAGAUUGGAUCUAUAUACAUGCUUAGGAUCGUAUAGCGUUUAUCCAUCGGAUCCAUGGGUAAAUGAUUGAUAUUAUUGUGUUGGCGUGGUGCUUAUACCGUAUUUAUCUGCGAUUGUACCCAAUAUGCCAGAUCGUGGGGUAGUUCGUGAUAGUGACAGCUUCAUUGAUUCUUAUAUAGUCCCCCUCUUGUGUAUUGGGCUGGCAGAGCAAUAUUAUUACAGGGGAGUGAUUGCUAUGUUUCUCAUUUACCUUGCUAAUAUCACUAUGCAUGGGCGUAGUCUUGUCUCACAAUGAUUGCUAAGUAUGCUUGCACUAACUAUGAUAAUGCUAGACUAUAUAGUUGAGAAUAACUUAGGAAAUAUUCUUGUAGUUCGUUCUAAUUCCAUGCUAAUGACUUUCUAGAGUAUCAAAUUGAGGUGCUUAUCAUAUUUAUAUGUGGCUGAUCAGAUCAAUUAUCUUUGUCACUAUUCAUUAUUUCAUAUAUCUUUUAUGUGACACUUAUCCCAGUAUGAAGAGUUAGAUAAAUGUUCUCAAUUACAUAUGCAAUGAUAAAUACUCAAUCUCAUAUUCUAUUCUGUAAUCAAUAUUAAUGAUUGCUAAUCCCUUCCCAGUGGUAAAAAUAUAAAUAACGAUACCUGGAAUACUUCCCGGUUAAAAUGCUACAUCGGUGUUAAUCUGUGCACUUGCAGAUCCCAUUCAUUAUUUAUUUAGAAGAGCAAUUGCAUAUUUCAAUACCGCGUCUCUUAUAUCAUGCUGGGGAUGACAACUUGGCUUAAGUGGUGUGAGGGAUAUGUUUGGCAUUUUUGGUACCGUUACUAGAUUUAGAGAACCUAGUCUACUUUUGGUAAUGAUGUUAAGAAUACCCAACAGUGAGCACUUCACCCGGGAGGUUAUCCAAAGUAUCGUAUUUAUAUUUUUACCACUAGGAGAAAGAGUGCAUCUGACUAACCCAGUCUAUUACUACUAACCAUUAGGCUACAAAGAAUGUUUCUCGAUGUGAGCGAUGUAUAGAGAAUACUACAACCGUAAUCUCUUUCUAACCUUGGUAAGGAUGAUCUACUGUUCUAUUGGGAAGCUUACGGAAUCUAGACACCAUAGAGGAUGUUCAACCCGCACCUAUAAACCCUAUCCUUCCUGCUAACGAGAUAUGGCCUGCAAAGGUAACUCGGAAAUGUCACGUUCCUCGCUACUACCACGGUCCAGCUAGUCAGAGGAUAUCCAUGAGUAUCCUAGCCCAAACACCAUGUCUACGCUAGAGAUGAUUACUCUAAACUCUACGCGAAGAGAUUAAAGUAAACUCAUAAACUAAAGAACAAUAAAACAAGAACUUACUAGAAUUUAGAAGUCGAAAUACUGAAGAAUCCUAGGAGCAAGCUUCGGGUUAGGAGAACUUGAUCCCGCAGGUACAACCUCGGAGUAGACACCGACAGGCCGGGCUUCCUCCGAUCUACACCUCCACUCUAUCUCUCUCAAUCUAGUAGAAACUAGAAGAUCUAAUUCUACUCACAUUGGAUGCUAAGCCCUAAGUCUAUUUAGAGGAGAGGUAUUCUUUCGAGGGCUCCUCUCAACUCUAUGAUGAACUUGUUCUCCUCCAGGGGCCAGGGGGUCUACUUAUAUAGUUCCCUCAGGUGAACGUGGGUCGUUGGAUCAAACCGACAUUGAUUGAACGGUUAUCCUUGAUCCUUUAGGUCGGUGGAGCAUAAUCCUGAAAGAGAGUCCUGAUUGGACUCCAAAGGGGGGCGGGUGCCCUGGUCCGUAGGGCGAGCGCCCUGGGCUAGGCCCCGUUCUGCCUCUGCUUCGUUCUCGUGGCUUCUGGAGUCUUCUAGAUGGUAGAAAAUUGUGCGGUGCGUUAAUAUCUCUAUGUAAUCCCGUCAUGUGGGCCUUUCUUCCUUAUUUCCUGAUAACCCCCUGCAGAAACAGAUAAAAAACAAAACUCGUGGAAUUCUAUCAGAUCAAACCGUAAUCCUAGGUGUUGUUUGCAUAUUGGUCCUUUCUCUUGUUUAUUUGAUAAUUAAAAUUGAUACUUAAGAACUGUCAACAAAUACCCCCAUACUUAGGCUUUUACUCGUCCUCGAGAAAAGGAUGGUUAAGAAAAAUAUCUAGGGUAAAACAUUUUAAAACAUUUUCUUCAUACCUGCAGGGUGUUGUAAAAAUUCACUGUGUACUGUAGUUAGGGAAGUAUAUGGUUAAGAGUAGAGAUCCUUUAUUCUCAAUCCUGUUACUUGGAGUUUUUAUAUAUUUUUGAAAAGAAAUCUAGCAUACCUUUAUCCUCACAGGUUCUCUCAGGUCACUCAUUAUCUCUUAUAUCUCACUGAGGCUGUUUUAAUUUGCAAAAAUUCUCAAGCAUACUUACUUUGCAUUUAUUGCCUGAUCAAAACGGGAUCCGAGGAGAAGACUGCCAUACUCUUAGAUCAAAGACUUUGGAAAUUAAAAACAUGUCAACUCUUACUGGCAUAUUGCUUAUUAGAGGGACCAUGGGCUAUUAUUUUCUUUCUUUUCUCUUUUUUUAGGUGGAUACCGAGGUACCCCUAAUUCUACUGUCGGACACUUGUCCAUUUUUUCUGCGAGGUUAUCGAGCACUUGCUCCUUUUUAUUUCCUCGAAAUAUCCUUAUUUUUGCAUAGCCCAUGCCUCUAAUGCAAUAAUACUUUGGAAGAGUGUAUCUUUCUGAAUAAAUGUCUUGAUCUUAGGAGCAUGAUAAAUCUCUCAACAAGGGUCUAACUCAUUUUGAACAAACUCAAUACAAAGUAGAUAGCUUUUAUAAUUAUCAUGAUUAAUAUUUUCAGGUUUAUCAGGCAUAUAAAACACUGAGGAUGGUAGCUACAAUUUUUUGAAUAAAUUCUCCAAGCAACAAUGAUAUCAAGAAUAAGGUACUCAUACUCUACCAUCUCACAUUCCACAAUGACUUAAGUAACACAGGGUUUUAAAAUGAUUUUUCAAUAAUUGCAGGUUUUCAGGAAAUAUCACAGAGUGAGAUUAAUCAUGAUUAGAAACAUUUUAAUCUUUUUAAUUUAUCAUGUCAGAGACAAUAUUCUGCAUAAUCCAAGUAAAGUGUGCAGAGUAUGUAACUGAAUCGUGGAGUGGUGUAGUCGAAGUGUGUUUGGCAUGUCGAGGGAUCUCCCCCAUACUUGUUUUCUGCUUUCUUGCAUAAAAGUAAAGUAGAGACACACAAGACAUAAUAAUAAUACUCUUUAUUAAUCUUGAGGCAUUUAUUACAAAUUACUAAUAGCAAACUGACGAUAAUAAUAAAUCUAAACCGAAUUUAAAGAUAAAUAACUAAGAUGCAUUGCCUCAAGAUCUAAUCUAGAUAACUUAGCGGCGCUCUAACUCCUUGAUCUUAUUAUUGGCACUAGCAAGAUCAUGCCUAAGACCUAGUAUCACCAUGUUGUGGUUAGAGAGCUGCCUAGUGAUGGAGUUAACCGAGGACUGGAGGUCUAUGAUGACCCUAUCUAGCCUGCGAACGUCCUCAUCAAUAUCUACUAUAGUCUUGCGACGCUUAGGAGGUGUCUCGAGAGCAUUGAGAGCGUGCUUCGGGGCUGCCUUUGGAGGGAUGAAACAGACUUUGGCUGCUCUAAUCCCCUCAAAGUAAGGCCUCUCCACGUCCGUAGUGUAGCGGAUGCUGCUAAUCUCGCCGCUACAGUUGGUCUUGACUCCAAUGACCCUCUCAUUGGGUCAAGGUGGAAGGAUCCUAGUGCCGGCUGGCACCUUGAUGGUGGUCUCCUUCUUGGCUGAUGGUCCCUUGAGAAGUAGGGGUUGUGGCGGUGCGGUGAGAACUGGUUGAGCAUGGUAGGAUUGGGCGGAGCUGUGCUGGCAUAAUGGCAUGGCUUCUAGCUGUCGCUCUAUGUUGGCCGGGACGAGAGCACGGGCGUCGGGGUCUUACUUAGGCUUCUUGUUGAGGUAGUAGGGAACGACUUCCCAAUCGUCGUGGAACUCUUCGACCAUUGGAGCAGCGAGGAACUAAGCAAGCUCUAAUUGAAGAAGGAGAGAAGGCUUGAAUAGAUUGGUGUUUGAAAACUGACGUCAGGGGUCUGUUUAUAUAGGGGUCAAAAAGUGCCUCUAGGGGUUGUUCGGGUUACUCCCGUCGCCGUGCGUGUGAAACUUUUCAUCUGAAGGAUUAUUUGGUUUACCAUAAGUGUGUUUUCCAUGACAGGGGAAAUCGGGACCGAGAGGGGGUAGGGGCUGGGCGCCCGCCCUGUGUCUGACCCCUUUGUGGGUCUGCUUCCUCGAGCGAGUUUCUAGAUGCAAAACUUAUUAGGAAAAUAUAUACAUGGCCCUAAAACGUUAGAUUAAAAAGGUUGGGCUCUAAAUCUCCAUGGGAAGGUAGAAAUGGAUUACGUCUAUUUCUUCUAAUUCUUUUUUAGGCUCUAAAACUAAUUUAAGACGUUGACCAUUUACCUUGAAUAACGUACCUUCGUCAUUUUGAAGUGUGAUAGCUCCGUGGGAUGACUAAUUGAUUACCUUGAAUGGUCCUUCCCAUUUACUCUGGAGUUUUCCAGGCCCGAAAAGCUUCACCCUAGAAUUAAAAAGAAAUACCUUAUCUCCGGGUGCGAACUCCUUCUUCUUGAUCCUCUUGUCAUGCCACCUUUUGAUAUGCUUUCUCUCGCCAUUCUUCCAAUUCUGAUAGUUGCAUUGUUCUAUGGUCUCCAGCGACAUCUAGGUCCAUAUUCCAUCUCCUUAUGGCCCAAUGUGCUUUGAAUUCUAGUUCAACAGGUAGGUGGCAAGUCUUCCCGUACACCAAUUGGUAUGGGGACAUUCCAAUUGGGGUCUUGUAUGUUGUCCGGUAUGCCCAGAGUGCAUCGGGUAACUUGUCUUUCCAUGCCGUUCCCAUUUCAUUCACUGUCUUCUGAAGAAUAUUCUUGAUUUGCUUGUUGGAAGUCUCUGCUUGGCCACUUGUCUGAGGAUGAUAGGGGGUAGCGACGCUGUGACGGAUUCCAUGUUUUGAUAGAUAUUGGUUGAAGCGUUUGUCGAUGAAGUGUGCUCCUCCAUCACUUAUCACUACUCUGGGGACUCCAAAUCUUGGAAAUAUAAUUUCUUCAAACAUCCUCUUUGAACUGAUGUUGUCGGCAUGCUUCCAAGGUAAUGCCUCUAACCACUUGGUGACGUAGUCAACUGCCACCAAGAUGAACUCACACUUCUUUGAUGGGGGAAAUGGACCCAUGUAAUCUAUUCCCCAAACAUCAAAGAGCUCAAUCUGAAGGUUGUUGGUGAGUGGCAUGGCAUCCCCUGUGUUUAUGUUUCCGUGUCUUUGACAUGGCCCACAUCUUCUGAUAUAUUGCUUCGUGUCUUCAUACAUUGUAGGCCAGUAUAAUCCACACUGCCAGAUCUUUGAAUGUGUACAGAAUGCUCCAUAAUGACCUCCAUAAGGUGAUGAAUGACAUGUGUCAAUGAUCUUCCAUCCUUCCUCGGUGGUCACACAUCUCUUGAGUAAACCAUCAGAGCUUACUCGGAAGAGGUAUGGCUCAUCCCAUAUAUGUGAAUGACUUUCUUGAAUAAGCUUAUUCUUGUUUGCUCCUAGUGGUACAUACCCUGAAACCAUAAAAUUAACAAUAUCUGCAUACCAGGGGUCAGACGUGUUAAUCCUGUAGAGCAUGUCGUCCCAGAGUGAAUCAUUGAUGGGGGUUUCGUGUGGAUUCUUAAAAUACAUUCUAGACAAGUGAUCAGCAACAAAAUUUUCUACUCCCUUUUUAUCUUUUAUUUCUAAGUCAGAUUCUUGAAGUAAUAAGAUCCAUCUAAUCAGGCGAGGUUUAGCAUCUUUUUUAGUGAGAAGAUAUUUUAGUGCAGCAUGAUCAGUAUAAACAAUUAUUUUAGCUCCAACUAAAUAAGAUCUAAAUUUAUCAAUGGCAAAGACAACAGCCAGAAGCUCUUUUUCAGUGGUUGCAUAAUUAAGUUGAGCUCCUGUCAAAGUUUUACUGGCAUAAGCAAUUGCAUGAUGCUUCUUAUUUUUAGUUUGUCCCAAAACUGCCCCCACAGCAUAAUCCAUAGCAUCACACAUAAUUUCAAAAGGCAACGACCAAUCAGGGGGUUGAAUGAUUGGUGCAGAGAUGAGUGCAUUCUUUAAUAAAUUGAAAGAUGUUAGGCAUGCAUCAUCAAAUUCGAAAGGAACAUCGUUGGCUAGCAAAAGAGUAAGUGGUCUAGCAAUAAAUGAAAAAUCUUUUAUGAAUCUACGAUAAAAACCAGCAUGGCCAAGAAAGCUUCGAAUUCCUUUUACAUUCACAGGUGGAGGUAGUUGUUCAAUUACUUCAAUUUUAGCUUUGUCUACCUCAGUACCUCUUUCAGACACUAGGUGUCCCAACACUAUUCCUUCCCUCACCAUAAAAUGACAUUUUUCCCAGUUAAGAACUAAGUGCUUUUCUUCACAUCUUUGCAAAACCUUGUCUAAGUUUUCAAGACAACUAUCAAAACUUUUUCCAUAAACAGAGAAAUCAUCCAUGAAAACUUCCAUAAUCUCUUCAAUCAUAUCAGAAAAUAUAGAUAUCAUGCAUCUUUGAAAAGAAGCUGGUGCAUUACAUAACCCAAAAGACAUUCUACGGUAAGCAUAAGUUCCGUAUGGGCAUGUAAAAGUGGUUUUGCUCUGAUCAUCGGGAUGGAUCGGGAUCUGGUGAUACCCUGAAUAUCCAUCUGUUGGUGCAAAAGCUGAUCUGCAAACACAAAGGGCUAAUACCCGAUUUAAACGUUAAGGCGUGCCAGCCGAUUUGACCUUACUAUCGGCAAAGGUGAUAACUCGAACACUUUGGUCCCAACCACAGCGAUGCGCUCGGAUGUCACGGCCAAGAGGUGCUCACGCGGAACUUGAGAACGCGCCGAGCUUAAGUCGACGAAUUCCUAAGAACUCGUAGUAAAAAGGAAAAUGUGACGAAGUCGUCGAAAAAGUAGAUGCUGGAAUAUGAGUAAAAAUUUGUGUUUGAUUGAUUGAUAGAUUGUUCAUUACAAGGCCCUAGGGUCUACAUUUAUACCCUGCUUAAAGAGCUACAAUCAGACACGACUAGGACUCAAAUUCCAAAUCAAACGGAAUCCGUAUACAAAACAAAUUUAAAUAACUAAGGAAAACAUAAAACUAUCCCCUUGUAAUCGACCGGGACACCGCCACAGAUCAAUCGGCAACCUCUACGCUUUCCUUCAGAAUCAUCGCCAGACCUCCUGUCAUGGCCAUCGGCAAACACUGAUACCGAUCAUCGGCACGAACAUGUCACCACCUCUGGACUUAGUCACAUUCAACUGUCUCUUCAUCGGCAACUUCCCUGCAGACUAGUUACCGUUGCUCCAUCUGCCGAUCUAUACUUUACCGAUCCCCAGGUACGUGUCUAAAAAUGGUGUCAACACAUGCCCCCUAAUUUCGGAGUAUAAAAUCAUUAAUGCUCCAAAAUUCUCUGCAGUAAUGAUGCCUUUCCGCAAUUAAUUUUCCCCAUUUGGUAACCGUUCGUCAAAUCCGAACAACCUUGGCCCGAUUCUCUUGUAUAUUCCUCAAAUUCCUCAACCUCCCGAUCCAAACCUCUCCACUUUAUGCACCCAUCGGCAAUAUUACCGUUAGAGGGAACUGCCGAUGGACCGACCAGGAGAUCUUGCACAGUGAAAUAUCUCCAAAAUCAUGACCGCUUGCCGUCAAAUCAUCUGCGCAAACCCUUGAUUACCAUGCGAACAGUUACCAUAUCCACCUGAGUACCCUCGGAUUUCACGGAUGCGGCGAAGAGAUAAGUCAGAUUUGCCCCUGCCCGUUUUGUCCUAUAAAUACUUCCUUCUCUGGUACUCGUUCUCCAUCUUGUCAUUCUACAGCCCAAAAUCCACUUUCACGGCGGCGGCACCAUCCGAGGUCUCCAAGAACUUCAACGAAGGCUUUCUUCACCAAUCCCCCAAGUCUUCGACCUUCUUUCUUGUAAGAAAAUGGCCAUCAACUUCAUCGUGCCUGAGGUCAGUUCACCACCCCUCUUUUCCGCACCUUUACUGUACUCCUGUUCAUCCGCAAUUCAUCUUACUGAAUACCCCUUUUUCUUUAUUGUUCUUCUUUUUAUCCUCAAAAACCUCUAGGAUCUGGCUGAUAAGAUCGUUAUUCCUACCGAUCAACCGCACCUCCAAUGUCUUGGCCCACUAGGAAACCCAGAUCCUACCGAUCUGAUAAACGCAGAGACAAACAGAGUUCCUUUUAGAGCCGAAAACUUUUCCCUAGAUCUAUGGAAAGAUGCCUUCCGUUCCUGGCCCAGUCCUACCAAGGGAUGGAAGGAUUGGUUCUGGAGAGUCAGCCACUCAAAUGAGGUUCAAUGGGGCGAGCGAAAAUUAGAUCGGUGCAUUAGGUUGUCUCUUGCCAAUAUGGAGAGAAAUGAGUCACUGCUAAUUGCUGCCUCCUACUUUUGGUCGGACACGCUUAACGCUUUUGUCCUUGGCCACGGCCCUACUUCUCCUACACUUGCCGAUGUGCUCAUGCUUACCGGCUUAGAUAUAUCCACUCCUGAUAACAGCCAUCUAUUUGACACCAGACCCAGUUCUAAGGUAGAAUCUCGCUCUAUCGGUGGUUGGUCUGGGUAUAUUCAGAAAUACCGAAGAACAGGACCUGUUAAUCCAAAUGAACAGACCACUUUCCUGAAUAUGUGGCUGGAUAAGUUUGUAUUCUGUGGCCGAUCGGCAGGACGGACCUCUGUCUACUUAUCGGCAGCAGAAAGAUUAGCCGAUGGUGGCCGAUUCCCUCUUGGCCGAUACCUGCUCGGCUCUGUCUAUCACCUCCUCCACCAUGUAGCCAGGAAACUUCUGCUCGGCCAACCCAUCAGCAACUUAGGGGGUCCUUGGUGGUUUAUCAACAUGUGGCUUAGUCUUCACAUGCACAAGCGCCUCGAAUUCGACCUCUUUGCACAGCGCUUCCCCAGGGACAUAGCCGAGGACAAUGAACUGCAUGAAGAAGAAUCGGCAACUCGCCCUCCCUUGAACUUUGGCGAGGCUGCCAUAGUCUUACCUGGCACUGGUGGUAAUGAAGACCAGGUUAGCCAAUUCUUUCUGACUCUAUAUGAAGGUCUGACUAGAGAACAUCGAGCGUGGAUGCCUUAUGAAAAUCCAGAUACCAGAUUUCCCCUGAUCUUCCACCCCUUCAAUUAUGCUCUCAACAAGGACCGUGACGUGAUGAUUGCAAUUAUCACCCCAAGGGCCAUACCCGUGAACUUCUUUGGCAGUGGGAAAGCUUCUAACCUGACCUAUGAAUUUUAUAACCCAUCGGCACUAGCUCGCCAAUUGGUUUCGGCCAAUUGCCGAUCGCACUUUGCUACGCCGAUGUGAUAAAGCCAAGGGAGACUAUCACCAGCAAUCUUGAAUGGAUCAGGGUAGCACAACUUCCGCCAAACACCGAUACAGAUGUCGAUCUAUCGGCUUGGAUCCCAGCCCUCUUCAUUACUCAGGCAUACAAACAGUGGUGGGAAGAAUGGAAAGAGAAUCUGUUCUGCAGAUCGGCCCUUACAUACCGUGGUAUGAUCGACCCCAAAUACAAAGUCCCUGAUAAUACUGUAAGUACUUUAAACUGAUACUCCAACCCUUUCAUUUUUACUUCCCAUCGGUAACUUACUUUCUUUGUUGUAUACAGGUCGAUGAUAUGCCACCAUUAGUCAGCAGGAGUGGCAGGCCGAUUGAACUCCUUCCAUCGGGCCUGAUUUCUUUGAUCGGCAACAACGCUCAAACCUUGGCUACUAUAAUGCAUCGGGGUGUGCGUCUUAAGAAAGUCACCACCAAGCGGACGAAAACAUCCCCAUCGGUAGCUGCCACUGCUUUGGCACAAGCCUUCAAGGUAAAUUCUCAAAUUCUUCAACUUAUACCGAUUCCAUUCUUAUACUUACACAAAUUUUCAGGACACAUCGGCUAGCAUGGGAGCUUCAUCGGUAGCUUUACUAUUUUACUAGAACCUCAUCAAUAUCCUGUUACACUUGUACUCACAAAACUUUCAUUGUUGUAUCAGCACACUAGCAAAUCGGCAAAGACCAGAAGCACGACUGCCGAUGCCCCCCAGUCCAGCCAACCAAAGAGAAAAGGUUCCAAGAGCACCAGAACACAAGCCAAGCGUCAGAGAACAGCAACGCCUCACCCUCCUCCAAGGUCACCGAUCCUGAUGGAAUUGUCUCCCUCUUCUCCAGAAGCUCAGAUACAACAAGCGCCGUCUCCUCUUCAGCCACAAGAAGAACCCCAAACAGAAGAACUCCAGCUAGAAGAACCUCAGCCAGAAGGAACAUCGGCUGAUGUACACGAGCAGACCGCUGAUCCAGCAAGCUUAAUCAUAUCAUUGGUAGUCUCCUUGAUUCAGACAAGUACUGCACCCCCUCAAGGUAACACACUUUCUAUUUAUUGCCGAUGAACCUGUUGAUAUUUGGGAACGCAGUAAGGAAUGGAUCCGCAAGCACACGGAUAUCGGUGAGCCCUUCACCCGGGAGGUUAUACAGAUUAUCGUAUUUAUUUUUUUACCACUAGGAGAAAGAGUGCAUCUAACUAACCCGGUCUAUUACUACUAACCCUUUAGGCAACAAAGAAUGUUUCUCGAUGUGAGUGAUAAAUAGAGAAGACUACAACCGUAAUCUCCUUCUAACCUUGGCAAGGAUGAUCUACUGUUCUAUUGGGGAGGCUAACGGAAUCUAGACACCACAAAGGAUGUUCAACCCGCACCUAUAAACCCUAUCCUUCCUGCUAACGAGAUAUGGUCUUCAAAGGUAACUCGAAAAUGUCACGUUCCUCGCUACUACCACGGUCUAGCUAGUCAGGGAAUAUCUAUGAGUAUCCUAGCUUAAACACCACGUCUACGCUAGAGAUGAUUACUCUAAACUCUACGCAAAGAGAUUAAAGUAAACUCAUAAACCAAAAGAACAAUAAAAUAAGAACUUACUAGAAUUUAGAUGUCGAAAUACUGAAGAAUCCUAGGAGCAAGCCUCGGGUUAGGAGAACUUGAUCCCGCAGGUACAAGCUCGGAGUAGACACCCACACGCCGGGCUUCCUCCGAUCUACACCUCCACUCUAUCUCUCUCAAUCUAGUAGAAACUAGAAGAUCUAUUUCUACUCACAUUGGUUGCUAAGCCUAAAAAGCAAUUUUAUUUAGAGAACAGGUUUUCCUUCGAGGGCUCCCCUCAACUCUAUGAUAAACUUGUCUCCUCCAGGGGCCAGGGGGUCUGGUUUUAUAGUCCCUUCAAGUGAACGUGAGCCAUUGGAUCAAACCGACAUUGAUUGGAUGGUUAUCCUUGAUCCUUUAGGUUGGUGGAACGUCGUGUGUGAAAAGAGUCCCGAACCAAGUCUAGAGGGGGGCAGGCGCCCAGGUCAACUGGGCGGGCGCCCAGUGCCUGGCCCCGUUCGGCCUCCGCUUCCUUCCCGUGGCUUCUGGAGUCUUCUAGAUGGUAGAAAAUUGCGCGGUGCGUUGAUAUCUCUAUGUAAUCCCAACAUGUGGGCCUUUCUUCCUUAUUUCCUGAUAACCCCCUGCAGAAACAGAUAAACAACAAAACUCGUGGAAUUCUGUCAGAUCAAACCCUAAUUCUAGGUGUUGUUUGCAUAUUGGUCCUUUCUCUUGUUUAUUUGAUAAUUAAAAUUGAUACUUAAGAACCGUCAACAAAUACCCCCAUACUUAGGCUUUUACUCGUCCUAGGGAAAAGGAUGGUUAAGAACAAUAUCUGGGGUAAAACAUUUUUAAAACAUUCUCUUCAUAACUGCAGGGUGUUAAAAUCCACUGUGUACUGUAGUCACGGAAGUAUAUGGUUAAGAGUAGAGAUCUUUUCUUCUCAAUCCUGUCACUUGGAGUUUUUGUAUAUUUUUGAAAGAAAGUUAGCAUACCUUUUAUCCUCAUAGGUUUUCUCAGAUCACUCAUUAUCUUUUAUAUAUCUCACUGAGGCUAUUUUAAUUUGCAAAAAUUCUCAAGCAUACUUACUUUACAUUUAUUGCUUGGUCAAAACGGGAUCCGAGGAGGGGAGUGUCAUACUCUUAGAUCAAAGACUUUGGAAAUUAAAAUCCUUGUCAACUCUUACUGGCAUAUUGCUUAUUAUAGGGACCAUGGUCUAUCAUUUUCUUUUUGUUCUCUCUUUUUUUUUAAGUGGAUACCAAGGUAUCCCUAAUUCUACUGCCGGACACUUAUCCUUUUUUUCUACGAGGUUGUCGAGCACUUGCUCCUUUUUAUUUCCUCGAAAUAUCUUUAUUUUUUUGCAUAGCCCAUGCCUCUAAUGCAAUAAUACUUCGAAAGAGUGAAUCUUUGUGAAUAAAUGUCUUGAUCUUAGGAGCAUGAUAAAUCUCUCAACAAGGGUCUAACUCAUUUUGAACAAACUCAAUACAGAGUAGAUAGCCUUUAUAAUCAUAAUUAAUAUUUUCAGUUUUAUCAGGCAUAUAAAACACUGAGGAUGGUAGAUAGAAUUUGAAAUAAAUUCUCCAAGCAACAAUGAUAUCAGGAAUAAGAAACUUAUACUCUACCAUCUCAUAUUCCACAAUGACUUAAGUAACACAGGAUUUUUAAAAUGAUUUUUUAAUAAUUGCAAGUUUCAAGAAAUAUCAUAGAGUGAGAUUAAUCAUGAUUAGAAACAUUUUAAUCUUUAUCAUGUCGGAAACAAUAUUCUGCAUAAUCCAAGAUAUGUGUAAAGUAAAGUGUGCAGAGUGUGUACCUGAAUUGUGGAGUGGUGUAGUCGAAGUGUGUUUGUCAUGUCGAGUGAUCUCCCCCAUACUUGUUUUCUGCUUUCUUGCACAAGGAUAAAGUAGAAACACACAAGACAUAAUAAUAAUAAUAAUAAUAAUAAUAAUAAUAAUAAUAAUAAUAAUAAUAAUAAUAAUAAUAAUAAUAAUAAUAAUAAUAAUAAUAAUAAUAAUAAUAAUAAUAAUAAUAAUAAUAAUAAUAAUAAUAAUAAUAAUAAUACUCUUUAUUAAUCUUGAGGCAUUUAUUACAAAAGACUAGUAGCAAACUGACGAUAAUAGUAACAAACUGAUGAUAAUAGUAAACCUAAACCGAAUUUAAAGAUAGAUAACUAAGAUGCAUUGCCUCAAGGUAAAGUGUAAAGUAAAGUGUGCAGAGUGUGUACCUGAAUUGUGGAGUGGUGUAGUCGAAGUGUGUUUGUCAUGUCGAGUGAUCUCCCCCAUACUUGUUUUCUGCUUUCUUGCACAAGGAUAAAGUAGAAACACACAAGACAUAAUAAUAAUAAUAAUAAUAAUAAUAAUAAUAAUAAUAAUAAUAAUAAUAAUAAUAAUAAUAAUAAUAAUAAUAAUAAUAAUAAUAAUAAUAAUAAUAAUAAUAAUACUCUUUAUUAAUCUUGAGGCAUUUAUUACAAAAGACUAGUAGCAAACUGACGAUAAUAGUAACAAACUGAUGAUAAUAGUAAACCUAAACCGAAUUUAAAGAUAGAUAACUAAGAUGCAUUGCCUCAAGGUAAAGUGUAAAGUAAAGUGUGCAGAGUGUGUACCUGAAUUGUGGAGUGGUGUAGUCGAAGUGUGUUCGGCAUGUCGAGUGAUCUCCCCCAUACUUGUUUUCUGCUUUCUUGCACAAAAGUAAAGUAGAGACACACAAGACAUAAUAAUAAUAAUAAUAAUACUCUUUAUAUACUCUUUAUUAAUCUGGAGGCAUUUAUUACAAAUGACUAGUAGCAAACUGACGAUAAUAGUAAAAUCUAAACCGAAUUUAAAGAUAAAUAACUAAGAUGCAUUGCCUCAAGAUCUAAUCUAGAUAACUUAGCGGCGCUCUAAUUCCUUAAUCUUCUUAUUGGCACUGGCAAGAUCAUGCCUAAGGCCUAAUAUAACAGUGUUGUGGUUAGAGAGCUGCCUAGUAAGGGAAUUAAUCGAGGACUGGAGGUCUAUGAUAACUGUGUCUACCCUGCGAAUGUCCUCAUCAAUAUCCAUUAUAGUCUUGCAACGCUUGGGAGGUGUCUCAAAAGCAUUGAGAGCAUGCUUCGGGGCUGCCUUUGGAGGGAUGAAACGAACUUUGGCUGCUCUAACCCCUUCAAAGUAAGGCCUUUCCUCCUCCAUAGUGUAGCGUACACUGCUGAUCUCGCCGCUCCGGUUGGUCUUGACUCCAACGACCCUUUCAUUGGGUCUGGGUGGAAGGAUCCUCAUGCCGGUUGGCACCUUGAUGGUGGUCUUCGUCUUGGAUGAUGAUCCCUUAAGGAGUAGGGGUUGUGGCGGUGCGGUGAGAACUGGUUGAGCAUGGUAGGAUUGGGCGGAGCUGCGUUGGGGUAAUGGCAUGGCUUCUAGCUGUCGCUCUGUGUUGGCCGAGACGAGAGCACAGGCGUCGGGGUCUUCCUCAGGCUUCAUGUUGAGGUUGAAGGGGACGACUUCCCAAUCAUCGUGGAACUUCUCGGGCAUUGGAGCAGCAAGGAACUAAUCAAGCUCUAAUUGAAGAAGAGAAGGCUUGGUGGUUUGGUGUUUGAAAACUGAUGUCAGGGGUCUGUUUAUAUAGGGGUCAAAAAGUGCCGCUAGGGGUUGUUCGGGUUGCUCCCGUCGAUGUGCGUGCAAAACUUUCCAUCUGAGGGAUUAUUCGGAUUACCAUUAGUGCAUUUUCCAUAACAGAGAAAAUCGGGACCGAGGGGGAACAGGAGCUGGGCACCCGCCCACCUGAUCUGGGCGCCCGCCCUCUCUCUGGCCCCUCUGUGGGCCCACUUUCUCGAGCGCGUUUCUAGAUGCAAAACUAUUUACGAAAAUAUGUGUAUGACCCAAAAACAUCAGACUAAAAAGGUCGGGCUCUAAUUCUCCAUGGGAAGGUAAAAAUGGACUAGUCUAUUUCUUCUAAUUCUUUAUUGGGCUCUAAAAAUAAUUUAAGACGUUGACCAUUUACCUUGAAUAACAUACCUUCGUCAUUUUGAAGUGUGAUAGCUCCGUGGGAUGAUGAAUUGAUUACCUUGAAUGGGCCUUCCCAUUUGCUCUGGAGUUUUCCAUGCCCGAAAAGCUUCACCCUGGAAUUAAAAAGUAAUACCUUAUCUCCAGGUGUGGACUCCUUCUUCUUGAUUCUCUUGUCAUGCCACCUUUUGACUCUUUCUUUGUGGACCUUCGAAUUGUGAUAUGCUUUCUCUCGCCAUUCUUCCAAUUCUGAUAGUUGUAUUCUUCUAUGAUCUCCAGCAACAUCUAGGUCCAUAUUCCAUCUCUUUAUGGCACAGUGUGCUUUGAACUCUAGUUCAACACGUAGGUGGCAAGUCUUCCCGUACACCAAUUGGUAUGGAGACAUUCCAAUUGGGGUCUUGUAUGCUGUCCCGUAUGCCCAGAGUGCAUCGGGUAACUUGUCUUUCCAUGCCGUUCCCAUUUCAUUUACUGUCUUCUGAAGAAUAUUAUUGAUUUGUUUGUUGGAAGUCUCUGCUUGGCCACUUGUCUGAGGAUGAUAGGGGGUAGCGAUGUUGUGAUGGAUUCCAUGUUUUGAUAGAUAUUGCUUGAAGCGUUUAUUGAUGAAGUGUGCUCCUCCAUCACUUAUCACUACUCUGGGGACUCCAAAUCAUGGAAAUAUAAUUUCUUCAAACAUCCUCUUGGAACUGAUGUUGUCGGCAUGCUUGCAAGGUAAUGCCUCUACCCACUUGGAGACGUAGUCAACUACCACCAAAAUGUACUCACACUUCUUUGAUGGAGGAAAGGGACCCAUAUAGUCUAUUCCCCAGACAUCAAAGAGCUCAAUCUGAAGGUUGUUGGUGAGUGGCAUUGCAUCCCUUGUAUUUAUGUUUCCGUACCUUUGACAUGGUCCACAUCUUCUGAUAUAUUGCUUCGUGUCUUCAUACAUUGUAGGCCAGUAGAAUCCACAUUGCCAGAUCUUUGAAUGUGUACGGAAUGCUCCAUAAUGACCUCCAUAUGGUGAUGAAUGACAUCUGUCGAUGAUCUUCCAUCCUUCCUCAGUGGUCACACAUCUCCUGAGUAAGCCAUCAGAGCAUACUCGGAAGAGGUAUGGCUCAUCCCAUAUAUGUGAACGACUUUCUUGAAUAAGCUUCUUCUUGUUUGCUCCUGGUGGUACAUACCCUGAAACCAUAAAAUUAACAAUAUCUGCAUACCAGGGGUCAGACCUGUUCAUCCCAUAGAGCAUGUCGUCCCGGAGUGAAUCAUUGAUGGGGGUUUCCUGUGGACUCUUAAAAUACAUUCUAGACAAGUGAUAAGCAACAAAAUGUUCUACUCCCUUUUUAUCUUUUAUUUCUAAGUCAAAUUCUUGAAGUAAUAAGGUCCAUCUAAUCAGGCGAGGUUUAGCAUCUUUUUUAGUGCGCAAAUAUUUUAGUGCAGCAUGAUCAGUGUAAACAAUUAUUUUAGCUCCAACUAAAUAAGAUCUAAAUUUUUCAAUGGCAAAGACAACAGCCAGAAGCUCUUUUUCAUUGGUUGCAUAGUUAAGUUGAGCUCCUGUCAAAGUUUUACUAGCUUAAGAAAUUACAUGAUGCUUCUUAUUUUUAGUUUGUCCCAAUACUGCCCCCACAGCAUAAUCACUAGCAUCACACAUAAUUUCAAAAGGCAACGACCAAUCAUGGGGUUGAAUGAUUGGUGCAGAGAUGAGUGCUUUCUUUAAUAAAUUAAAAGAUGUUAGACAUGCAUCAUCAAAUUCGAAAGGAGCAUCCUUGGCUAGCAAAAGAGUAAGUGGUCUAGCAAUAAAUGAAAAAUCUUUUAUGAAUCUACGAUAAAAACCAGCAUGGCCAAGAAAGCUUCGAAUUCCUUUUAUGUUCACAGGUGGAGGUAGUUGUUCAAUUACUUCAAUUUUAGCUUUGUCUACCUCAAUACCUCUUUCAGACACUAGGUGUCCCAGCACUAUUCCUUCCCUAACCAUGAAAUGACAUUUUUCCCAAUUAAGGACUAAGUGCUUUUCUUCACAUCUUUGCAAAACCUUGUCUAAGUUUUCAAGACAACUAUCAAAAGUUUUUCCAUAAAUAGAGAAAUCAUCCAUGAAAACUUCCAUAAUCUCUUCAAUCAUAUCAGAAAAUAUAGACAUUAUGCAUCUUUGAAAAGAAGCUGGUGCAUUACAUAACCCAAAAGACAUUCUACGGUAAGCAUAAGUUCCAUAUGGGCAUGUAAAAGUGGUUUUGCUUUGAUCAUCAGGAUGGAUCGGGAUUUGGUGAUACCCUGAAUAUCCAUCUAAGAAACAGAAGAACGAAUGGUUUGCUAACCGCUCUAGCAUCACAUCUAUGAAAGGUAAAGGAAAAUGAUCCUUUCUCGUGGCUUUGUUCAGUUUUCUAUAGUCUAUGCACAUCCGCCAUCCUGUGACGGUGCAUUGCGGAAUUAGCUCGUUCUUUUCAUUCAUAAUAACAGUCAUGCCUCCCUUUUUAGGCGCAACUUGAACUGGGCUUACCCACUCACUGUGCAGCAUAGGAUAUAUAAUCCCUGCAUGCAGCAACUUUAUAACUUCCUUUUUAACUACCUCUCUCAUAGUGUUGUUAAGUCUACGUUGGGGUUCUUGAGAAGGUGAAACAGAAGGAUCUGUUGGAAUACGAUGGGUACAAAUCAUAGGACUGAUUCCUGUAAGAUGUUGGAGUGAGUAACCGAAAACUGAGUGAUGUUUCUCAAGAAUGGUCAUUAAUCGCAGAGUUUGCUCCUCAGUGAGUUUAUCGCUAAUGAUCACAGGAAACUCUGGAUUAUUGUUUAGGAAAGCAUAGAUAAGACCGGGUGCUAAAGUUUUAAGCUCUAUGGGGGGGUCUAGGUGUUUCUGCAAACUCAUCUAAGGGUUCAGGUUCAGAAGGUUCGGCUUCUUCUUCUAUGAAGAAAGGAGUUUCGUCUUCUAAGUCUGAUUCUUCUAAAAGUUCAAGAGAUGCAUCCUUUACCUCCUCCAUAGGAUCAGGCAAAAGAUAUGACUCGGCCUUAUUAUUCAAAGAGUGUGAAAUUGUUAUUGGGAUUUUAAAAGCUUUUCUAAAAGAAAUGUGUAGCUUUCCAGUAUGACCUUCAUAAAGGAGUCUUCUAAAAGGUUGUCCUAUCAACAGGUCGAGGUCCCAUGUAUCAAAGAUAUAGAAGUUCAAAUGAACCAUGGAGCCUUCUACCGUAAGAGGUAGGACAUUAAUAAUUCCAAGACUGGGGACUAAUCAUCCUGAAGAUUCCUUUAUGACUUUUGUUGUGGGGGUUAAGACAAGAUUUUUAAAUAGUUUAAGUGCAAAAGUUUCAAACAUGAUGUUGAUCCCCACAACAGGAUUAUAGAGAGCAUUAAAUCGAUCAGAAUUAUAAGCACAGCGUAUAGUUAUAGAGGGUGUGCCCAAAUGGAUCACAUUAGAGGAAAGCUCUGAUUCCUCCAACCACUCGCUACUCAUGACUGAGAUAAGCUCUCUCAAUUGAUAUUCACUUGGAAAAUAAAUGCUAAACUGGCCAUUUUGGGGUUUAUCAAUAGAAUGGUAGUUUGAAAUGUUUCCAAAGUCGGCAAAAAGAUCGGAUUCUAUAUCCAGCAUGAAGUCCGGUGGUGGAAUUUCUUCCUCUUGUGGCUCAGAACAUGGGAUAGCUAAAGUAGAUGAAGAAUUUGGCAGAGUGUCUACUUCGGCUUCGUAGGUUUCAUCAUGAAGGGUAUUAUCCAUCUCAGCUUCUAGGAUUCUAUCAAGGAUCACUCUAGCUUCAUCAGUAGGGAUGCGAAAGAAAGAACCUCUAGACAUUGUGUGUAGCAUUUGUUUGUGAUUUUUCUAAAGACCUCGAAAAAAGUGAAAUAAAAGAAUAGGGUCUUCAAGAUUAUGGUUUGGACCAGAUUCUAAAAGAUUAGAAAAACAUUUCCAAGAUUUUCCCAAAGUUUCAUUAUCUUUUUGUUUAAAAGAUAGGACUUCGAGUCUAAGGUCGCCGAUACGGUCGAGAGAAUAAAAAUCUAGACAAAAGUUGGCUCGUAAAACUCCACAUUCACCUCGUUGUUGACUUACCUUCUGACUGUAUCAUUGUCUAGCUUCUCCCCUUAAGGAAAAAGGAAAAAGCUUCCAACGUAAAGUUUUAUCAGAAAUGCCUUCAAUGCGAAGACAAUCACAUGUUUGCUCAAAAUCUCUAAUAUGAAGGUAAGGGUUUUCGUCUUCCUUUCCCGAAAAAGAUAGGUUUUGAAUCAUAGCAAUCAACCUAGAACUUAACCUAUAUUGGGAUGUUUGGAUAGGCUGUGAUGACUCCCAUGGUAAAAGGUCAGUUUCCGAAGGUGUUGCAAAUUGGUAGAUUGAUUGAGAAUCUUGGUUUUCCAUAAGGUAAGAGAAAAUAAAUACAGAAUAUAAAAGAUAAGAAAAGAUAAAAGUAUAGAUACAAGCUAGUAGUAAGACUAAAGGUUAUCUCAGCAAACCGUCUUUCUCCCCGGCAACGGCGCCAGAAAUGCUUGUUGAUAUUUAGGAACGCAAUAAGGAAUUGAUCCGCAAGCGCACGGAUAUCGGUGAGCAUUUCACCCGAGAGGUUAUCCAGAGUAACGUAUUUAUUUUUUUACCACUAGGAGAAAGAGUGCAUCUGACUAACCUGGUCUAUUACUACUAACCCUUUAGGCAACAAAGAAUAUUUCUCGAUGUGAGUGAUAAAUAGAGAAGACUACAACCGUAAUCUCCUUCUAACCUUGGUAAGGAUGAUUUACUGUUCUAUUGGGGAGGCUAACGGAAUCUAGACAGCACAAAGGAUGUUCAACCUGUAGACACCACAAAGGAUGUUCAACCUGCACCUAUAAACCCUAUCCUUCAUGCUAACGAGAUAUGGUCUGCAAAGGUAACUCGAAAAUGUCACGUUCCUCGCUACUACCAUGGUCUAGCUAGUCAGGGAAUAUCUAUGAGUAUCCUAGCCCAAACACCACGUCUACGCUAGAGAUGAUUACUCUAAACUCUACGCAAAGAGAUUAAAGUAAACUCAUAAACCAAAGAACAAUAAAACAAGAACUUACUAGAAUUUAGAAGUUAAAAUACUGAAGAAUGCUAGGAGGAAGCUUCGGGUUAGGAGAACUUGAUCCCGCAGGUACAAGCUCGGAGUAGACACCGACAGGCCGGGCUUUCUCCGAUCUACACCUCCACUCUAUCUCUCUCAAUCUAGUAGAAACUAGAAGAUCUAUUUCUACUCACAUUGGUUGCUAAGCCUAAAAAGAAAUUUUAUUUAGAGAAGAGGUUUUCCUUCUGUUGGGUAUUCUUAACAUCAUUACCAAAAGUAGACUAAGUUCUCUAAAUCUAGUAAUGGUGCCAAAAAUACCAAACCUAUCCCUCAUACCACUUAAGCCAAGUUGUCAUCCCCAGCAUGACAUGAGAGACGCGGUAUUGAAAUAUGCAAUUGCUCUUCUAAAUAAAUAAUGAAUGGGAUCUGCAAGCGCACAGAUUAAUACCGAUGUAGCAUUUUAACCGGGAAGUAUUCCAGGUAUCGUUAUUUAUAUUUUUACCAAUGGGAAGGGAUUAACAAUCAUCAAUAUUGGUUACAGAAUAGAAUAUGAGAUUGAGUAUCUAUCAUUGCAUGUAUAAUUGAGAACAUUUAUCUAACUCUUCAUACAGGGAUAAGUGUCACAUAAAAGAUAUAUGAAAUAAUGAAUAGUGACAAGGAUAAUUAAUCUGAUCAGCCACAUAUAAAUAUGAUAAGCACCUCAAUUAGAUACUCUAGAAAGUCAUUUGCUUGGUAUUAGAACGAACUACAAGAAUAUUUCCUAAGUUAUUCUCAACUAUAUAGUCUAGCAUUAUCAUAAUUAGUGCAAGAAUACUUAGCAAUCGUUGUGAGACAAGACUACACCCAUGCAUAGUGAUAUUAGCAAGGUAAAUGAGAAACAUAGCAAUCACUCCCCUGUAAUAAUAUUGCUCUGCCAGCCCAAUACACGAGAGGGGGACUAUAUAACAAUCAAUGAAGCUGUCACUAUCACGAACUACCCCACGAUCUGGCAUAUUGGGUACAAUAGCAGAUAAAUAUGGUAUAAGCACCACGCCUACACAAUAUCUAUCAUUUACCCAUGGAUCCGAUGGAUAAACGCUAUACGAUCCUAAGCAUGUAUAUAGAUCCAAUCUAACUAAGCCAAGUACAUAACUAUGAUAAACUAAGAACAAUAUAAUCUUGAAUAUAAGAAAGUAGAGCAAAGUCAUAAGCAAUAUAUUGAAGUAGAACAAAGUCAUAUGCAUAGUAUUGAAGAACAAAGAUAAUUAGAAAGCAAUUAGAAGCACAAUUAGAGAAUUACCAAGAAUCCUCUUGACAGAUCUAGAAACCAAUCGAAGAUUGACUCCUUCUAGUUCUAAUCCUAUGUAGCUAUGCUAAUCUAGAUAUCUAAUUGAUGUGGUGACUCUAAUCUUGAUCAGAGGCUUCUUCUCCCUUGAGGAAUAAUGAAUUAGGGUUGAGUGGCUCUCUCCUCUAGGGUCCAGGGGGUCUGGUUUUAUAGUCCCUUCAAGUGAAUAUGGGCCGUUGGAUCAAACCGACAUAGAUUGAACGGUUAUCCUUGAUCCUUUAGGUCGGUGGAGAUCUCCCGAGAAACAGAUUCCUGAUUGGCCUCCAAGUCAGGGCGGGCGCCCAGGGCAGGAGGGCGGGCGCCCUGCCUCUGGCCCCGUUCGGCCUCCGCUUCCUUCCCGUGGCUUCUGGAGUCUUCUAGAUGUAAGAUAAUUGCGCGGCACGUUGAUAUCUCUAUGUAAUCCCGACGUGUGGGUCUUUCUUCCGUAUUUCCUGAUAACCCCCUGCAGAAAUAGACAAACACCAAAACUCGUGGAAUUCUGUCAGAUAAAACCCUAAGUCUAGAUGUUGAUUUCAUUUGGAUCCUUUUCUUUGUUUAUUUGAUAAAUAAAUUUGAUACUUAAGGACAGUCAACAAAAUCCCCCAAGCUUACCUCUUGCUCGUCCCUGAGCAAAGAUAAUCUCCGCGAUGGAUUAGAAGUUGUUGCAAUAUCUUUAAAAAUUAACGGUACACAUGCUUUUUAAAUAAGAUCUUAUCUCUGAGUUAGAGUAAACUGUCAAGACUUAAAACUUACUUACUUUACCUUCACCAUGGGACUUGUAACCGUCACUUCUGUCUUGAGUAGUUAAAAGAUAGAAUAGUCUAGUCAAGUGCCAUGUCCCUUAUUCUUGAUCAGCUAUAGCUCUAGAGUUUUUGCAGAUUUUCAAAUAAAACUCAGAGAUUCCUUGUAUGAUUCUCUCAGAUCUCUCUUUUGUGGUAUUUCUGGAUCCUUACCAAGGCAGUGAUGGUAUAUGCCUUCUCUCAAGAUAUGUAGUAUUUGUGGUAUAAAGCAUAGUGACAUUGUCUUCUCUCUCACCCUACUCUAAUAAGGCUUUAAUAUCUGGAGCUCAUAGGUGGAAGAUAAAGUAUACAUACUUACAAGACAUUUAUUGUAUAGUCAAACCAUGGAUCCAAAGAAACAAAUCAAUAAGCCAAAUCAAGAUGUGCAUGUGUGGCGAAUGAAUGGUGUAUGGUGAUGAUGGUGAUAACAAUGGUGAAAGCCUAAUUCUACUUUUGCUCUUUUGAGGGGAUAUAUACCUUCCUUGCUUUUUGAAACUUUAUGAGGAGAAUGAGAUGCUCUUUUUUUUUCUCUCAGGUGGGUAUCUUGUACCCCUAAUUCUACUGUCGGACACUUGUCUAUUUUUACCUUUUGUCUCACUUUUUCUUUUCUUUCGAGGUUCCGGGCACUUGCCCCUUUUUAUUUCCUCGUAUCUCUUUUUUUUAGAGCACUCAUCUCUCGAGAUAAUAUAGCAAGUGGUAGUAACAAGAUAACUUGAGCAUUUAUUUCACAGGGAAAAAACAUAAAUGUUUUUGGCUAUUCUCUCUCGGAUUAGGAGUAGAAUAUUUUUGGUUGGUUCUGGAGAUGGAAUGGGUGGAUAUAUGUGGAUGGUACUUCCGGAGUAGAAGCAGCAUAUAUGAGUGAACGUGCAAGUGAAAUCUUGAUUUAACCACAUGACAAGCUCCUAAGGGUCUACACAGCUUGACCACACUCAAUGCUCAUAAGCAGUAAAUAAUAAAUGUGUAGCUCAAAGUCUGGCAAGCAUCUAUAUAUGGUUGUGGUAGGAAUUUAAACUCUCAUCAUACAGGAACUUAUCAUGCAACAUUUUAAAGAUUUUCAUAAAUAAAAUUCUCUAGAAUUCUAGCAUCUUUAGGAACAGAUAAACAGCAGCCCAACCUUCCCAUAUCAUAUCCGUUAACAACUUAGACUUCAGAUCAAGUUUUCAUCCCACAAGUUUAGGUCUAGAGCAAGCUUAAAUUAUAACAGUUAUAUCUAAACUUGAGAGAGAACUUCAAAUGUGCAAACUAGGUAGAGCAACUAUUCAUCAUAUCCAUGAUAAUGUUUUAUUUAGAUACAUAUUAGCAUAGCCACUUUAUUUAUUUAUUAAACACACUAAGCAAAAGAUAUAUAUAUAUAAGCACAAAAUCUUUAUUUGGUUUUUCAUAGUUAUAUAUAUUUAUAUUCUAAUAUAAUAUAAGUGUAAAGAUAGAUAGAAAUACUUAUCGGGAUAAAUGGGGGUGCUCUCCCCCAAGCUGAAUUUUGACGUAAUUUCUCUUGAUGUAACUAGCAGGUGGUAGAGGUGUAUUUGAAAGUCAGCAGCAUUCUGACAGUGAUUAGAAUGUCCUCCGUCUGCUAGUCUUCUUGAUUCUUAAAUUCUGUGGAGCUCAAAUAGACAACAAAGCUUGUGGAACUGAUUAAGUGUUAGCAUAAAUAUCUAGCCUUUAUCAUGUUGAGACUCCUUAAUAAAUAUUACUCCCUAUUUUUUAUAUUUUCAUUUUAUAAAGCAGAGAAGAAAUAUUUAUUUUGUUUUUAUGCCACAACAGUGAAUGUACUUAUGGGUUUUAUGCCACUCGUCUACUCACAUGGUGCUUACUGUUUUUUCACAUUAUUAUUAUUAUUUUUUUUAAGAUAGUAUGAACCUAAUUAACUAAGUAAACUAGUUGAAAUAAUUGAAAGGAAAAAGAUAACUACCAAGUUUACCUCUUGGCAAGGCGUUCGGUGUUUUUAAGUCCCCCGAACGGGACUCUCCGUUUUCUCAAUUGUCCAGGGAUUCGUUGGGUGGCGUAGUCGGUAUUUCCGGCAGCGCCUCCUCUUCAUGUAUAGUUAUCUUCACUUUCCAUACCUGACUCGGUGCUACGGUCUCCUCAGGAUAGUUCUGUUUAAACUCUACAUCUUCUGAUCUUACAACUUCUCCUUCAUAUUCUGCCCAUCCAUCCUUGAUGAUUUGCCUCCUCUGGUUUCGGUUGCGUCGUUUUCUGACCUGCUUAGAUUCUUCAACGAUAUAGUCAGGGUCAAUAAAAUAACGGCGUACCUUCUCUGAGGGGAAGUGCAUAUGGACUUCUCCAUUUCCAAUGUAGAUGAUUGCUUUAACGGUGCUGAGGAACGGUCUUCCAAGGAUGAUGGGUGGAUCGCAUUCGUCUUCUCCCAUGUCAAU